AACCACCAGCCUUUGGGCUAGUAGCCACCACCUAGCUUGGUGAGGUGGGAGGCAAGGGUUCAAAAUGCCACAUUUAAGUGAUUUGCUUCAAAAAAUCCAGGCGAGUGUGUUGUGCACUCGUUUGGUCUGGUGGUGGUUCAGUCCCCUCCGAGUUAUUCCUGGACCUCCUUAGAUCCGCUCCCUCCCCCUUAGUGUAGAAUAGAUUAGGUUAUACAACUGUUGUUGUCUCUGAAAAAAAAAAAAAAAAAUUGAUGCAAUACCUGCCAUUGGCCUUUGGGUGCAAAAAUUAUAAAAUUUAGAGUAUGGAAUCAGUUGCUCGCUCCUUUUUUUUUUGUUUGCUAUUUCACUAGCAUUAAAAGAACAAAAAAAAAAAAAAAACCUGUGCUAUAAUUGAUUUUCAUUAGUGAUAGUGACAUUAAAGUUGUAUAAUAAACAUGUGAAUUGAACCUUGACUUCAAAUGGAGCACAUCACAAUCAACGCAAAUCUACAAAUCCAUCUACUUCUGCUGAAUGGAUGAAGUAUUGGAGAGGAAAGUACUCAAUGCUAUUGGGGUUUCAUGCGAUUUGGUCUGGUUGUUGUAUUUAAAAAAAAAAAAAAAAAAGCGAUGGAGUGUACACUAAAAAUUUGAAUAUACAACAACUGAACAGAAUCAUACAAAACACAACCGCACUGAGUUCUUUCCAGUGAUGGAGCGUAAAAGAUUGUAUAAUACUGAGAAGUGACUGUGUUGAGAGCUACAAUCUUCAAUUUCGUAACGAAGAUUACUAGCUGAAGCGAUUCUUUCUUGGGGAAGGAAAGUGACAGCUCUUUCGUUGUGUUCAAGGGAUCCUUUCUGGGAUUUUUAAGAACAUCAUCAUUUUCAGAUUCUUUGCUCCAUCGAUGCUGUUGCUUACGACAAACCAAAAUGGUGGCAACUGCAUUACUUCAUCUGUACUAUCCUUUGGUUGACUACAAAUUGUGACAAGAAAAUACACGUAUGGUCAUGUGUAUAUUGAAAGGGCAAAAAUGCCUUGGAAUGAUUGCAUGGCUUUAUCCAGUUGAAUCUGAUCCCCUAAUGGAAGUGGAAAAUGAAGCAUAUAAUUUAAUUCGAUUUCCACCGGUCAUUGGUAUGUUAAAAAUACUUUUGCGUCUUCUCAGCUCCUCAUUCAAUACAAUUACGACAAGUUCAGACAAAUACAGUAGAAAGGAAACAAAUUCAAAACGAAGGAGUUUUGCAACCAUACAUAUCUCGAAGUUUACAAUUCUUACCUGUCCACUUUCUUGUCUUGCUGGAAGGGUAAAAAGCUUUCAUUUGCAUAUAUUUCUACUCAACAUGGGAUUAAGAUAAUUAAUUAGUGAUAUACCAUUCUCAAGUUUGUACAAUGGUCAAAAUUUGAUUAGUCAUCUGUUUUGUUUUACUAUUUCAUUUGAAAUCAAAAUUACACAUUGUCUAAACCCAAUAAUCAAGUAUAUAUUCAGUGUUAGCACUUAUCAUAAAGUAUACAGGAAAACGACUUUACAAAAAUCUUCUUGUUUGGAUUGCCAUUUUUUCCCAUAAAUUUUUUACGAUUUUCAUGAACACCUUUCUCAAUCAUCUCUUUAUCUCACAUACAUACAGCAAACUAUUACAUUACAUUUUUUUUUUUUACAAAAACUCCAGAAUGUAGCAAUCCAAACGGGACUGUAUCGGAUUUAGAAAUCAUAAUCACUUGAGUUAUUAUAGCCUAAUUAAUGAUAAAAACUACGUGGCCAUGAAUACUUCACUUAAUGAGGUCCGGAUUAACUUGUACAAGCCAUCAAACAAUAACAAAUUUAAUAGACCAAUUUAUAACAAUAAUGUUCUCAAAAGAUAUACUACCAUUCUUCUAUAUUUAAUACUAUACUAGCAGUUACUGUUUCAAGAUUAUUCAUCACAUUCUGACGUGCACACAAUGUGAUCAGCAUACAUGCAUUAAGAAUCCUGUUCCAUUAUUUGGUCAAAACUUAAACAACAUUGCACCAAGGAAGAAGUGCCUCACAAGUCAGAGAUCAAUCGAUUGAUUGUUUUAGGAACUCAAGUUGUCAAGGUGUUUGUAUUGUAUAUUCACAAUAUAAUUUCUCGUGUCCCAAAACCUACAGGCAGGUGGAUAUUGCUAUGACCAUCGAUAAUGAAACAUAUCUUACAUAACCAGCUGUAUUAAUUCUUUCAUUACCUCUAAUUAAUUAUUACCAGUGCCAACAUUUUCUUCCUCGAAUAAUGCAACUGUUUUUGACUUAGAGCCUGUGAGUUUCUUGAAUCUGUGGCCAUUUGGGAGCUGCAAGUUACACGUGAGCAAGAUUUUGCAUGAGAUGAGAUAUAGGAGGAUUUGGUAUUGGGAAUUUCUUUUUCAAUUGUCUGCUCCAAUAUUUUGUUAUUUUGUUAAUCAUGUAGACUAAUCGUGCAUUCCACUAAGAAAUUAUCCUUAUAGGCUAUGUGCACAUUCGUUGAAUUAUACUCCCUCCGUCCCAUAUAGUCUAAAAAGUGUUAACUAUACCCUUAUCCAGCCUCUGGUUUUUAAUGUUUUUUAGUGUUAGUUACUGCCAUCACAGGCUACAUUUUUCAAUACAUAUUUUUAAUUACCUUUUUUCACAUAUAUCACGUUACAAGUCGUAUUACAAUAAUUAUUUCGAAUAAUCUCCUAUUCAAUUGGAUUCAUUUUGGUAAGCAAUGAUGUUAUUAGUGUUCUUUGUACAUUGGUGGGUUAGUAUCAAAAUACAAAAUAAGUUUUAGAUUAUCUAUUUCUCUAUGUUGAAUUAGUCGAUUGAUUGUGCAUCCUUGAUUAUUAUUAUUUUUUUUGGCUUAUUUGGACCUUUUCAUUUUUCUCAGUGGCCUAAUUAACCAGCUCAAAUAACAACUCUACCUCCCACCUUAUUUGACCAGUUGUUCAUUAGCAUUUAUUGUCUGGAUAGAAUGUAACAUAUGCAACAUUCAAUGUUUGUUUUCACUUGAAAAUCAAUUGGGAAAAAAAAAUGGUAAUAUGAGAUUUAUGAUUGACUCCAUUCCAUUGUGAGGCAGAUACAAUUAACUUGUUUUUUUUUUUCAGUAGAUACAAUUAACUUGUUGAAAAGUACAAAAAUGAACAUACAGAUAGAUGUCAACUCGACUCAGCCUGCAUUGUUCAAGUCAAAUUCACAACCAAAAAAAAAAAAAAACUUAUUUUAUUGUAAUUUUUUGAACUAUCAUCAGGGCGGUCCACUAUUAUUUAGUUGUGAUAAAGAAUUUUAAUUGUAAUUGUUUGACCAAUCAUUUAACAAGGAAAAAACAUAAAUAUGAAAAAAAAAAUGAUAAAUUGCGUCUUCCAUGACUAGAAUAAUAACAUGCAUUAAAAACCCAAAAAAAAAAAACUUUAAACAUUCUAUAAUUCAAACCAACCAUAUUUCAAACUAUCAAAGAAAUUUAAUAGUAAUUUUUUCGACCUACCAUUUGAAUAGAAAAAAAAUAAAUAUGUAAAAAAAGGAAAAAGAAUAAGGAAAAGUGCUUUUUCCAUGAUUCUCUCUAACAAACCAGCAACAAUUAAAAUACAUUAAAAUCACAAAAAACAAAAAAAAAAGAAUCAAUCAGCCUUGGAUUUGGAUAAAGCCUGUAACCCUUAUACUUGAAUUUAAUAUGAAAUUGUUUUCAUGUCUUCGUAGUAGCCAGUAGGAGACUAUCCAAAAUAAGACCCUUAAAAUUUUUUCAAAGAGGAAUCUUUUUGUUUGAUGUGAUGUAGAGUGACAAUUUUGUCAACGUAGACAAAAUAGUUGAUAAUAAAAUAGCCUUGAAAAUGCACAAAGUUGAUGCCUUGAUGAAAGAAACCAUUUGCCAUUUCAGUCAUCAUUAAAACUCUCCUAACCUACCUUCCUUUGCUUGUUGUGCUCAAGCCAUCUUUGUCUGCUAAUAAUUUCAAAUAGUUUCUAGAAGGGGGUUUUGAUUUAAUUUAUUUUAUCCAAUUGCUUUUUUUUUUUUUGAAUUCUUUUUUGCGUGGAAAAUUAUUUAGUUGUAUGCAUAUGACUAAUGACUAGACCGAGUCCCCUGUGCACGUUACGCGCCAGCGAUGACCCAGCUCAGCAGAAGCCCUCACAGUUGGGUCCCACUGACUGUGCCCACGUGUGCUCCAAAAACUGACCUCCGUUCCGUUAGCUUUCAUCAAGCUAUCAGCCGGUGGCAUUUUCACACGUGGUCAACCACCGUUUGAGUUUUUUUUUUUUAAAAAAAGAGUUUUUCUUUUUGGUGUUUUUUUGGGGGGUGAAGAAAACGCCUUGUAGUGUUUGUAAAACACACCUUUGGAUUACUAUUUUUAGUAGCUUUUAAGAAAAAUAUAUAUAACGAUUUGAGGUAUAUGAGAUAAAAAGGUGAUUAAAAAAUGUAUUCAUAAAAAACGUAAAAAAUUACUCUAUAGAAAGUAACAAUCCAAACUUAGGGUAAUUAGUUUUUUUUUUUUUAUCAGCUAUCAGUAUAUAAUUUUUUUUACUAACAGAUUUAGUUCAUUGCAUAUAAUAUGAAUUUAAAUUUAAAAUUCAAAUUAUGUGCACGUGGCAUAUAUUUAUAACUGUUAGUAUAAAAAAAAUCAUUACACUGUUAGUGCAUAAAAAGUAAAUCCUUAUUUAAUUGCAUAUAUUUAACUCUGUAUUAUUACACUGUAUUAUUCUUUUUAGGUGUUAUUUUAGUGGUAUUAUUGUAAGUAGUGCUUUGGUUAAUCCAUAAAUCUUCAUUUGUAGUGCAGACACCUACACAUAUCUUUUUAAUUAUAUUUAAUAAUUUUUCAAUUAAUUCGCUUUCAAGAACGUUUUUUUUUCCUUUUGAUGUUAUGCCAUAAAAGGAACGAGAUAAGCACCCAAAAAAAGUAAAGAUGAACCUACAAUAAUAAUAAUUCUAGUACCAACUGCACACACUGUCAUGUCAAAAGUUACGAGCCAAUUUAAAUUAAAGUUUUUGUAGAAAAAUUUACUGUAAUUAUAUGUGUUAAGGGAAUAUUUCAAAACUUUUUUCAUAAAAAAACUUGCAAUCCAAACGGCCCUGUUAAUAAUAUCUGAUACCGUCAAUAGAUUCCCCGGAUUAUAAAACCGUUUAACUCAAUUGUGCUCAUUCCAUCAGAAUUGAUCCCAUUAAAUAACUUCCUCAGUUUGGUUUGAAUUUUACUAUUUUUUAUGCAUUAAAAUGCUUUUAUUUUUUUAAAAAAAAAAAUGACAUGAUGUUUUGAAAUUACGAUAAUAAUGAUUGAAAAGUUAUGCAUGAUAAAGACAGGAUGAGUUUUGUCAAGCAGAUCGUGCUCGACAAUUUCCAGCAACCUCAGUAAUAGAAAUUUUUCCGUUAGUUUUCUUAUCAAAAAAAAAAAAAAAAGAUAGGAUGAGUUUUAUAUUUAUUUUGAGGAGGGGAUUUAACGCUUAAAUAAUCACCUCUACCAUACAUAACAGAACAUGAACCCUAAUCCGAAUCCCACCAGGCUAGACAGCUGCCCACUUCAAUCAAUACCAAGCCUAUGGUCAAAAACUACAACCCCACUCCCAAAAAAAAAAAAAAAAAAAAAACUCCAUCAUAGCAAUUAUUAACUCCAUGAUUUUACAAGAAAAAAAAAAUGCAUUACGUUUGAGUUUUUUUUUUUUGUUAAAAGUCUUAUAUAUUGUAUAUCUCAUGUUGUUGAAUGGUAGUGAAUAUGUGAGUUGGUUCAUUCUCUAAUUCAACCUAUCUUAACUUGAGUUGAAUAAACGAUGUGGUAAAUAACAAGUGCAAAUUCUAUGAAGUAAAGAAAAAUCCUCGUAGAAGAUGCAAACAUGUGUUAGCCAAUCCAAUUAUGUACAUCUUAUCCUUGAGUACCAAAUCCCUCUAUUUGUGGAUUCAUGAUUAAAUGACACUAGAAUUCACAUGAUUCCAACAAAAACAAAUUAAAUAAAAUUUUGGGCAAGACUAUUGAUCAAGAACCUAUGGCUACUUUGGGAGAAAAGAAUAUAUUUUUGUUCACAUGAUUCUAAAAAAAAGAAAUUAUAAAAAAAAUUGGGUAAGACUAUUGAUCAAGAAGCUAUGGCAACUUUGAGAGAAAAGAAAUUAAUGUAUUUUGGUAAAAUGUGGAUGCUUGUGACUUGGGAGUAGUGUUUCUAAUUUUAUGCGUAGAUCAGAAUUCACAUGCUAGUUUCACCUUUAAAAGACAGAUCUAGCAAUAGCUACCCCUGUAAUUGGACAGCCCUGUUAAUAAAAACCCCCCAAUGGCAAGUUGGCAACUAAGAUGAAAAAAAAAUGUAUUUGAUAGAACAAAAUUUUAUUGAUAUAAUUAAUUUAUUUCCAAAUUCUUUUUUGAUGAUUCCCAAUUUCUUUUCAAUGUAUUAUCACUACUCAUUAUUUUUAUGGGUUUGUUAGGAUUGUAAAUUAUUUGCAUAAUUUUAUUUAUUUACAUCAUUAGCACGUUUUUUAAUUACCUUUUUAUCUCACAUAUAUCACAUCAAAAAAAGCACUACAGUAUUUUUUUCAAAAAAUUAUCCUAAAUAUUCUACUAUCCAAAAAACUAUCUUAAAUAUUCUACAUAUAUUUAAUAUGUAUGGCUUGAUCAAUUUUAAGAUCUUUUAAGUAAAUGUGCUUACUGUAUUAAUUUUGAUUUUUGUAAUUAUAUGCCACACUAUUAAAUUGAGACAUACUCAAAAUUUUCCACAAGUAAAUAAAUAAACAAAAAAGAAAUCAAAAUGCUUUUAAGUGCUUAUUGGUAAAACAAAACAGUACAAAAAUAAAAACAAAAAUCGUUCAAAAUGUCUCCCAUAUUUUGCCAAAUGAAUUUUUUCAUCAUUUACUUUUAAAAUACUAAUUUUAUGUUCCUUAUAAAUUUAAGUUAGCAAAAUUUUGUCAUAAUCUAAGUUUUUGACAACUUUUUCGCUUGAAAUCACCGUAUGAUUUAUAUGUAGUCAUUUUUUAUGUAAAAAAAAAAUUCAAAUCUCAUAUUCUUGGAGGCAAAAAUAAAUAUUAAUUAGAUUAGAUCCCACUUUUAAGAAAAAAAAUAAAUAUAAUUCAUGUUAGAUCCUACUUUUUUCAGAAAAAAAAAUGAUUAUGAAUGAGAUCAUUUGCUCAAUUAUAAAUUAGAUUUAAUAUUUUUGCCUCAAAAAAUUAUCAUGUAUGAAUUACGUGAUGAAUUUGUGAUAACAAGUGGUCAGAACUAAAUUUUAUUGACUCAAUUUUAUAACAGAUGUAAAGUUAUUAUUUUAAAAGUGAGGAACAAAAAAAUUUAUUUGAUGAAAUAUAAAAAAAAAAACGUUUUGAACGAUUUUUCUAAAAGGGAAUGAUAAAGGUAAACGGUUCGUAAACCCCCUAACAGUGGAAACGGUCAAUUUCCCAAAAGCAAGACGAACAGCAAUCUUACCACAGCGUACUACUCCAGUACUGAUGCUGACGCAACCCAUUCAAUAUGUACCGUACGAUGAACCCAAAAGUUACAUCAGCGGCCCAAAUUGAAUAUCAUAGAUUCCAUCAGAAUUUCUGUUUGUGGGCCCAGAUUAUGUCAUGCGUGUUCAUUUCGUGUGUGAGCGUGUUUAAGAGCCCGCUGGCCCAGACACGCUGUCCGGAACUUAACCUCUCCACUUUUUUACUCCCUAAAAACCUCAAUUACCUACUUUUUAUGGUAAUUAAUCUUAAAAUCACCAUUAAACAUUAAAAAACCUUAAUUACCUCAAUUUCUAUCAACUUUUCAUUUCCAACCAUAUUACGCGGUCCAAAAUUCCAAAUCAACCCAAUAUAAGACUCUCCUUCCUUGUAGGGUUCCAAGCAUCAGCCUUUCUUUUCUCUGUCUACAAUCACUCUCCUGAGCCUCUCAUCACCAUUUCUCUCUCAAGAUUGCUUUUUUAGCCUCUGUUUUUGUUGUGGGAUUUGGCUUGUUACUCUUUUGCAGUAGUGGGUUCUUCAAACACUUGCUUCAUCUGGGCGCCUUUUUGCAUUUUGAUCCAAAUUCUUGAAAUUUUAGGCUCUUUACCACCUGGGUUUUUGUGGGUUGGCCUUUAGAUUUCCGUUUGCAAGUUCGGAUUUUUUGGGGUACAUUGAUAAAGAAGCAAUCUUUUUUUGAAAAUUUCCAGCUGAAAUUUUUUUGAAAUUUGUGGUGAUCACUUCUGGAUUUUGAUUAAGUUAUUUUCGGUGUGUUUUCCAUCUGGAUUUUGGUGGGUUGGCCUUAGUUUCUGGUAAAAAAGCAAUCUUAGAGAUUUUCUCCCCUAGAAUUUGUAGCUGAAAAUCAGGGCCAUUUUCAGGAUUUUCUUGAAAUUGGCAAUUAGUUUUGAGUGUUUGAUGUGAGGUAAGAAAUGCCAGCAACAGAUUACCAAGGGGGAGCGUCUUCUUUUGCAAAUUUUGGGCGUUCAAUUUUGAGUAUUCGCAGGGAUCAGGUCCAUUCAAUGGAUUCCUCUCAUGAGGCCACAAGCCAAGAACUUGAGCUCGAGGCCUUCCAGAAGCUAGUGGCUGAAAGGUUCAAUGAUCUACUGGCUGCAGAUUCCAGUGAGCUGCUCUCUAUUCCAUGGAUUCGUAAGCUUUUAGAUGUUUUUCUGUCUUGCCAAGAUGAUUUCAGAGUUAUACUUUUUAAUAAUAGAGCUUACUUUAAUAGAGCCCCAAUGGAUCGUCACAUUUCUGAGUUUUUUGAGAGGAGUGUUAAGGCUUUGGAUGUUUGUAAUGCUAUUCGUGAUGGUAUUGAGCAUAUAAGAUCAUGGCAGAAGCAAUUGGAAAUUGUUUUAUGUGCUUUGGAUAAUCAUAAGAGUUUCGGGGAAGGCCAUUUCCGACGUGCAAAAAAGGCUUUGAUUGAUUUGGCUAUUGGUAUGCUGGAUGAGAAAGAGAGUAAUACUACUCUUGGUCAUAGAAAUAGGUCUUUUGGGCGCCAAAAUGCUCAGAAAGAUCAGAGGUCAUUAGGCCAUUUCCGAUCAUUAUCAUGGAGCGUUUCGCGGACUUGGUCAGCAGCUAAGCAGCUACAAGCAAUUGGGAACAAUUUGGUUGCUCCAAGAGCUAAUGAAGUCAUGGCCACCAACGGAUUAGUGGUGGCUGUUUUCACCAUGAGCUAUGUGCUAUUGUUUGUAAUGUGGGCUCUUGUUGCUGCUAUUCCUUGCCAGGACCGAGGCCUCGGGACACAUUUCUCUGUCACCAGGCAGUUUAUUUGGGCUGUGCCUAUACUGACCCUUCACGAGAGGAUUUUGGAGGAGUCCAGGAAAAGGGACCGCCGAAAUGCUUGUGGGUUGUUGAAGGAGAUUCAUGAGAUUGAGAAAUGCGCGAGGCAUAUGAACGAGUUGACUGAUUCUGUUCAGUUCCCUUUGACGGAUGAAAAGGAGGCAGAAGUGAGGCAGCGAGUACAGAAGCUAGGACUUGUUUAUGAAGCAAUAAAGGAUGGACUGGACCCGCUGGAGCGCCAGGUUAGAGAAGUAUUCCACAGGAUUGUUCGCAGCAGAACCGAGGGUCUAGACACCAUGGGUCGCGCUAAUACUAAUUAGUCAUGGUUGAUAGAUUUAUGUCUAAAGUUGCUUCUGGCAACAAAUGUAGAGCUUGCAAAUAUGUUAUGCACUUUUGUUUUCCAUAGAUGAGAAUGAGAAUGAGAAUGAAAUGAGGCAAUAGGCCAAGAAUAAUGAGGAUCAUAGAGGUAAAGCUUUGUACUUAUCACAAUAUAUUAUAUGUAAAGAAAAUUAGGUGAGAUUACUGGGCGUCAUUGAUGUUGUGCUGCAUCUUGUGUUGGCUUUCUACAAUCAAAUUUCCAACUAGAUUUGCUUCAGGUGAUGACUCAUUUUGUCUUCAAAUUUUUGCCUUGAGUUACAUACUAGCAUAACAAGAUUCAGUCACAGAUUAUUUCUUCAUGUAUAAUAGGAGAAAUCUUCUGGUCUUUGUGCUACCCAUUAAUAAGUAGUCUUUUGUAUAAUAGUAGAUCAUUCUGAAGGAUCUUCAGAUUAUUGAUAAGUAAUUUAAGUUAAUUGAGUUGUUUCUUCCUUUCUCUUUGAAGAUUUGCCUGAAGCAUUUUAUGAUAUUUUCAUCUCAUUUAAUAACCUCCUCUCAUUUCCUUUUUUUAGGCUUCUGCUAUUCUCAUGAAGUCUAAUAGCGUGCAGAAGCUUCAUCUCUGGUCAACAGUUACAAUGGAUUUGGUCAAUAUUUGGGGAUUUCUUGAUUGGAUUUCUGACUUCCAAUCCAUUUGUCAAUUUCCACUGUCAAUUGUCCUCUUUGUCGUGCCAUUAAAAUAACUGCUUUGACUUGCUCAAAGUCACCAAUGUUUUUAUUCUUUCUUGCCCUUUCAGCUCUCAAACAGAAACCCCCCUCCUGGACACUUGAUUGCCUUAUUGGAUUUGAAGCACAAUGAUCAUCUAGAGUUGCUUUUGUAGGUGUAUAUUUGCUUCCGUCAAAAGUGAUUCUGCUCUUUACUGACUAAUUAUGGGAAAUACCAUGUUUCACUCUGUUAGAGUUUAAUUUGACCAUGUUUCACUUGCAUGCAGUACUCUGUUAUUUGUUCUUGGAUGUCUUUUCAGUUACAGCGUGUAUAAGGAUGUCACUUGUGGCUUUCAACCGCAAUUGAAGAGUUAACAUACCCCUUCCCAAAAAAAAAAAAAAAAGUUACUAAUAUACUAGUGUUUGUUCAAAAUCCCAGCUGUUUUGGUCGCCCCUGCCCAUUUUAAUAUUGUAAACCAUGUAUAUUCUCUGCAACAGGAAAGGGUGACAUCAGGUAAGUCUGCUAAGAUUUUAAUAUUCUUAGUAUUAGUUUCUUACCUCCCCAUAUUUUUAUAUGCAGGGUCUACACUCACAUCAAUGCCUCUCUGUAAUUUUCACCACUGUAAUUUAAGGAAGGGCUGACUGCCAGAAACUUUGAAUAUGUGAUUUUCCAUGGAGAAUUUGAAACACUGAACAAUUUAGUUGACCAUGCCUAGAGUCUUCUUGUCAUGGUUUUACUGCAGCUCUAACUUUUAGAGCUUGCAUAAUACCGUUGACUGUUUCUACAACAUCUGGCAAUUACGAACUAGGGAUGUCUAGUUAAAUGUCCAUGUUGGUAUUGCUGUGUUACUAGAUUGUUGUCCGUCCAUGCUGAAAAAAGAUAUUUUAUCAGUUAUUAUCCCAUGUGUAAAAAGCCUUUUCCUUGCUGUUUGGUGGUUCUUUCUAACUACUGCUGAUCUUUUGCCAUUGUUUAUGAAGUUGGUCUUCUUUCUUGUUUGACUGACUUGUUCACUUUUGAAGUUUAAUACAUCCCCAAAGUAAUACUUGUAAUUUAAGCAAUCUUCUGUGUCAUAGAAAGUUUGCAGGUGCCGCCAAUGACCUUAAAAUAGAAGGGGGUUAAGGGAAGAGGUUACUUGCAAGUUAAAACAACUGUGAGGAAACUAACAUCAUCUUUGAGGUUUCACAAUACAACAUAAAGGAAAGCUGCUAUUACCAAACAGUGAGAUCUUGUUUAUAAUUGAGGACUAUUACUCUAGAAAAACCUGGUCUGAAUUCGGUCAUGUUCAAUUCAUCAUGGAGAAAUUUCCUUCUCACGUUAGUCUAUAAUCAUUAUUGAGAUCUCUCUUGUACAUUGCAUUUCUACAACAACCCUCUUCAUAAUAGGCGCAAUUUGCUUUCUGCUGAUAAGUCACUAUCCUGCCUUCAAAUUUUUUGGGGUGACGGCAUAGUUGGCAAUUGUACCAACAUUUUCAUAAAUAUGACUUGUUUCUUCUUGUACUCACCACCAGAGAAAAUUGAGAGGCCACAAAGAACAAAGGGUCCUCAUUGAAGGAAUCUACCACAGUUGUUGUGACUUGAUAUAUAUAUAUAUAUCUGGUGCUUUAAUUGCUAACAGUUGUUGGUUGGGUUGGAAAUUCUGGCAUGAUCUGAUAAGGUGCUUCAUUGCAAUAUGACUCUGAAGUUUGAAGGGAUUGAUGUUACAUGAGAAUCUCUAAUUUCAUAUUGUUACCAAUCUGUUGCAAGCUAAUGUGUAGCUUACCUUUCAUGUAGGGUAUGUAUGUUCUUGGUAUUCAUCCAUCAGUUCCCUUGUACUCGUUACAUUUGGAAGAUUUGAGAUGCCAGCUUUUUGAUAGGAAAGAACUUUGUGACUUUGUGUACUAAAUCAGUCUUAGCUGGCUAAAUUGAAGAAAACUUCCUAAUUGAAAUGAAUAGAACAAAACGUCUCUCUUGCACAACCCGAUGCAAAAAGACGACAAAAAUUGACUUUUUCCCUUAUUUGGGGUGACUGUUGAUGGCAACAAUUUUGGGCAUUAUGAGAGCGUUUGACAUUUUGUUUUAGAGAAAUUCUUUGAAUUUCGGAUGCAAUGCAAAAUGUAAUUGGAUUGCAACAGAUUACACCUUUACGUAAAGUAUUUAAAUUCACACAACUACCUAAUUGGUUUUUAUCGUUCUCUCCAUCUUUGGGAUAAAUUAGGCCCUAUUUGGCAGUUAAGUUUUUUGCCUAAUUUUUUUCCUACAAGGUUUUUAAUAACUUUAGUUAUAACAUAAAAAAACUCCUCAAAAUUUUUAAAAUACACAUUUCAAAAUACCCAAAAACACAAAAAAUUUCCCUUCUUCCUUUAUUCUUCUUCCUCCCCCAUCUCAACCCACCACCAUCUUCGUUGCUAGCCAACACCGAUCGGCACCUCUUUCGGCGUUGGUUUCAGCGCCAAUCAUGGUAGAGUUUUUUUUUGCUUCUGGUGUUGGUUUUUUUUUUUUUUUGGCUUUCUCCUUCUCUUCCCUCUCCCUUUUCCUCUCCUCCUUCCUCCUCACUCCCUCUCCUCCUCCCCUUCCCUACUCUUUCACUCGCAGCCUCUCUCCUUCCCAUCCCUCCCCCGUCAUCCUCCCUUACCCUUUUCGUCGUGCAAUUUGGAGAGAGAUGGCAAGUGAGAGAGGAGGGGGAGAAGGAAGGGGAGGAGGAGAGGAAAAAGAAGAGGGAGAAGAGAAAGAAAGAGAGAAAAAAAAAAAAAAGCCUGCUGCUAUCGGCGCCAAUUGCCGGCAGAGGUUCUGGAGUCAGUGAUCGGCGAGUGGUGAGGUGAGGGAGGAGAGGAAAGAAAAGGAAAAAAAAAGAAAAAAAGUUUUACAUUAAAAUUUUUUUUUAAACAAAUUAUAGAGUAAGUUACAUUAAAAUUUUAGACAAACACCAAAAAAUUUAUUUGCCAAACAGAGCAUUAUUUUUAUUAUUUGACAAUGAUAAAAGUGAUACAUAAAAGUUUUCUUAUAAAAGAUAGUGAGUUGCGGUCCUAGAAAUUGCUGGUUCCAGUUUUUCCAACCGAACUUUGGUUGGAAAGAAUUAAAUAGAUGACAGUUCUUGGGCCUGCCUAACACCCAUGGCCCAGAUGAGAGUCAAAUGGUGGCCCUCUUACAAUUUUCCAGCUGUGAAAUGGUUUUGAAUGAAAUAUCCAUGGACCAAGGCAAUCAGCAAGUGGCCCCAACUGCAUUCAUUUGCAUUCAGCAUUUCACCUUUUUGGAAUUAGGGAAGUGGGCCUGGAAAUUAAUAAUAGCAAACCUGAUGCUCAUAUGUCCAUGUCAAAAUUAAUCCAAUUUUCUAGCAGGACUUUUAUAAAAUUUAAAAUGCUUCAAAUUUUUUAUGUUUUACCACCAAAAACCGAGGCAGCAUUGCAGCAAGGGUUUAUUUAGAGUAAAUACGUCAAUUGACAGUGUAUAUAUUAUGACGUUUGGAUGCAUGAUAUAUAUUUAAAAUUUACAUUCUAAGUUUAAAUUUAUAUUAGGUAUUAAUGUAUAUACUAUGAGUGUAUAAAAGAUUAAUUCUUGUUUUUAAUACUACUCUAGUUAAUUUAUUCGAUAUUAUAAUUUAGACUACAUUAACAUAAGAGAACUAUUUUAAAGUAGAGGAGUACUAAUUUGCAACAUAAUCCCCUUUAUCCUUCUUAAUAAAAUAAAAUAGGACUGGCAUUCCCACCCCGUGGACGGGGUUUUUGCCACAAAGAAAAAAAAAAUCCCCUGUAUCCUUCGUAAUAAAGAUCACCAUACUUUUGUGUUUCACUGGAUAAAAUUAGGUUACCAUCUAAUUUUUUUUCUUGAUCUUCAAUUGAUUAUCUAGGCUAGUUUUUUAUUCAAUCGACAUCUAACUAGACUCGUUGAAUUAGCUAACAACUUUUAAAUUUAUGAGUUGUUAACUGUCUUUCAUGAAAACAUUUAGUAAUUUGCUUGAGACUUUUAAGUAUACCUGGCAAUUGGGCGAGUUGGCCGGGUUUUGGGCGGGUUAAUAUUGAGUUUUUACUUAAAUGGGUUAUACCCAACUCGCCCAACUUUAGAUUUAAUUUUGGGUUGGGUCAUAUUGGGUCAUCUCAAACCCAUGACCCAAUAUAUUAAUUAAUAGAUUUUGAUACACAAAUUCUCUCAGAUACAUUUUUGCAUACAAAAAAAUUUUUUCACACGCUAAAACACUUUCACGGAUACAAAUAAACACUCACUUCUUAAGUUUUAAAAAAUACACCGUUUUUACACACUAAUAUACUUUUACAAACACACACACGUACUAACUGCUUAAAGUUUAAAUUAUUUGGAUGAACUCAUUGGUUUUUAUACAAGUUAGGAUUUUCAAAUUGGAUAGUGGAUAUAGUUUUGGUCCAAACUAAGAGACCGAAGCAACAAUUUUUGUUCAAAUUGAAUAUAGCAUGAAAAAAUGGUAUACCAAUAUGAAGCAAUGCAAGUUCAAGAUCUCAUUUUUAGGACUUUCUUCUUCAACUUGUUUAAAUUUAGUUAAAUAUGCAAUGUUCCAAUUCCAAUUAUAGUCAGUCCUAGUUGUGUGUGUGUGUGUGUGUAUAUAUAUAUUCAUGGUGAUUGGUGACCAACCGAAGAAUCGUUGAACCAAUGCAACCAAUUCUCGUAGUACAAUAUUUACUUGCAUAUCUUACACCAGAAAUAUGCAUUUUUAGGAUAUUGCGACUGGAAGAAUAGAAAUGCAAAAGGGGAAGCAAAAAUGAACCCAAAGUGGGAUUGAAAUUUUGUUUCUGUUGAUUGAAAACGUUGUUAGCAAGGUGGGGAAGCUUGUGGUGGUGGAGGUUUAUCCGCUGGAAACAUAUAUUCGCUACUUGCUGGUCUUUUCUUGCUCCUUAAUUUUAAUUUGUUUAAUUAUUUUUUAACUUAAGUUGGGUAAUGAGUACCCAACAUAAAUACCCAAACCGCCCAAAAUAUAUGUGGGUUUUUAUUACCCAACCCAAAACUGACACAACACCCAAUUUACCCAACCCAACCUCUCAAAUUAGUGGUUGGAUGGAUUGUUGGGUUUUGGGCAUAACUGCUAGGUCUACUUUUAAGUAAUUUUAGUUAUUUAAUAGCUCUAAUUUACCAUCUAACCUUAUAUUAAUUGAAAAUACAAAGUAGAAGCAAAUUGAGUUUCAAUUUUAUAGUACCUCUGAUGACAAUUAAAAGGGUGUUAAACAUUAAAGUUGAUUUUUUGAGACUAAUGAAGAGCAAUUAGUUUGUCAUUUACUACUCUUACUUUCUUAUAAAGUCUAGAAUUAUCUUUUGAUUUACUGAUGUCAUUUAGUUGUUAGUUGGUAUUAAUUACGAGGGGUACACAUAUAAUUGUAUCUGAUGUGGGCAAGACAAUAAGAGAAGUUGUUUUCUUGUUGAAUGCAGUUCAUUCUUAGUUAUAUUUUUCAGAGUUUAUUACUGGUUCUGGGCUGGUGUAUUCUGUCAUACGCCCUUUUUCUACAAAAGGGUUAUGAGCGUUCAAUAGUAAAAUGAGAAAUCAAAAGAAACAUAACUAAAUGUAAUCUUCAACCUGUUUAUUUUAUUGUUGGAAAGUGAAAUGAAUUGGAAAAAUCAAGUGUAAGAACAUUACUUCCCAAGGAGGCUGUGCGAUCAAGCAUCCCAAGCAAGCAAUCGACUUUUUAAAUGUUGAAAGCCGUCCAUGUCCAUAAUAACACACCAGAUGAAGCAAAGCACAUAUACUUUACUAACACAGUUAAGUUUUGCCAUGUGAAUUAUGGUACAUGUUUAUAUAGGUGCAUGUAUAUGGGCAUAGCAUUAUUUUUCAAGUAGCCAAAAAUGGAUCUUGAAUUGGGACUUAAGCUUAGAAGAGUUGCAGAUGAAUUUUGCUUAGCUGAUUUUCAAUUUUACAAGGAUCGUACUGGUCCUGUUUUCAUUUCUACAGAAACAGAUAGUAAGUUCUUCCUCACUGCCCAUCUCAAAGGUAUGCUCAUUCUUCCUCAUUUGCAUCUCUUUUUUUCUUCAGGAUGUUGAAUUUAAGAGAAUUAGUCUUGAGCCUAAUCCUCAUUAUUUAUUUCGACUAGACUAAUAAGGUCUCGUCUGCACAUUUUGACAUUUUCACUUGGUGAUUUUGGAUUGUAUCAUUAUGUUAAAAUAUGUUUUGAAAAUUUCAGGGCAUAGGAAACAGAAUAUUAAGAUUGAGAUCAAUGAGGACGGGACUCGAAUAAUAAUAAGUGGUGAAAUGGAAAUUCAGGAGACUGUAAUGGUGGAAUGGAGAUUGUACAGAAAAGAAACAGAAAUUAGGAGAUUCAGGAAGGCUUUCAAGAUCCCUGAUGGGGUGAUCUUGGAUAAAAUCAAAGCAAAGUAUAAUGCGGAUGAAUGCAUAUUGACUAUUUCAAUGCCGAAGAAAGAUAAGGGAAUUCGAGGGUUCGACAUUGAGGAGGUGCAGGAACAGGAGCUUGCUAGAGAGGGGUCAGAAACUUUGGAGAUAGUGCCUGAUGAGGUCCCUAAACAAGAAGAUGAGAUGCAAGAAAAAGAUCAAGAAGCAGAGGCAGAACAUGCCGAGGGAAGUGGCUUAGCAGAAGAAGAAUAUUCAGAAGUUCCUGAAAUUGCAACCAGUGAAGAACCUAAAGAAGCUGGCUUCGAUGUUGCACCGCCUGAAGAAACUCAGGCGGCGGAGGUUCAUGAUAUGAAGAAAGAGGAAAUGAAAGAACAUCAACUAGACCAGAAUGAAAGGCUGAAGAAGCCGUCAGAAGAUCAUGAAGGAACAGUUGAGGAAGCGAAAAGUUCUCCAGAUGUAGCGAAUGGAGAAGGAAGUGGUAAAUCCCCUGCAAGCCAUCUCGCCACGGGCGAAACAUCUCAAAGGGAAAGUGUGAUGCAGGCGCAAGAGUUGGAAAAGGAAGAAAAAAGCCAAGGUAUUGAAGGAGAUAUGGAAAGAAAACAUGAACAGCCUGAGCCUUUGACUGAAGUCAUCGACCAAAAUCACCAUAAACGUGAUCAAGUUGAUGGAAAAGAAAGUGGCACUCAAGAAGCAGAAGAAGAAGAAGAAUCCGCUUUAGUUAAACCUCCUGAUGAGGUUCAAGAAGAUAGGCCAUCAAGGAUUGAGAAGCACAGGGGAAGAUGCAAAAUGUGUGCUCCUAUUCUUGCAGGAUCUGCCUUACUAUUGUCCCUUGUAGUGUUUGUCAUUCAAUUCAUAAGAAAAAAAAGCCAUCAAGGGAAAAGGAAAGAAUAGCCAACACCAUUGUAGCAAUUAUAUACUCUGCGCAGCAACUAUAUAGAACGAUAGCUUUGUCAUAGGAGCUGACAGGUUAAAUUCCACUUAAUCCUGAAAACCAUUUACACAUACAUUUGUUGAUGAUGGAACGCUAGGGAUUAAAUACCUUAUCCAAGCAAUAAAGUGUCUAUUAAAUCGUCAUGCAGUCCCAUGGGAUUAUUGAGCAUUGACAUAGUCUUCAAGUUCUUGAGUUUUGAUUUGCUCAUUGACCUCAUUAUUCUUGAUCCAUCCAGGCUUUUUUAUGUUGAUGGAUUCUAAUUCAAUUAAUUCCAGCAUUCCCUGUUUCUUAUCUCUAUGUGGUUACCUGAGCAAGUGUUCUCUCUCUUCCAUACGUCUGUAAUUAUAUGUUUCAUUGCUAUCCAAUCAUUUGUGUGCUUUCUUGCUGUCACUAGCUAACCAAGAGUCAAAUACUCGGUGAAAAGCACUCAAAAGAAGAAGAUAAGUUAAGACGAAACCUAUAAAAAUGACAAUGAAGCAAUGGAUUGGUGGCCAAAGCUAAAGAUUAAAGAACAAAGUGCUAAUGAUUCUAAAGUAGGGUCAAAAGAUAGCAAUAUUACAUGGUAUGAUUAUCGCCCUUAAAGCUACUUUAAAUUUAAAGCUACAGUUCCCACUGCAUUUAAGCCCAACUCAUUUUUUUCCCUUUUGAAUUUACAUUCUCACCAUCAUUCUCUCACUCAGUGCCUUUCUUAAUUUCAUAGCAGCAUCAGUAAAAUGAUACAGCACAAAGCUCUUGGAACUGCUAGUACCCUAACCACCUGCAUUAUCAUCAAGCAAAAGGGUUUCAAUCAGGAAAACAAUCAUAAAGCUGCAAAAUGCAAUGAUCAUGAAGUCACCAAAAAGGAAAAAAAAAAUCUCAAAAAUCUCACUUUAGUGUAAUUUGGCAUGCAAGAGACAAAAAUUAACCUACUUAUAAUUAUAAUGUUUGAUCUCCCAUUAUUCAUCACAUCUAAAAUCACGAAAUUGGUCACAUUUAAAAUUUUUCUUUUGCCAGGUGAACUAUGAUGCACAGACUAAACAUCAAAAUACAGAUUGAAGAAGGUUAUGAAGAUUUAUGGAUUUCUUCUUCUCUCUAUCUUUUUUUUUAAAAAAAAAUUUCUUUAUCUUUCUCUCCUUUGUGGUCUACUUAAGGAUAUCAGAAUGAGAUGAAUUGCACGUGAAGUGUCCUUUUGGGCAAAAUUCUUUCUGCACAUCUAAAAGUUGACACCAUUUGGCAGUUUGAAUCCAAUACUUUGCCUGAAAUAUUGCAUCCCUAAGUUUUUGUUUUCUCCUUCAUGUUUAUUUUUGCGCACAAUGGCAGAAAUACAUAGAAACUCUAAAGCAAUUGGUCACAUAAGCUGCAGGGGUGACACUGGGACUUACAUUCAGAGCAUGGUAAAUCUAUAAAUCACCAGAUGAAAACUGUUUAACAAGUCGACUAACUGGUCAAAACUGGGUACAUCCAGUCUUCAAAGAUCCGGUCUACUCAGGUGUGCAAUUUAUUAGUCUUUCAAAUGCCAAUCAUGUAACUUCCAUUCCAAUUUUCUUUUCCCAAAUCAUGACAAGAAUUUAAUUAAUACUAGAAACAAUUGAUCCAAAGUUUACAGACAUUAAUAUGCUGAAUAAGUAAACUUCACAGGUAUGCCUCAACUAGCUUAUUCCUGCUUAACAAUUUAAACCAACCGAAACAAGAUUUUGUACUUACCGACUAUUCAUUAGAAAAAAUAGCACUGCCACUAUGCGAUGAAUAUGCAACUACGCAAACUAAAGGGCUUCUUUACCUUUCUUUCGUAACUUCCAGAAACGGGGAAAGGCCGAAUUGUAGCAGUAUCGACUUCGCCAGUCGGUAGGGGUACAGCAGGAUUGCUAUUGAUAAACGGAAUUCCACUUUUAUCAGGCACCAUGGGGCUGGUGGCAGGAAACAUUUCACUUGGUGCAGGACUAGGUGAAGUGACAUCUCUAGGCCUAAAAGGCCAAGGAAAUGCUGGAGAAGACGCCACGAAGCCACCAGAACUUCGGGGUGGCGCCGCCAUUGGGGACAGAUCAGGUGGUGAUGAGGCCUGAUUUACAGGCGGGGCUGACAAAGUGACCUGAACAGCAAAUUUUUGGCCUUCUUGACAUGCUUUGUUAGAACCAUUGUUGAAUGAGAAGUAGAAGAAACCUUUUCUUGAAGGGUGCCACUAAAUUUCACAAGAAAACAAGAAAAUUGUUAGUAAUAUUUUACAUCCAUUCUUGAAUAAAACAUGCACAGUAAGAAAAUUUACUGACAAACUCGUUUCAUGGGUUCACUUUUUAGUGAGUAAACCACUAUUUAAAAAAAAAAAAAAAAGAAGAUGGUAAUAAUAAGCAAGUAAUAGAGCUAGUUUGCAUCCAUUCUUGAAUUAGACGCUCAUGCCAGAAAAGUUACCAUCAAAUUGAAAACGUGGUGCCAUUUUUUAGUUAGUAGCAGUACAUUUCUUUAAGAAGAUGGAAUUAGUAAUCAGCAAAGUACAUGGAGAAUAUCGGUCCAGCUUAUAACUAAAUUACAGUAAUACACCCCGUUUAUUUCUCCAAGAACUCUAAAGUAACAUCUUGCACGAAAAUACACACACAUGCAGAAGGAAAGAGAGAAUUACUGUGUAAGAAGUGGAAUUGGAUUUGGUGAGAAGAGUGGCUUGCUUGAAGUUGCAGAGACUGAAGGCUUCAUGAUUCUGGAAAAUGUAGAGGUUGUAGUGAUACUUGUGCUGAAAAACUGAAAAUCAAGAAAGACAGACACCAAAGUUAAUUUAAUUUCGUGACAAUGUUAUAUAUAUUAUGAUACUGGUAAAUAAACAAUUAAUUAGAGUUUCUGAAGGAGGGAUCAUGUGAUGACUGCUUAGUACUUACUGACAGAGUCUCCAAUUUGAACAGUAGGAUUUCUCCAUUCUGAGACACCAUCAACUACAACUGUUGCCUGUUGAGCAAUUUGGAAAUGUAGAAUCACAAAAACAAGACUGAAGAAAAAUCCCAUCAUGGAUGGAGCUCCCAUUUAGCUCUUACUAUAUUCUUGUCUUUGUGAAUCAAGAAAAUGGUCUGUUAGAAAAAAGUAGCCAGAGAAGUGUGUGUUUGUGCAGGUGCAGUAUCACUAUGUGUUGUGUGCGUGUGCUUGCUGGUGGACUGUGAAGUGGGGUGGAGGGGUUUUAAAGAGUUGUCAGCGGUGUUUGGCUUUUCACGGGAAGAGUUUGAAUGGUGGGCACAAUGUGGUACUGUGACAUUGUAGAAUGUGUAGCAUAUGAUAAUAGCAAUUAGAGUCAUGUUUUUUACAGUAAAAGGUGCAAUGAUUUUGUCUGUGAAUAAAUUUUUUGAAAACAGAAUGCAAAGAACAGUGGGAUUAUGUGUGUGAAAUUUUGGGUGGUUGUGAUGAGUGAUGAUGGGGAUUAUUAUUCUAAAAUGAUUAGGUUUGUGAUUAUCAAUCUGCAAGAAAUAAUCUCUUAUGUGCAACUUUAAUACUACUGUUAUGAUUGUUAUAUACUUUUGCUUUUUUGGGGUUUGUUGGGGAUUCCAAUCUUUUCUUUCUUUAUUGACUCACUGGACAUUCCUUUUGAGGUUUUGUUAAUCUUCAAUAUAUUUUUUCCUUUAUGCAACGUCCUAAGAUUCUCUUAUGCUAACGCUUGAAGGAAUAAAAUCUAUGAAGAAGCAUUCCAAGAAUUAUACAAAUUAAGUAUAAUACCCAAAGAAACAUCUCUAGAGACAAACUUCGGGCAGACAAGACAAGGUUUCUACUGCCAUUACUUCAUCCAUGAUUUUGUUUGCCACUGGGAUCAUGUUUUAUAUUUACCCGUGACAUAAUCUUAGAUUUCUAGAUCACUAAUAGAUCCAUAUACAAGCUUACGUUUUUUAUUUUUAAAUAAAAUAGGAAAAACAAUAUUAGUGUUACGUACUUUGUUCGAAAUUGUUCAACACUAAGUUCUGUUUAGAAACUCAUCUUUUUCCAAAAAAUUUUUACGUUUUUCGUGAAUAUAUUUCUUAAUCAACUUUUUAUCUUAUAUACGUCAAAUCGCUAUACUGCAUUUUCCUUACAAAAACUUCAAAAAAUAGCAAUUCAUAUGCAAGCUUAAACUUUUAUGUUUGCAAGGAUUCAAGCAACCUAUUGGUAAAUCUCAACCUUUGAAAUUGAGUUUUGUAAUGAGUUUUGCCGAGGUAAAUAUUACGAAUAAAGAUAAGAUUUCGGGUGCACUUCUGGUGCCCGAACAAGAUUAAUAUGGGUAUCAAUGAUUAGAAUUUAGAAAAUUUCUUGACUUCUGUUUACCAAAUGGGAUCUAGUCCCUGUAUGCUCUUGACCACGAAAGGAAAAAGAUUUUUUUUUCUUUUCUUUUUGCUUCUCUUUGUAUAGAUAUUUAAGAUUUUCUAUUGAGCUGAUGAUAUUUUAGUCCAAUCACCAAUUAGAGUAAAUUAUGCGAGUCUCGAGUCUUGUGUAUGGCUAAGGAGACAAACACACAGAUACCGACACUAACCAGGCUGAUCCCACAUCCAAGGACUGUAGAUCCGUCAUACCUUCUGCUUGGAUGUAGAUCCCUCAUACCUUCUGCUUGUAUCUGGUGAUUCUUCAGACGAAUUGUACCACAAUCAGUCAGGGAAUAUCAACAGUUCACUGUUUGAAAUCUUGUCCAGUAAUAGCAGUCUCCCAUCUUAAUAUGCUGCUGCAAAGUUGACAAGUGAUUUCUACUUAAAUCUUGGGUAAAUCUGUUCAGGUAAAACUUUCCUUUUAAUUCAGCUCUAAAAUCGUAGCGGAACUUGUGAGCUGGAAAAUGAGACCCCUUGGAAUCAUGGUUCAAAGUCGCGGUCGCGGCUCGGAUCGUUUCAUAUCUGUCUCGAUAUAUUGGUUGCAGUUUCGGCGAUACAUAAAUUUUUGAAAUAUUUAAUAUUCUAAAAAUUGUAAAAAAAAUAUAAUAAACAAAAAUAAUUAAAAAUUAACAAAAAUAAUAAAAAAUCGAGUUGACUCGAGAUGACUUGGGAUGACUUGGGACAACUCGACUGUUUCUAUCUAUCUCAGAAACGUCUGUGCCGAGUUCUCCAUGAUUCGGCUGAAUUCUCGGCGAUUCAUUAUUUCGAAAUCAUCUCGUUCCGAUAUAGCACCUAGAAGUCCUGUUCCGAUGGCGUCUCGGCCGAGUCAUCUCGAUUUUGGCAUAGUCUUUGAACCAUGCUUGGAAUCCAUCUUCAAGACCAUCUAGAUGAAGAUUCAAUGGUUUUUGGGCCACAAUCCUGCUGAAUGAGUUCAAUGAAAACAACCUAAUUUCAGAUUUCACAAGCGAGCAGCAAAAUCAGAAGUGCAAUACCCUUUAUCUCCUCGGGUAAGCUGUCCAAUUAAGAAAAUGAAAAAACCCCUUAGGUAAGAGGGUUUUUAGUACUGCUAGACUGAAAUCCUUCUUAUGAAAUGCUGGACCACGACUUCCUAACUGCAUGACCCCUAACACCAAAAGAAUAGAAAUUUCCCCUUUAUAAACCAAGACAAGGACUAGAGGACAAAAAUUGUGGCCAGAGGAGCGAGGAGAGGACUUCGAAAUGUCCAUUUCUACAGGGCUCGGUUUACAAUUUCUCAUUAACUAAUGAAAAACGGAUAGAUUAUCAUCGGAAAGGCUUCGUACUUUGAGGAAGCUCAGUAAGCUAACAAAUUAGUAGUAAAUACAGCAGAGUUCAAAUCAAUGCAAAGAUAUUCAGACCCUUAAGAGAAGAGAAAGUUAAAUGUAACACGAAGAACCCACAUAAUUGGCUGGAGAGAAAGUGACCACAUUUCAGUAUGCGAAUAAUGUAGGGUUAUACACAAACAAGCAUGAAAGAAAGACAAGGUCAUAAUUCUGGGAAGUUGUAUCAAGCAGGCAUUUGUCAACUGUUACCUACGGUAGCCAAGAGGUUGUACACAAACGAGCAUGAAGGAAAGACAAGGCCACCGUUUUAGGAAGUUGUAUCAAGCUAGCAUUUGUCAAAUAUCACCACAGCAGCUUAUAAGUUGUCGUUUCCAUCCUCGAAUUCUUCCGGCCAGCUUUCAUGAAUUGGCAGCAAAUAUAGAUAGAAGACACAUAGUUCACAUGAAGAAAAAUUACACAUACAUGGUAUCAAUUUCGGUCUGAAAUGGAUCCAACCAACAUCUCCACUUGCUAUAUUGAUGAUUCCCAGCUCAUAAUUUCAAACCUCAAUCGAGUAGAGCAACUCAUGCACUGGUCAGCAAGAAACAAUCAAGAACAAUCGCUUUCCUUGGGGACCCAGGAACAGAAACUUUUCUUGGUGCAAAUGGAAUUUUACAGAAGAAGUGAUAUCCUCCUGCUUUUAGUCCUCAGAUCGAAGGGACAUGCGUACACGGAUCAGAGGCAACAGAGAUGCCUUUACGGGCUGCGCCGUGCAUUUAUUUCCCCAGAUGCUUCAGAUUGUGAGCGCCUAACACUAAAUCUUAGCAUGUCAACAGUGCAAAUUGAAUGCAUUUUCUGGUUAAAAAGUAACAAUUCCCUUCGAGUUCUGGCAUGCCAAAGGAAGAAAGUCCGUACAACUUAAAAUAAUCUAUCUACUUGAUUAAAAGUGUAACCGAACGUUUCAAUGACAAACUUCAUUAGGACAUAAUAAUUUUAUAUAUUUCCCUUGACAUUAGCAACUUGGGGAACUACAGCUUUGCAUUGCGUAACUAAGUACAUAGAACGAACGAACCUGUCUCUGUUGACGUUUGCCAUUCCAACUAUCUAUUACAGAUCCUAGAUUAGGUAAGAGAUUGGAACCCAUUAGAGUAUAAGCCAUUUCAAUUUACAGCAAGAAUCACUUAAUCUCUCAAAGGGCUAGAGAAAACACUCAAGAUUAACCAGUAACCCUUCCACUGGACUGAAGCUCAACUAAGAAUACUUAUCCACAAUCAAUGACCACAACUGGAUCUUGCAACCAAUGCUAAGAUACGUUCAAUUUCCUUUUCACAUCAAGUGCAUAACAGAAAGUCACCAUUCCAUAGACCGAACUCUCCGCAGAAUGCGUGCUGGUCUUCGCUUCUCCACAACAGGGAUCACUUUCUCCUUUAGCUGUAUCAAAAAUAAAUUACCCAGUCAGUAUCUGAAGAUUUUCUUGCCAUAUACCAUUCUAGCCUUGGCUGAUCUACUCGUUAAUCUUAGGGAUAAAUAAAGCACUUAGCAGUGAGUUCAUUUCCAUGGUGAAAUUAAAUUAGUUAUCAACUAAAAAACUCAGCAAGCAUGUCAUCCUUCAGAGAUCAUGUUCAUUACGUUAUUCUUCCAUGUGGGUAUUCAUCAAAGGAUCUUAGAGCAAUUUUUCAAGUCCUACUACUCUAUAUAUGUAUUGUUGACAAAAGCUUAUUCUUUUCCCCCUUCACACAUAGCAGGUAACAAAUCUUGCAUUUGGAAUGAAGUAAAAACCAGAGGAACACAACAAGGACCACCUAUUUCCGCUGCAUUUGUCCUCAAUCCAUCAACCUAUUCAUCUAUCUCAGUCCAUCAUGGAACAGGAUAGCUUAAGGAACCUCCUAACAGCCUUAAAUGCCCAACAAGAGUUAUUAUAUAAGAAUAAUUCUAACACUGCUUGUUUCAAUGUAGAUUCUGGUUGACCCAGCCUAUUUGUUCACUACGGUGCAAGCAUCCUUAUCAAUCUACUCUAAAUGGGCCAGUCAUCUUGUAUUCAUAUGCUAAAAAAAAAAAAAAAAACUCAAAAAUGUUCAUGAUGUGGGAAGAAGAGUAUUAUUUUAUCAAAUGUGGACUAAGAAGCAUGGACACAGUACAGCAUAUGAACACAACAUGACAUAGACAAAACCAAGAAAUAAUUAUCCUGAAACCAAAGAAAUUAUAUGCAGACAUCGAAUAAAAUCUUCUACGAGUAUGUACACGAUUAAUGCUAAUUUCCAAUUGUAUCUAUAUAUUCUAGGUGUGUAUAAUAUUUGAAUAACCAAAACUUGUGACUUCUAGAAAUACUUAUGGUCAAAGGGAUAAUAGCAUUUUCUGUAUCUUUUAGCCUCACAUUUUUCAUGGUCAAAGCCUGAUUCAUACAAUUUAUAGGCAAGUUUCUCUGAUUAUGUCAAAAUAUUAAAGACAUCUUCACAACUCUUUAUCACCAAUCGCUGUAAAUGAUAUAUUCUAUACUACUUUACAUGUUUGUAGCUCAUGUUAAUCUAUGUUAAAAGAUAGAGUCGCUUGCUACAUCUCAAUAAUGCUUAAGAUAUUUGGUCAAGAAGUGUUUAUUGUUUUCUUUAUUUUUUUUCACCUCAAUCUUUUACACGGUCAAAAAAGUGUUGCACAUGUCCAAGAAUGUCAAAUGUGUGACGCGUCCAGCAAAGGCAUGUUCUUAUCCUCGAUGUAUCAGUUAGACAGAUGCAAUCAAGUUGGGCUGAAACUCUAUUUGGCUUUCAAAAAUAGAUUUCCAAAUUUGACCGACUUGAUCCAUUUUGUUGAGUCUGCUUAAGUUCGAACGCAAUAAGUAUUCCAGACUUUCAACCUACCUUCAAUUUCACUGAACAAAUGCAGAAAUAUUAAACAAAAUUCCACAUACUCGAUUACCUGAUGACUAUCCAAUUACAGACUUUUGACCAGAUACCACUGUAAAAAGAAUAGUACAGGUUCCCCACAUCUUGGUUAGCAGAGCCAUUCACAAGAUUUAUCAUUAGGAGGAAAAAAAAAAAAAAGAAGAGCAAAGGAAGAUAAACUCAAGAUAUGGCCGGAAGGUUGUGACAUUGAUGGUACACUAAUGGCUUCUUAUCUUCUACUCCUUGAAAAUCAUGAUAGAGAAAACAGCGAGGUGGUUGUGUGAGUCGACCCCACUGGUCAACUUUUUGCAAACCAUGAGUAAUUACUAUAGCGAGGGAGGUUGCCAGCAGAUAUUACAAACUGCCAGCAGAUAUUAAAAAAUUAAGGGAGAGAAGACAUGGGAUAAGCGAAAGAAGUGGGGUGGAGGGUAAAAGACAGAUCAAAAAGAGGGAGUGCGAAGCUGAAGUGGUUUAAGAUAGCGUUGAAGGUCUUACCCCCCUUGCCACAAGUGCUUAAGGUAACUUUUUUUUUUUCGUGCCUAAGUUAAAUUGUAAAUAAUAGGUAUUUCACAUAUAUUCAGCAUAUACAGGAACAGAGACAGUUAAGGUAGUAGACCCUGCUCUAAUGGCUCAAGCUCCAACGUCAAAUAAAUCGAGCACUGCAGAAUAACCCAAGUCAAGCAAUGAGCUGCUUCCCAGCAGCUCAGCUAGGUUGGUCCAGCCAUGGGUGCUUACCAUUUUUGUAAAGAAGAAGAAAAAACCUAUAACAUUCAAUGCUUUGCUCCCAUCUCCACCCCCCCCUUCCCAAAAAGGAAAACCCAAAAAAGGUCCCAAGAAUAAUAAACAUUACAGAAAGAGGACAUCCCCCUUAACAUUUAUAUAUGGUCAAGAACUGAAUAGGUUACUCGUGAAAAGUAAAAUGAAGUGACACAAUCGAUAUCCAAAUCCAAGACAAGCUUUGAAGUAAAACAGGCUAAACAGACUUUAGCCCUCAAAGUCUGCAUCUACAGAUCCUAUUGAACACCAAUAUUAGUGUUCUUCCAUCAUUUUCCCACCAUGUCAAAACUACAAUUCAGCCUUGCUUUUACACCAUCCGGAAGGGGGAGACACAUACACAUUUCCUAUCAGGGAAUGAUUAAUCAACCUCCUAACUCUCAAAAAUGGUUUACAAAGUUAUUGACUCUUUAUCCACCAUCAGUCUGUGAUUGCAGCCUCUGAGUACUCUAGCCUAGGAGUAAGAUAUUUACAGGAGAUCUCUUCAUAACUACCUACCACAAAAUUAAGCAGAUUAUUUGAAGAUGUAUGAGGCCGGUAAAGUCCAGUUGCCUCUCAAGUAUUAAAAGAUCAAAGACUGGGAUCUCUAGAAACUUAAGUGGCAAAUGAGGUGAAAAGUUUGUUUUGCAGUAAAAGCAUUCAACAAGAAGAUGAACUCAAUUCGGAUCCAUUCUACCUCAGUGAAACAGUUUAUUCAACUCUAGCAUGAUAGCUUCAUAACAAUAUUCUGUAGCAAAAUAAAAAAAAAUGGAUAUAAGAGAUAAGAUUCAUACCAGCUUGCAUCUUUCCUUUGUUCUCUCAGCCUGCAAAUUGAAAUUUUCAGAUAAAUCAUUUAGUCAUUUUAAAAAUUGAUACAGCAGACUUCUAAGGAGAAGAUUUUUUAUGCUCUACACCCAUGGAAUGCAUACAGAGAUAAAGAAGUACAAAUAUAGAAAACGAGAGAGAGAGAGAGGGAGAGGAGGAGAGAGAGGUGUAUGAAAGAGAAAUUAGAUCACCAAGUUCUUAAUCAGUUUCAAACCAAUGUCUAACAGAUGAAAGCAAAGAAGUCCUUUGACCAGUUGAUAAAUAAUUAAGUACUCACACUAAGAAUUAACCAAUGGCAUGCAAAUAAUUAAAUCUCAUAGUUUCUUUAUCCAAAGAAAAAUGGUCUUCUUCAGUUAAAAAAGGGUAAACAGUGCCAAGUUCACAAGCAUGUUCGAUUUAGAAUAAUAAAAAAGAUUCACAAGGUAAAUAAAAAAAUAAUAAUAAUUACCAACAAACAUUGAUUAAUUCAAAAAAAACAUCCAUUUUCCUGUGAGAAAACAUAUUUUUUUUUUAAAUACAAAAGAAAUCAUUUCGAUUGCUCAAAAAGCAACCAUACUAUCAAUGUGAACACCACUAAUGAGUGAAGAAGUUUUAAAUAAUUAAGCACCCACCCACUCCUCCCCACAGAAAAUAUAAGUAAAACAUACAAAUUAAAAAAAAAGGGAAAUUUUGAGACUCAACUCUAAAACUCUUUUAUGGUACACAGAUCAUUCAAAACUGUAGAUAAUUGAAAUUUGGAAAAAGAUGGAAAUGGAGAGUAAAAGUACAUAAUAUUGGAGAAAUAUCUCAUAUAACAUGAACUUAGCAUGUUCCUAUGCAGUACCUUUGUUGAAAUCUGCAAUUCUGCAUCUCCCAACAGUGUGCUUCCACGAGGGCAAUGUAAGCUCUACAUAGGAUUGUUAUAACUAAUAAUUUCUAAUUCCCUUUCCUAAAGGACAGAAACAGGAAAGUUACAGCGAGUGUCCCACUGGAUCAGGAGCCUCCGCCACAGUCUAAUGUGUUAAAAGAUGGACACUGAACCUAUGGCCACCACAUUCUGACGUCAUGAAUAAAAGUCUAAGAAGAGUAAUGUGAAUUUGUUACAAAAUGACGUCAAGAGAAGUAAGAUGCAAAACGGCAACGUUGUAGGCUGCCAUGGCUGUGUUGUAUGACACCAAUAGGAGUCCUGAGAUAUCUAGUCAAAUUCACUGCAACAGGUAAUAUAUACUACAAUGGGAAGGAAUUUUCGACAAUGAUACCUAACAUUGAUUAUUAAGGUUGUCUGUUUCAGGAAGACAAAUUAUAGGACAUCAAUGAAUUGCAUAGAUGACCAACUAGACACCUUAACGACCAAUAAAGUUAUCACAUUCUCGAAGUGAUCAGUCCAUUCCAUACUCCUUGUGCUUACCAGUGACAAGUAAAAAUCACCAACAUCUUCAGAGUCGACUCUUUAAAACAACUUUUAACUCCCACUAUACAUCUUUAAACACAUAAUUACUACAACAGCAGUUGCUUCUAUCAUUAAAUGAGAUAAAUUGCUGGACUUGACUUUCUAAAAAUGUACCCUUGUAGAGUCCAUGCAAAAUUCUAAACACACAAUCAUGACUGAUUUAUCCACUUUCAAUAAGCACCCUCUGUUUUUAGAAAAAAUUCAACCCUAUUAUCCUUUCAACUCUAUGCAUUGAUCUUGGUGUCAAGAAUAAACCCAAAAUUACAUUUUGUCAUCAAAGCUUCAAACUGGAAAACAAAACACUUUGCCAAAGCCAAGCGAAAUGCGACGGUAAUAGCAUUGCAUUACCUUUUCUUUCAAGAGCUGCUCAUUCUCUUCUUCCAGUCUCACUGCCAUGGCCUCCAAUUCAACUUGGUACGCCUGCAGCAACCAAAAAUCAUCAUUGGUAACAGUAUAAGCGCUAAAAAAAAUUCCCGAAAUUCUCAACAAUGAGAAAAGUAUUCAUCUUUGUUUUAAAAAAAAAAAAAAAUCACCUGUUUUCGCUCCCUAGACCUGGCAGCCGACUCCCUAUUCUUAAUCAUCCUCCUCUGCCUCUGCUGCGCUGCUUUAUCCAUUGGCUCCAAUAAACUCGACGCUCUCCUCUUCCCUCUCCCUCCUCCUCCUCCUAGUCCUCCACUCCCCAUCGUCUCCAAACCUCCUGCACUUGCAUACCCCAGCCCUCCCCCACUUUCCACACUCCCCUGCCUCGACAUAUACGGACUAUCAAAAGCAAACAUUCCCCCACUCGUUCCCGCGACCGCAGCAGCCUCCACCUUCACCUCCCCCUCCACUCCUGCCGCCGCAGCAACAGCCGAUUCCUCCACUGCUCCAGCCUUUACCAAAAAAUCCUCCAAUGUCAUCAUCUCAUCCAUUGCCUCCUCCUUAGGCUCCACUCUCCUCGCCGGCUCGCUCGCUGCCGUCUUCCCCGCCACAAUCUCUCUCCACACAUCAUCCACCGUCUUCUUCCUCACCGGCGCCGGCGAGAUGGGCGUGAUCGCUCCGGAAGCAUCCAAAAGCGUAAUUUCCGCAUUCAACAAAGUACUCUCAGUCGUCGUCGUGCUCGCAGAAACAGCUGCCGCAGCAUUUGGAGAGUUUUGAUGAUAAUGAUGAUGAUUGCGGAAAUUAUGGAAAUCAGAUUUGGAAAGCGAAUUCCGACGGAGUUCGGAGUUAUGAGAUGAAGUCGCUGCCGAAGUUGAAGAAGCCAUGAGCUUCGACGUCGCCAUUUCUGUCAACGGAGUCACGAAUUUCUAGGGUUUCUUCGAUCGGAGGAAUAGUAGUAGGACAUAAUAGUACGGAGAUGGGAGGGCGAUCACGUGAGUGAUUAUGAGUGCCAGUUAGUAAGUGUGUGUGUGAGAGAGAGAGAGAGAGAGAGAGAGAGAGAGAGUUGAUGUGUGAAUUCGUAUGGUUUUCGGUGCGUGAGUGUGUGUUUUUCUAGGUUUUGGGAAACUUUGAUUAUUGGUUAGAUAGACCGGCUGAUGAUUGAUUAUUUGUUGUUGUCUGUACUUUUUUUUGUUGCCGGGAAAUGACUCAGGAUUUCUCCUUCUGGUCAAGCGGUCGUUAAAUAAAAGUUAAAAGUUAGUUUACCUCCUGAACCAUGCCUUCAUUUGUACCCCAUCAUGUUGUAUGAUACCAUCUGAGCAAUCCGGUUCGACUUUCAAAUUUCGGUUCCAAUCUCAUCCUCUUGCGUAUUAGUUAGACAAAACUAGUCGCACCAGUCUCUAAACUAUUGUCAUUGCACCAUUUUAGUCCCUCAAUAACAUAUUAUCACAAAUAAGCUCCUUAAUAAAAUAGUGUCACGUCUGAGGUUUUUUUUUUUUUUUUGGGUCAAAUUUACUCUUUAGAGUCAACAAAAUGAGAGGUAAAAGUGGUAAGUGCAACCGAAAUUAAAAGGUGUUUUUGCCCAAAUACUUAAUAUAAUCAUUGGGACCAGAAUCAAAAGGGUGAAGAUGAAAAAUACACUUCAUUAUUUAAUAUUGCAAAAAUAAUGAAUCCAGUGACGGUAAAAUGAAGUGUUUUCUUCUUCUUAACCCUUCCAAUUCUGGUCACAAUAGUUAUAUUAAGUGGUUUGAUACCAAUGUUCUUUGAUUCUGGCUGCACUUAGAAUAGUUGAAAGUAUAUAUUUUUAAGGGAUAAUUUCAGAAACCUCAGGAGAGGUUUCUGACAGUCUCAUUCACCUCCCCUGAACUUUACAAAAUAUCAGAUACCUCCCUUGUCAGAUUAUUGGGCUCUAUUUGUGAUAUCAUUGAUCAUAAAUUGAUAGAUAUACCCUCAUAACUUAUGAUAUAUUUUGAAGCUAUUUUGACAGAAUUAGUUAAAUGAGUAAUAGAGAUAUAACUUUUGAUAUAACUUAUGAUAUACCUUCUAUUCCACUUUACACUUUUUAUUCGCAGUACAAUCACCAAUGAAGAGUUUAGCACUAGUGUUACCUUUCUCUAAAGUCAUGUAUUUCAUGUUUUUUUUUUGUAAGACAAUUAUCUAGUGUAACUCAUUACUUAUAUUUGGGUAAAUUUGGUUUUCAAAAAUUCAAUGACGUAAAUUGUAUAUUACAUCAUCUCAUAAAGUGAUGCGACACAAUUUGGGUUAUUGAAUUUUUUGAAAAUCGGAUCUACCUAAGUUCUGGUUUUCAAACGAAGCUUGUUGAAUAAAUUUGACUAACUACAGUGUGAAUUAAUUUUUUUUUUAAAAAAAUCUCAACUAAAGUAUCUAGCACUAAAUGAAAUGAAGUAUCUUGCUACUUCAUUUCAUUUUCCACAGAGAAAAUCGCAAAAAGAGUUAUUAAACUAUUGAGAAUUUGGUUAUUUGAUCGUUACACUAUUUAUUUAACUGCAAUUGCCAUUCACUCAAUUAACCAAAUAGUGAAAUUUUUUUUGUGACUUAACUAGUAAAAAUUUAUACUUUUAAUCACUCAAAUUAUAAAACUAUACAUUUUUUUAUAUCACCAGAAGUAUGUUUCAAUUAAUUGAAUGAUCAUAUUAGCUAAAUAAAUGUCUAAUAGCUAAAACAAAAAAAAAAUAUAAAUAGCAUGAUAACAUUGCUUGAAGAAGCCAUUUGCAUUUGUCUCUAUCUGGUUCAACUUAUUACUUCUUUUUUUGGCUUUUGCUUUAGCUCGAGUUGUGGAUAAGCAAAAAAGGGCAUAUGUGGAACACAAAUAUCAUCUCACUCCUCAAAAUAUUUUUUUAAUGCUCAUUUUUCUGACAUGGGCUGAUCUUGUUACUCCAACUAUAAGUUCAGGGGAGGUAUCUGAUAUUUUGCAAAGUUCAGGGAAGGUGAGUGAGACUAUCAGAAACCUCAGGGAGGUUUCUGAAAUUAUCCAUAUUUUUAAUUGUUCAGGGGUUGUUCUAAGACAAAAUUUAGAUUAGCAGCUAAAACUUGACAACUCUCUCUUUUAGUACUACUCAAUCUAUUUCUCGCAUAAAAGAUAAUGUCAUAUCCUUUCUAACAUGCAUAUUAUUCUAUUUUGUCCUAUUAUUUGUAGGUUUGUAGUUACAAAAUUUGUUACCUAUAGUCUGCAUGUAUUGAUUCCAAUGUACACAGUUGGUUGCUUGUCACAUUUUUUAAAAAGAGUGUUUUAAUUAAGCAAAAAAAAAAGAGUUUAAUUAUUUAUUGAUUUUAAACAACGAUUUUAGUUAUUAAGGCUUUAAUUGAACCUAUGAACGAUUUUGACAUAUCUUAUAUAUGUAGUGAAUAGCAAUUAAGCUUUGCUUAAUUUUUCUAGUAGGACAGGAAAGAGGCAAGUUUUUAUAAUUCUUGAUGAAUUAAUCUCGAUUUGCUUAGCUUGAGAUAAUUAGUUUGGCUCUUAUCUGUUUUGGUCUUUGGUUCUCUUUGUACACUUCAAAUCAAUUUCAAGUAUUUUCCAUGCUAAAGCUUGAUUGAGCUCUUGUAUUUUCCCUAAAAAAUUUCUCUGCGUAUGGUAUGCAGUACACUACAAGAGUGGCUAUCUAACACGACAAGUGAAGCUUGAUGCCUUGAUCUUUUAUUUGUCAAAAAGAAACGGGUACUAGUACUGUAUUAAUGGUUAGCUUAAUCUUAACCACAUGCUAUACAAAUGAAUUAGUUACAUUUUUGUCAAGCCUACUAAGAUGACAUUAGCAUAGUUAGCACAUUGAUUAUGUUCAAGAACUUAUAGUAUGAAUUAUGCUUGUGAACACACACACACACACACACACACACACAUGGGAUAAUUUUAGAAACCUCCCCUGAGUUUCCUGACAAUUUCAUUGAGCUCCCUUGAGAUUUGAAAAAUUACACAUACCUCCCUUGUCAUUUAAAAUGACAAUUUUACCCUUAAAUAUUUCAAUGAAAUCCCCUUAUUUUGUAUGCUUAUACUUUGAAUGAGUUUUAAAAUUAAUUUUUAUUCUUUUUCCUUCUUAUUCCUUUUUUUUUAAAAUUUUUCGCCAAUAAAACUGUAGAACUACCACUAUUACUUCUAGUUUUUAUUGUAACCAAAUGUCGAACUAGUGAUUUUUUGAUGAGUUAAUUUUAUAUAUAAUCCAAUGCUUUUGCUAAUCUUUGAUUUUUAUUUUUUGGUACUAAAAUUAACAAUAAAUCAAAAAGAAAUGGCCCAAAAUCAUUACCAAAUUAUAAUAAUCCCACUACCCGAAAAAUUCAUAAACUCUAAAUGAAUUAUUUCAAUAUUUUCUUUUCUAUCUUAUAAAUCUAAAUCCAUAAUAAAGUACUAUCAAAAGUAUCCUAUCAUAGUGAUAAAAUUAUUAUUAUAGUUGUUUAUCAAAUAGUAGGUAUGGACAUGAAAAUUUUGGCACCUUUUCCUUGUAAUUAUACUAGAUAAUCUUAUAAUUGCAUAGGAAAAUAAAUUAAAACUAAUUUCACAAGAGUAUUUUUGGGUAUUCAUUUAAAAAAUUGACCAAUUCAAUAUUAUUUUAAGAUUUUGUUACUAAAACUAUUAAAUCAAGGGAGGUAAGUGUAAUUUUUCAAACCUCAGGGGAGCUCAAUAAAAUUAUCAAAAACCUCAGAGAAAAUUAUCCCUCUAUAUAUAUAUAUAUGUAUGUAUACACACACACAAACACACACACGUACAUACGCUCAAUGAGAUGUGCAUAAAACUCAUCACAAAUUGAGCCCUCCAAGUAUAUACAACUCUGUGAUCAGAUGACCGCUACUAUAGAGAUAGUGUGUUUGGUGGCUUGAAUGAAUUCAAGUAGGUUGCUUAGAGGACUAAUACUAUUUCGUCUUUAACGUCUUUUGUCCACAUAUUAAUACUUCACGUUUAUUUUGACGUACUCUUUAUUUCUUUACGUAGAAUCAGGUUACACAUAUGUGGCUGGCCAUGCCCUCAUCUAUGUAUAUACAUGCAUGCAAAUAUUGCGGCCGAAGUUUGCCAGAUUUUGCAGAUUCUAUAAAAGCUAAAAACGUGGAAUUUGUUGAACCGAAAUUGAUUCCUGGAUUUGCUUUAACAUGUGGUUUCUCCGAAAUGCCUUGCUCAAGCUCUUAACCGCCGCCAUUAGCAUAUCCAGCCCCUUGCCCUGAUUUCAUGGGGCCGCUGCAUUUGUUACUCUUUUCCCCACUAAUGAUUUGAUUAUCGAUAGCUUAAAAGUAAAAACUUUCGUAUUUAUCUAAUUCUUUUCUUUGACAAAAAUGGAUAGAUAGGGGGAAAUUAGUAAGGUAAAGAAGAAAAAAAAAUGAUGCUAUAUUUGAUCAUAUUUUUGUCUUGCAAACAAUUCUCAACCUAAUAUAUGCUUAAUUCAUUCUCUUUGAAAACUAUUACUAGUAAUUAUAUUUUCCUUUUAUAUAUAUAUAUAUAUAUAUAUAUAUAUAUAUAUAUAUAUAUAUAUAUAUAUAUAUAUAUAUAUCACAUCCCAAAAAUAGCGACGUUCUAAUAACAUAUACCAUGUUAGUUGAAAUUGGUAAAUAUAUUGUGUAUCUGAGUUGAUUAGGAAGUCUAAUUAAAAACUUGCAUAUUAGCAUAAUUUUUUUUGUUAAAACCGAGAAGGAUUGGUGUUACUUUGUGUGCCCCAAAUGAUGUUGUACUAAAAUGUAAUUAAAUUUAGGAAAUGAAUCUUAAUUUGUUUUUCUAAUAAAAAAAAUAGUGGGACAUGAUUACUCAAGUAAUGACUCUAUAUAUAUAAACAAGAAAAGCCUAAUCUAAAGAUGGAUUACUUGGGUUGUCUGUAAUUUGUAAUUGCAUUACCUUAAUCCCAAAAUUUCACAACCGGCCGGGUUUUCCAAAAUCGACCUUUAUUUCCUUAAAAUGGACUGAUUUCACCAAUAAGAGAUAGAUUACUUCCUAUUCACCAUUUCUUAAUUAGUUCAUGAUGUAGGGCAUCAAAUACAAAUACAUAUUUCUAAUUGUAGAAUGCCUUAAUAUCUGGAAGACUACUUUAUCUUAAAGCCUAGCCCUUUUAAUUUUAGAUACAAUGAAUAUUUUUCUAUUAAUACACCAUAAGUUGAUUCUUAAUUUCUCAUAAAAAUGGGAUGGAUGGGGUGUACUAGUUAAGACUCAAGAAAAGCUUCUUCUUGUUUUGAUAAGGAUUUCCAAGAAGUUAAGCGGGCGAGAAUGCUGGAGAUCAGGGAUAACAAGUUACCAACAGUUGUGAUUUUUUUUUUAAGCUUUAUUUGUUUAACUCUUAUUAUUAUUACUAUACUAUUGAUAUUCUUUUUUUUUUUUAAUUACUGUUGACGUCAAUAAUGUAAAGUAUUAAAAUCAGUGCAAUGUCUGAAAAAAGACCUGAAAUACAAUUAUUAAACAUCAAGAUUCGGCACAUAAAAUUAGGUCCAAAAAAUAAAACAACCUUCAAGCUUGAAAUUAUGAGCAUACACAUGAAAACAUGUCUGUCAAUAUGAAUGAGCUAUUGAGCAUGACAUCUCUAAAAGAAUCUUGGGUAGAACAUAUUGAAGUUAACGAUAAUUUUUCUCAACAACCUUUCAAAAUUUGCAUACAAAUCUAGUGUUAGCAGAAUUAGUGUUCAUAAAGUGAAUAUUAGUCAAUAUCCCGUUUAUAUUGUUUGGAUUGUGAUUUUUCGCAGAAAAUUUUUUAUAUAUAUUUCAUGAAACAUUUUCUGAUCAUCUUUUUUAUCUCACAUACAUCAAAUUGCUACCGUACAUUUCUGUAUAAAAACUCCUAUUGUGACUUCCCUUACUCCUGUUUUGAUUUAAUUUUCAUAAUGUGUUCCUAAUAUACAUUUUUUUUUGCCUUUCAUGUUUUUCCUUAGAAUUUUUCUUUGGAGACUGGAUUGGUGAGGGACAGAUGAAGCCUUCAAAUGUACAAUUAUAUAAAAUUUAAAGCCUUCGGUUAUGCUAUACAGGUUCGUUGUAUUAAAGAUUUGGUCGGUCACUCAAACCAUACCAAAAAAGCAAUAUAAUCAUCCCCUAUUCCAUAAAAAGUAAUGACUUUUUAAAGAGAGUUUAUAUAUAUACUCAAUUAAUUACGAAACUAAGGUCUUUCAUAGAAGCCACCUCGUAUCCCAUUAUAGCCUUAAUCUUUGCAAGCCUAUUGGAGAAGUCUCUCUCUCUCUCUCUCUCUCUUUCUCCGAGAAACAUGAUCAAAAUAGAUGAGAUCAUAAUAUGAAACUAGAUGGAUGACAAAAGAAAGACAACGUGAAACACAAGGCUUAAAACUGUCAUUCUACUGGCUUUAAAAGGUUCAUUGGCCUAACAGAUAGAUUAUCAAGUUCAGAUGCUAAUUUGUAUCCCUUCAUUCCCUUCCUAACUCUUUCUUUUCAGGAUUUAUUACAGUUUGCCAGAAACUCUCAUUUGGAACCCAGAAACUCUUCAGUUUCAAUUCUUUUCAGAGGAAGACAGCCUUAAACCCUCUACCUCACGAGUUAUAGAUAAAGAAAUCGAGAUGUGGGCCGGUAUCAGAAGAUCAAAAAACAAUCAAGGUUCGACUCUAUGAGCUUCAAUCUCAAUUUUUAGUUGUUCUUGUUAUUGUAUUUUGUUUUUUUGCCUCUUUGGGGUUUUGCUGCAUGAUAAGAGAAUAUUACAGUGCAUAGGAUUUUAUUGUCCUGACAAAACGUUUCUUCAUGGAGUCAAGUAAUCCUCUAGUCUAGAAAAAGUUAACAGUUUUAGAACUUGGCACGAAGCUUAGCUAUUUUUGCUUUUUGGGUAACAAAUUUCUUCUCCAAAAUUUGCAGAUGAAUAUACUGAAAGAAUCGACAUUAUCAAUCAAUAUUUUCCAUGAUUAUCUAUCCCAUGUAAUGAAUUGUUCAACAAUUCAUGCUUACCUUGUGAUGACAAUAUAUACCUCCAUGCAUGAAUAUUAGCGUUUGGAUAACUUAAAUAAUCUAAUCUCAAAACACUUCUGCCUUUAUCCUAUGAGUAGUUGCUAUCUAGUUCAAUUGGUUUCAUCUUAUUUCUUGAUCAUCUUGUAUAACGUUAGUGCAAACCUUUCAUUGAUUUUCCUCAGAUAAGAAGGAGAUGAUAAGGGAAUCAUGUAGAAAUCUUAGUGUGAACGAGGAGUACCUUGGAGCAUUAAGAACAAAAUCGUAUACAGAAUUUUUCAGCAAAGCUCAGACUCUAGUUAACCAGCCAUCUUCUCUUAAUUACUGCAAUCAGAGGUUUUCAGAUACUCUUCUUGAACCCGGGCAAGAAACCAUAGCAACAAUUCUGGAAUCAGCAGUAUCUCUUUCAAGAAAAUCUGAUCUCAGAGCCCUUCUCUUCAAUUACUUUGAUAUUAGUGCUGAGGCUUCAAAAAUUUGCAGCCAUCUUCUCAGAAGCAUUAAUCAACUUCAAUCCAAUUACCAGCUUGUUAAACAAGUUCUCGACACGAUCGAUGACUAUUCCCCCGAGCAAUUAGGAUUUAUCGUUUCUGAGCUUCGUGAACUAAUUUCGCUCAACAAUCCAUUAUCUGGUCUGAAUCAACAAGAUUUCAUCCGAAUCCACGACAAGUAUUCAUCAGUCCUACAACAUUUGAAAGCAAAGCGAAAAAGAAUUGCUCGAAAAAUCAAGCUAAUAAAAUGCUUCAACAAGGCUUCUGGAGCAUGUGUCACGACAGCCUGUGGUGUAGUUGCAGUUGCAGCACUAGUCCUAGCAGCAGCACACACAGUUGUAGCAUUGACAAUGGGACCAGCUCUCUUUACCAUGCCACUGCAGCCACUGAGGAAAAAACUUCUCAAAAUUAGUGCUGUGAAGUGUGGAUUUCUAAGAAAAGUUGGAGAACAACUUGAUGUUGCAGCAAAAGGGACGUACAUUUUGAAUAGAGAUUUUGAUACAAUGAGUAGACUUGUGGUCAGGCUCCAUGAUGAAAUUGAUCAUACCAAGGCAAUGAUACAAUUCUUUUUAGAUAGAAGAGAAGAUAAAUAUUCUUGGCAAAUACUGAAGGAGCUUAAGAAGAAGGAUUUUGGGUUCAGGAAACAAGUAGAGGAGCUUGAAGAACAUGUGUAUUUGUGCCUUGUCACAAUUAAUCGGGCUAGAGUUUUGGUUGUCACUGAAAUUGCCAAGUCUUGCCAGGAAAAUUCAUUCUAGUAAUUUAGAAACCAAUUCUUUUUCAUUUCUAAGCUGCCAGCCACCAACUCCUUGUUUAUUAAAUAGCAAUCUAUUUGUAGAUAGGAUAUCAGGUUUAUUCCAUUGUAGAUAGUAGUAUAUCUUAUUUGUUUCAUUUAUGGAGUGAUAUAAUGGCUAUAUAUUCUUUGAUUUUUUUUUUUAACAAUAUUUGUACCUGCACAAGUUAAGGAGCCAUACUCAGAGGCAUAUUCUUUGACCUAAACAAGCUCAUGGCAUUCAACAAAGAAAAGCGAUUGAAAAUAUCAAGUUUGUUCCACGGUUAUAAUUCCACAUUUACAAUAACAUGUUGAAAUUUUACAAAAUUUGCAAUUGGCAUUUACAUCAGAUAAAAUUUUAUAGAUAGCACUAAUGAAGCAUAACGUAGGAAACUAAUCAUGUUCAAGUCGAACUCGAGCAAGGCAACGUUGAUACCUAACUCCAUUUACUUGCACUCCUCAUGUAAUGCAAGAAGGUGUAGACUAAAAAGCAGGUCCCAUAGCAUGCAUUUAUUUUUUGGUUAGCUGUUGAAAGAGACUAGCUUAUAAAGAUUGAUUGCAGGAUUGGAGUUUUAAUGCAUAAUUAUAGACAAUUACCACAUAGCCCUAGAUGAGGCAUCUAUCCAUCCAGCAGGACCAGCACCCGCGUAGUAUUUUGUCUACAAAUGUGAAACAAGUUAUUCGGACAUUUUGGUACUUCCACAUCUAAUUAUAUACCUAUUCAAGUGAUUCCCCCACCUAUGAAUAUUCAUUGUUUGGGAUAAUUUUUCAAAAAAUAUACUAUAACACGGUAAUUUUUUAAAAAAUAUACUGUAACACUUUUUCUUUUUUUUUUUAUGUGAUGUAUGUAAGACAGAAAAGGUAAUCGAAAAAUGUGUUGAUGAUAUAAGCAAAUAAAUUUUUACAAAUAAAUCACUAUCCAAACAAACCCAUUUCCUUUGCUAGUUUUCUCAAAAUUUGCUAGCAUUUUACUCUAUUGAUGCUAAAAUGGUUAAAAAAAAAAAAUAUUCACAUCGAUUUAUAAUUUUGAUGGCAAAAAACAAAACAUGGAAACAUCAGUUAGACAAAAAUCACUAUAGAUUAGAAAAUUCGAAUUAAAAGGAUUUUUUCGGCGGCCGGUGUCUAGUUUAUUGGACAGUCAUUAACACAUUUAAAUUGUACCUAACUUAUCAAAAUUAUUAAAUGUAUUUAGAUACUUAGAUACUUUUUCAAAUUAAUUACACUUUUUCAAUAAAUUAACACUUAAGACUCAUAUUGAGUUUUUUUUUUUUUUUUGCCACAACAAUAUGGGUUGGUCCAAUUGGCUUUUGACAAACAUUUAGUACAACCUUGUUCCUCUUUGAGAUCAUCAAUGUUUACCGUGUGGGAUCUGUCUGUCUGUCAAAACCAUAGGCCAUUGGACAUGUAUCAACCUGGUUCUAUUUCUUGAGCAUCUUGAACUGCUGGCCAACUACUAGAAGAAUCUCUUUUCUUUUACCCAAAUAAAAGAAAAAGAAAAUCUCAAUCCUCUAAGCGAAUCAAAAUUGCCCCAGAAAAUAAAAUGGAAAAGGAAAAACUUUCUUAACUUUCAGCUGCCAAUUAUUUUUUUGUAUGCCAAGCAUUAAUAUCUAAAUAAUGCGAGAUUUUCUCUUUUCUACAAUUAUGCAUUUUCCCCUCGAUCACAGCCUACUCAACCUGCUUGAAUGAGACCUUAUUUCCCAUAUUUUUUUCUAUUCUUGGCUUUUUCAGUUUCAACCAAAAGUCCUUCUUCUGCUCGUUUCUUUUCCUAUUUAAGAGUUAGAGAAUAAAUUAUAGAGAACUUUUCACUUGCUUUUUCUACUAAAUAAUUUUAAUUAUUUUCUCCCCCUGCGUCAUUAGUCAAACUCAUUAAACUUCUUGAAUAAGUUUAUUAAUCAUCGCUUUCUCCAAAACUAAGGAAGCUUGCAGCUUUUUUCUUCUGCUCCAUUUCCCUCCGAAAGGGUCUACUUCAAGGUAUUAGCUCAACCAUCAACCCCGAAAUCUCAUUUUCUAAUUCAAGAAUUGUUCUCUUUUUACUAGUUUUAAAGUUUAGUGCUCAAGUAUUUAUCGCAUGUUUCUUGAAUUAUUCACUGAAAAUAGGAAAGGGAAGAUUUUACUUGAUUGAUCUUGACGGUAUAACCUAUUUGAAGCCCUUUAAUCUAUUGAUUAAGCAGUGUUUUUGGCUGCUGGGGGUGUAAAGUGUGAUUCUUUAUUGGUGUUUGUGAAUAUCUUUCGAGGUCUAAUGCUUUAAUUGCUGUACCAAACGUUCUACGCGUGAUAUUGACUGGUUGAUUUGUAGUAAUAUUUAAGUUAGUUUAUGAGCAAAAAGGUUAGUUAAUGAGGAAAAAGGACAGGCUAUACAGCUUGAUUUGCUUCUUUUGUUGGACUCUUAUUGGUUAUCUUGCUUGACCAUUUUGGUGCUCUUUCCCAUUUUCAGCCUCCCCUUAAUUUAUAUGCUUGCAUAUUCGAUACGUAUAAGGAUGAGGAAUUUUUUUUUUUUUUUGUGAAGGGAUUUUGGAGUUCUGGGGUUCUCGCAUUUGUUUGUGUUCUGCUAGUUCUCUGUGUUGGAUGUAAAGAACUGAUUUUGGAGGGUUUUGGUGGUGUUUCAGCAUCAAUUUUUCGUCGGUUGCUUACCUGAAGUAUUUUUGUAGGAAUCUGAAUUCGAAAUGUUCGUUUUAUAAGCUUUCUGGAUCAGUCAGAUGAAAUGGAUACCAAUGGGUCUGCUAAACCGUCAGUUUAUGUGGAAAACGAAGGGAAAAGGGACCAGGUGGUAGAGAACAAGUUAGACCAAACCCAUGAUGGUAGUAACCUAUUGGUUGGCUUAGAGAGGAAGCCUAAGGGUGAGCGAUGUAAUGCUGGUGCAGCAAAUGGAAGAGGGAGAGAGCAGAAAUAUACACUGGAAGAAGCUGCUGCUAAUUCUGCAGGGAAGUCUAGUGUCAGGUUGUUUGAUGGAUUAGAUGAGCAGGGAACUAGUAGAGGCGACAAUAGUCUUUUGGAUGAUGAGCAGUCUGAGGCAUGUUCUACUCCUGAAGUAGACUCCCAGAGGAAACCACUGCAGCAGCAUUCAUCAGUCCUUGAGAUUUCCCACUCGAAGGACCCUCCUGUGAUCCGAUCACAGCGGGCACGGAGAGGUUAGAAAUUGGAAUUUUCUCUUUGUCUGGAUAUUUUUUUGCUUGCUUUUCUUUUUCUCUUUAUUUUUCCUUAUUGUCAUUAUUUGGCUUUCAAUUCCUAGUCCCAUAAGUUCUGAUUCUUCACUUGGAAAAUAAUUGGUCUUGCCCUUGUGGUUGUCCCUCAAGAACUGGAGACUUGUCAACUAUGUAUAGCAGGUGAGGAGAGAUGGAACAAAGAAUAAAAAGGAUUUUCCAUCCUUGAGAACAAAGACUAUUGUUUGCUAUAUGAUUUUCAAUUGAAAUUUCUCCAAAAAAAAAGUCAUAUGAAUAUUGGGAAGCAAUUUUUCUGAAUCUAGGCUACAUCCAUCUCAUAUAAUUUCUAUUUCAAUUAGAUGCUUUUGUGAUUAGUUGGAAGAAGUAACUGCUCAGUGCUAAAUAUCUUUUCUGUUGUUCCUGAUUACCCAUCCUUCUGGAAGAAGCCAAUAGCAUCAUCAUGACAUCUUUGCCCCUUUACAGUGUUAUUUGGGAAAGUGUAGUUCUUCAUGCCAACCAUCUGAUGAAACAGGCUUUCAGAACAAUCUCUUAUUGAGAUUUAGAGCUUUCAAUAAGACUUCUAGGUUGAACUCUUAUAAUUUGACCUGAUAACUACAGCAUUCAGUUUGCAAAUUUGAGAUUUAACUGUCAAAAACUUUUUGUUUGGACCAUCCGAUUAAUGUAUGCUCAUCAUGAGAUUAUUUCUUCUCUCUCCUCCUCCCUCCCGCUCUCCCUCUCCGUCCCCUCCUCCCUCCUCUCUCUCUCCUCUUUUUCCCCCUUUUCAAUCUUAAAUUUUGUUUAUUUGAUUAUUUUUCAAUCUACCUUAAGGUUUUGACCGAUGCAUCACUGACCUUAUGGGAAGUCCUAGAAAUGUCUCCCUUGGAAGCCGAAGAAUUGGUUAUUCAAGAUCCAUGGUUGAGAAGAAAGGGAGUCCUAUGUAUGACCCAAAGCUGGAUAGGCUGUCCAAAAGUGAGAAGGUGACCAUGGAUAUCACUACUAUUUUUUCAUUACAAUUUCUUGUUUUCUGUUCAUUUUUAUCGUUAAAUUUCAAGUUGCAUAAUUGCUAUUUUAAGGAUAUUGUUUACUUCUUUCACAAUGUUAAACGGCCUUCUAAGCACUUGCCUAAGUAGUUAAGCAGGUUGCAAAUAUAUCCCCUUUUAUAAGAGAAUAAGAAUAUGUUUUUCUGUUUUCUCUUCCCUUAGGUGUGUAUGGUCAUGCAUACUCGUAUUACUUUUUGUACAUUGGUAAGGGUACUGUGUUUGGCCUUUCAGGAAUGGCUAAUUAUGGACCUAGUGAAGUUCCAAAAUGACGGGACAGUGGAAGUUGAUCUGACUAGGGGUUCACCUGGAGCGUCUGAACUGUUAGAGCUUAGCUCACUUGAAGGACCUCCUCCUAUUUUAGAUGAUAUUGUCACUGAUUUCAACAAAACAAUUCCCAAAUUGAAGAUUGCUAUGCUUGUGGUUGGAACAAGAGGAGAUGUGCAGCCGUUUCUAGCCAUGGCUAAGAGACUACAGGCACGUCAGGUGUUGGUUUCCAAUGAGCAUUACAGCUGUCUAUGCUUGGUUUUUUAAUUUCUUGUAUUGCUUGCUAUGUUCUAAUUGUCUAAAAAGGUGACAACAGAUUUAUAUGGAUGUUGGGAUAUGUUCUUUUACUGAAAUCUGUACAGUCAUAUCAGCUUAAAGUGUGAAGAAAAAUUGAUUUACGGGAGUUCUAGAAGUCUAGGAUUAAGUGUUGUAAUUUUCUUUUCAUCUUCAUGAUCUGUGGCAGUUAAGGUUUCUUCCCUUGAGCUUAAUUAGAAUUAUGGGAAACACUCUUUGCAGUGAUUUUCAAGUAAUUAUGAUAUAGUUCAGAAUUUCUUGACUUCAUGUUCUCAAGAAGAAAAUGAAUUAAGAUGACCUACAGUUGACAAGGUGAAGUUGUGCAAAACGAUAGUGCACAAUGAUAAGUUACUUAAUCUCCUUUUGUUCUACUUGGAAAUCACAAAAUUUAUUAUAAAGCCCUGGACCUCAUAUAUUUGUUUUAAAGAGCAAUGUGAUGCUUCAUGCUUGAAUCUAUGCCUUGUCUGCUUUCACUUUUGUGGUUUCCUAGAUUCAAUCAAGAUAUGUACAUGCACGUAUGAACUAGUGCAAGUAGGAAGUGUUAAUUUUUGUUCUGUAUCAUGCAGGCCUUGUAGUUUGGUACCUUUAUUCAUUGUCUUAUAAGUGUCUGUAUCAGCUUUCAAAGAAUAAGUGAAAGUUACACAUAUGAACUAGUGCAAGAGGGAAGUGUAAAUUUUUGUUCCGGAUCAUGCAGGCCUAGUAGUUUGAUACCUUUAUUCAUUUUCUUAUAAGUGUCUGUAUCAGCUUUCAAAGAAUAAGUGAAAGUUGUGCUUGCAAUAUAAGGAUUUAUCAUGCCUUUUUCUUUUCUUAUUCCAAUUUAACUCAAAGAUUUUAGUUAUUAUAUUUACUUAUGUAGUGAUGUUUUCUGUGAUUUUUUGUUCCUGAACAUCAACUUUGAGGGAAUUGGUCUACAUCAUUUUCAGUUUUAUAAUUGUAUAGCAGGGGACCAAAGAGUUAAAUGGAGACUUUAAGUUGAUUCGCAUGGGGUAUCAUGUUCUGUUGUAAUGUAAAUAUAUGCCUACAAAUUGCUCUAAUUUUGGUGUUAACAAGCACCCAAUUCUGCAGUUGUAGGUAGUUAAAAGUGCAAAAAGGAAGAUAAAUGAAAAAGUUGGCUUUUCUGUUCGUUUCUUCCAUGUAAUCUCGGUAAUUAUAAUUUGAAAUUUUGAUUAUUUCACAAGUCAAUAACUUUUCUUACUGUGAAAUAUUCCAUGCUACCCAUUUGUAUGAAUUAUUAGAAAAUUAAAUUUGAUUAUUUUUCUUUUGGAGCCUGUGGUCAUUUGAUUUGGUUCUGUUAGGGCAUGGACUCUUUAAUUGGUCUAUAAUGACAUAUUGAUCGAUUAUUGUGGUCCAUAAAAUGGAAGAGUGGUCAAUGUAUUGCUUUGCUUAUCUUCUUCCUGACAGUUAAUUAUCUUAAUACUUCUGUGGUGUAUUUACUAUUUGCUUUGAGGUCUCACUUCAAGUUUGUUGAGUUGUCAAAUUGAAACAUAUCUCUAGUUUUCAAUCAUACCGUAUUAUAUUUAUGGUGUAAUUUGUCUUUGGACAUUCUGUAGUUUAACAGCAUGUAUAACCUUUUCAUAAAAAAAGUGGGUUCAUUUUUGGACCUUCUAACUCCAAGUGUACUCACAGGAAUUUGGUCAUCGUGUUAGGCUGGCAACUCAUGCUAACUUCGAUGAUUUUGUGAAGUCUGCUGGCGUAGAGUUUUUCCCUUUGGGCGGUGAUCCUCGUGUAUUAGCAGGAUGUAAGAGGUCCUUGACACUCAAAUACCUCUUUUUAACCUGAAGAUGUAUUUAUUUAUUUUUUCUGUUGAUAUAGCUUUCAUGAGUUAUCUCUCUCUUUUUUGGACCUCACUUGUGAUUGCUUCUUUUACUUUCCUGUUGUAAUCAUAUGGUUGGUAUAUUCAGUUUAACAUGGUAGCUAGAUUAUGAGAAUAGAAGUUGAAGUCAUAUUCAAAAGGGUUAACUAAUUCAGUGUCUCAGCAGUACUCUUUCUUGCUACAAUUACAUACACCUAUAUUUUGUAAUGCAACCUGCUUGGUUUUGUGUAAAAUUCUAAUUGGUUGACUAUGGAAGUCUUUUCUAUGUAAUGAUGAAUUUGUCUCCUGCUUCUGUAGAUAUGGCCCGCAAUAAAGGUCUAAUUCCAUAUUCACCAGGAGAAAUAUCUAUUCAGCGAAAACAACUGAAGGCGAUUAUUGAAUCUCUUCUUCCUGCUUGUACAGAACCAGAUCUAGAAAGCAGAGAGCCUUUCAGGGCUCAGGCAAUCAUUGCGAAUCCUCCAGCUUAUGGUUAGUUUAUCAAAUCUGAACAGACCUCUUUCCCCCUCCCCCCAGGCGGUCCUUAAACAAAAGGAAAAAGGAAAAGAGGAAAUACUUUUGGUGGACCAUCACCUGUAUGAACAAGGAUUCGUUUUACUUUCCCACCUAGCUGCUCUAGGUAGGGUGUAAGUCCUGGGUUUUUUUUUUGUUGGGGGGGGGGGAGGAUAUCUGUUGGUGUGUCUGUUUCUCGCAGGUAAUAGAUUGGCUUGGAUGUACUAGAUCUUUCUUUUACUAUUGUUGAAUUCUUACUGGAUGUUGUCAUCUUACUCAUCUGUCUAUAGAGUUCAGAAAUGUAUUGCUCUUUGUGUAUUUGAUAAACCAGUACUAAUUCAAAGAAAUUAGUGAGAAUUUGGACACUGGGCAUGAGGCAAAAUUGAGAUUUUAUGUUCUCAGUUGACAGAUGAUUCCUGAAAAUGGUUCGAAUAAAAGAUUGUUUCAGUUGGUGGCAUCACUGGUGUAGUUAUGAUAAUACUUUUAGCAGACAUUAGGAUGAGUAAUUGAGGAUAACAGAAGGUUAAAUUUUAUUUUUACCACAAAUGAACACAUACAUAUAGUCUGGAUGUACAAAUUUUGCGAUAAACUUUUGUCUAUUCCAAGCCCUGUUGGCCUGAAUUUAUUAUGGUACUUGAAGUAUAUUCUUGUUGACAGGACAUGUUCAUGUUGCUGAAGCUCUUGGUGUACCCAUCCACAUCUUCUUCACAAUGCCUUGGACGUGAGUGCAGUCCCAUUUUCUGCAAUUUCUGUCCUCUUUUGUUUUUCUGAUUAAUGAGCUUAUGCAGUUUCCUUGAUAUCCUUACAAUCAAUUAAUUAGUCUCAACUGCCCUUAACUCUUGGAAUGUCCGAGUCAUUUUCUCAUAAAAUUGGGACUAAACUUGGAUUAAGUUUUCCUUUGCCUUCUCUUUCAAAGUGUUGAUGAAUAGGACUCCCCACCCGUUCUGCUUUUAUGAGGAGUAAUGUGUUAUUUUUUAUAAGUAGAGAAAAAUUUUCAUACAAGAGAUGCUCUUAGGUGCUCAAUAUCAUUUUCUUUGACAUUCAGCUCAUGAUGGAUUAUAUCUGAGCUUUCUUGCAUUUGGUUAUGAUGGGCAGGCCCACAUGUGAAUUUCCUCACCCAUUGGCACGUGUACCUCAAAGUGCUGGUUACUGGGUAUGUUUCUGUAUGUCCUGCCAACUUCUAAGUUUAAAUCAUGAGUUGUUCUAUCUAAUUUGUUCUUGUUCUACCUAGCUCUCCUAUAUAGUUGUGGAUUUACUUGUAUGGUGGGGAAUACGAGGAUAUAUAAAUGACUUCAGGAAAAAGAAGCUGAAGCUGUCUCCUAUUGCAUACUUCAGUAUGUAUCAUGGAUCAAUAUCCGAUUUGCCAACAGGCUAUAUGUGGAGCCCCCAUAUUGUGCCCAAGCCACACGGUAUGUCUGGUCCUUUGAUUGUCAAAGUGGUGCAUUCUUGUGUUAGUUAUGGUCUGUUGGACUAUAAUUUUUGGAAUAUUCUGCAUUAUUUUUUCUGCUGAAUACUAUUUGUAGCAAUUUUUGUACCCUUUUCAGCAUCUUGUUUGGAUCCAUAUUAUGCUUGUUUAUUUACAUAAAUGGAUCUCUUUUAAAUUGUAUGUGUACUAUCCGACAAAAUGACAUUAAGAGCAUUAUCACACUCCAAAUUUAGUGUAUUAAGGAUUACAAAAGAUGAGUAUCUUGAGUGCUGACAUCUAUAGUUUGGAUUUAUGUAUAAUUUUGUUGAGGACAAUGAGUCUCUAUUUUUGCUUAAGCAUUGUGUACUUAGGUCAUAAAGCCCUAAUAGGAGUUUUAAUGAACUGAACUGAACAAGUUGAUGAUUAAUAUUGCUAAAACUUGGUAUAUUACCUACCAAGUUUCAACAAGCUGUGUUCCACCUUAAGUUAUGUGUCAUUUGCUUCGUGCUUGGGUGAUCUUCUGCUGAACUAUCUCGAGUAGCUUAACCACCUUCAAUAUGAUUAUUGUAUUAUAUGCUUAUGGAGUUGAGAUAAUAAGCUUAUUAAGUAAAUGUCGCCAACGGUCUUCAAAUGUAGUUGGAUUAGUUUGCUAAUCUGUAUAGAAGAGUUCUUAAUGGCUGAAAUCUCCAUAGCUAAUUUCAAUAGUUCUUGGUCCCUCUGAUAUGUUUUUGUAACUUAGCCCAAUGGUUAAGGAAGUGGAGAUUAACUCAAUGUAUGGGUGCCAAUGCUCUUAACUUCGAUUUGUGAAAUGUAUUUGGAAUCCAAAUUUGCGAAUAAAGUUUGGGAUUGGAGUUUGUUUGAACAUUGAAAAAGAUGUGUAUUUUAUUAUUCAAGUUUGGCAUGUCAAGGGAUGUGAGAGGUAUGAUUGCAGAAAUAGAUUCACUAAAGUGUCAAACAUUUCAUUAAGCCAAAGCAGCUGGUGUCACAAGUUCAACCAGGAUGAAAGGAAUAUAGUUUAUGAGAUGAUAUCCUUUGAUGGGUAGGAGUUUACUAACUGAAUAUGGUUUCACUGACUUUUUUCAGGAUUUUCCAUUUCCUCCACUCUUGAUUUCCAUUCUUCACAGUUUCCUCUGAUUGUAGUUUUUGCAAACACUUCAAAGAAUUUAGUUCAUUGCAGCAGCAUGACAUAGCUGUUGAGAAAAAAUCAUUGUGAAAAUUGUUGGUUCACCAUCAUAUCCUUUGAAAAAAUUAUUCAUUUAAUUUAUUACCUUGCAGAUUGGGGGCCUCUUGUUGAUGUUGUUGGCUAUUGUUUCCUAAAUCUUGGCUCAAAGUUUGAGCCUUCGGAAAACUUUGUUAACUGGAUCCAAAGUGGACCGAAACCUAUAUAUAUAGGUUUUGGAAGUAUGGUAUGCUAUUUUUGUUUGAAGUUAUUGAUGUGCUUCAUCCUGUAUAUAAAUCUUUUUGUUUUAGUAGGAAAUCAAGUGAAAGAGUUAUAUCCUUCUUAUUUGACACUUGAAGAAGAACUGAAAUAUUUUUUUGCUUUGACUUUUUUUUUUGACACUUUCUCUGCUCUAAGUCAAAAAACUAGUCAGCAAAGUUUGGGUUGGUGAUUUGGUAUCGAUACUCUGCCAUGAAUAACUGAUGCAUAUUAAUUAAACAGUUCUUAAGCUUUGUGGUAUGGACAUUUUGUCUAUGAAAUAGAGGAUUGUGCAGAGACCAUUAACUUCUUUAUGAAGUGAUGUAGGUGCACGUGGCGUAGCUCAUGUCUUAUAAAGUUCUUUGUGUUUUGCAUUUGCAUGCUAUAAAUUUUUGUCACAAGUUCCUUAUUUUUCCCUAUUGCUUGUGAAGCCUCUUGAGGAUCCCAAAAAAACUACAGAAAUCAUUUUAGAAGCACUGACGAAUACAGGACAGCGGGGAAUAAUUGAUCGUGGAUGGGGAGAUCUAGGUUCUGGUAAGUUAUUUGGUUCAAUCUUGUCCCUUCAGUUGCCUCUUGCUCAAAUAUAAUGUGCUAUAGGUUCUUAAAAAUGUUGAUUCUCAUUUAGCAACUAAAUUGGGCUGAUCCAAUGGCUGCUUUUGCAACUUUCCCCAGCCCCUACUCCACCCACCCACAAGGGAAGAAAGGAAGAACAACACAAAGGAAGUAACAAAAGGACAUAGUGAGAGGUCCUGCCAAUCAGAAAGUGAAUUUGAAGAAGAAAAUGCUUCUGCUCUUUUUGAAGAAGUCACCCUUAAAACCUAGGGAAACACACGCAACUGAAAAAGACGAAGCCAAUUAGAAGACAUGCAGAAGCAUAAGAAAAAUUAGAAAAAACUUAGGCUUUCAAAUUUGCUCUCUUCUUUGGAAGUAGAUGCUCUAGAUGCAGCUACUUGUCUUACAGCCAUUACAGUUUUCAGUUUUUUACUUGUCUUAGCUUUUUACAGUCAUUAUAAUCAUUAAAUUUACCUAUCCUUGUAUAAUUUUUGGAGAAUGGCAGUCUCACAUCAUAUUAUGUAUGCUCUCCAAAUUGUUUUUGAGAAACUUGUUUUUCUAUAUUCUUUUGCAGUGGAAACUCCUGAAAAUGUUUUUCUUCUUGUUGAUUGCCCCCAUGAUUGGCUAUUCCCUCAAUGUUCAGCUGUGGUAAGUUCUUUUUUAACUAAAGUCUCUCCCCCUAUUAAAUAAGUAAAAGAUCUGUAUUGUUGAGCUCCUGCUGAGUUUGUGCAUAUAUAUAAGCGUGUGAAAUGUACAUAGAUCUAGCAAUGUCACACCCUUCUGGCUUGGAGUUGAGAGGCAGAGAGGAAAUGCCUUUGAUAGAUUACUCCGUGUUGACUGCGAUUAUUGAUGGGAUACUUUUUUGGGCCUGUCCAUCUUGCUUUUGUUUGAUCUUCUAAUGCACCUGUCAUAUACUGGGUAAUGCUGCCAUUCAGGUUCACCAUGGUGGUGCUGGAACUACAGCUACAGGAUUGAGGGCAGGGGUAACUUUUCUAUAUCACUGGCUUUUUAAAUUUAAGUUUUAGCACUUUUACAUAUCUGUGUCUUUUUAACUGUCUUUUCACAGUUUAUAUCAUGUCAUAUUCAUAGCAAAUGAUUCUCUUUGUGAAGCAAGUAGUUGUUCAUUUCAUGUUUGACCUAUUACACUUAAUAGUGCCAUUUCCAUUUUCUACAUUUUAUUAUUUUAAGGUGUAUUUUGUCUCAUGUAAGUUCAAUUAUGUGAUAUGCAGUGUCCAACAACCAUAGUUCCAUUCUUUGGGGAUCAGUUUUUUUGGGGUGAUAGAGUUCACCAAAGAGGACUGGGACCUGCACCGAUUCCCAUAUCUGAAUUGAGUGCUGAAACCCUCUCAGAUGCCAUAAGAUUUAUGCUCCAGCCGGAGGUUGGCUGCUAGUUGUGCUAUUUAUUUACUUAUUUAUUUAUUUAUUUAUUUUGUUUUGCAUCUCCUUUUUCUCAUGUUUUCUUUGGUACGUAGCAUAAUCAUGUUAAAUUGGCGUGAAAUGAGGUUAUUUUUAAACCUCCCACUAGUACGUUUUCGGAAAACCUUGUCUGUUAUUCCUUGUAAAAUAGACUUCUUAGCAAGACAUUUGCAUUCCUAUUUCUCAUUUUAACAUCUGAUGUUGAUGUGUCGUAAAAAUUGCUUCAAUAACGGCAUUUUCUGCUCUGAAGUAUCAUGAUAGGAAUUUAGCUUUCAAUGAUCAGGGUUUUGAUCGAUUCUAAUCCCCUGCAGACAAAAUACCUUUUAGAGUAAGCAUAAACAUCUUCAUGAUGUUUGCAUUCCCUAUUGUUAACAAAGCAAGUUUGUGUUCUCUAUUUUUAGACAAAAGAUUAUGUAAGACACAGAACAUGAAGACAGAAAGAGGUUAUGUUUCAUAGAUUAGUUAUGGAGUCAUUAGGUAAUCUUAUCAGAGCAUAGAAGUAUGCUCUUGUUGAUAUAUAAACCGAGAUGCAUUGCAAGCGUAUAAUCCCUGGUUAGGAGAGGAGAUAGGAGUGGGUUCCUUGGCUUUUCAUGGGACGGAAGGCCAACAAGGUUUAGUAAUAUACUGGCUUGGGGUUGAGAAUAUUUUUGAUAACGGCAUUCAACUUAGUUACGAUGAACGAGGUGCUGUGUUCUUCUACAUGUGUGGUUAAGAGGAUCACAAAUUACUGGAUCUCUAUAUGUAUGAAUGACCUGAAGUUAUCAAUUUAAUAGAUCUAAAUGAUCUGUGGGUUUCAUGAGCUUUAGAUGUGUAGGACAAUCUGCUAUCAUGGCUGAGGGAAUUGGCCUCCGAUGACCACUUUAAAGACUUGGAACAGGGAAAUAAAAUUUUUGCAUUUCUGUCAAAGUUCAACAUACUCUAUCCUUGCAGAAAAUUUGCCUUUUUUCUUUGUUUUCUGAUGAAACAUUCGGCAUAUCAACUAGAAACUAUAAUCCCCCAUCCCCCUCCCUGCUUAAAUCCCACCCCUCUUCUUCUAGAAAAAAAAUUAACAAAAAAUCUAGAAACUGUAAUCCCCUAUAUACUAUGUUCUCCUUCUCAAAGAUGAAUUGUUUACGACUUUACACCUUCAUCAUCCUGUUCUUUCGUUGUUAGUUGUAAACUCUCUUUUGGUAAUCACCAUAUUUUGACUCACAUCAGCCUGCUCCUGUUUGAGAGAGGUCUGCAAUAUCUAUUGCCUCUAUAUGCUUGCAAAUAUUAACUGAAUCUCUUCCAGGUAAAAUCUCUGGCUAUGGAACUAGCAAAGUUGUUAGAAAAUGAAGAUGGUGUUGCGACUGCGGUUGAUGCAUUUCACCGGCACUUGCCUCCAGAAUUACCAUUACCAAUUGCAUCAACAGAGGACAAUGAUCAUCCAAAUUUCUUGCAGUGGCUGUUCAUUCAAAUUGGCAGAUUAUGCUGUCUGCCCUGUGGUUCCUAGAAUUUCUGCUGCAACAUCAGUAGUGAUUUUUGUAGAUAUAGUUGUAUGAUUUGGUCUCUAUUGAUAGUUGAUUAGUAGUGUCUUAUUCAUUCAUUUUAUUGAUCCACCCUUCUGUGGGGUUGGACAGUGGUCAGUAUAUAGGCUUUCAAACUUUUUUUUUUUUUUUUUAAAAUUUUGGGAGAAAGGCUAGAGUGGAAUAGAAGAACUAGAGUAUUGUUUUGACUAGUAGGUUGAGGCAUAGAACUUGAAAAAAGGAAAAAAAUGAGACAAUUAUUCUGUAUUAUACUGGGUGCAGUUUAUCACUGGAUCCUAGUUUUGUCAUUUCCUUCUUGUGUCAUUAUCUAAUUUCCAUCUGUCCCACUUUCAACACCGUUGAUAAAGAACCCAAUUUUCUUUUACAUGAUGCUAAUUUGGUAACAUAAUUGUUUUUGUACAAGAAGUUUUUGACCACCACCAUCUAAUGCACCUUAGAUAUAUAUGUGUGUGUGUGUGCAUAUAUAGCAACAAUCAUUUCUUAUAUAUCUUGAUAUCUCUCCACCUUGAUUCCAUGUAGCUGCUUGAAUUAGCUGGUGCAGCAUAAACUCCACACUUGAAGUACAAGUCACCUGGCCCCUGAUCAUUCUUCACAAAUUUUUGAACACCAUCGAUGAAAACAGUGAUUUUUCCUUCAUCUACGUUGUGGAUUACGUUUAAUCGAAACCAUUUAUCGUAUAGAUUUGUGUUAACCACUUCAAACUUGUAAUAUUUCAUGUCACCUUCGUAGAUCCUCAGUUGGAGACUUGUAGCACCAACUCUUGCACCAUGAAUUUGCAUUACUGUCACUCCAGAAGUUGCUUUAGGAACGUAUGCAUGGCCUUCAAAUUGCCAAACUCCAGAAGAGUAGUCAAGACCCUAGAGAGAGAGGGGGGGGGGAAAGAUCGGUAAAAAUACCGGGUAUUAUAGGAAAAAAAAAAAGAAUUAGAACACGAGUUUUUUUAUUAAAAUUGGAUUGUCUGGAAUCUUAUUUUUACUAGUGAUUAAGGUACGCUCGAUGGGUUUGCAUCUAAUAAAAUUAAAAAUAUUUAUAAUUAUCAUUUUCAUUCCAAAUGGAAGUAUUAAAACGAAAACAAAAUGGUGUGGACUAAGGUGAUUCCAAAAAUAGGAAGAAAGGAAAAGAAAAAAAUAGUCGUGACUAAUAUUAUUUGUUUUGCAUUUUAACAUCUCUGCCAUAAAUUGAAGCUUCUGACAAACUGUCUAAUUUUGAAGAGCGCAGAAAAAGUGGAUAAAUAUGAAUGAGUUCAAAACACAAAAGAUGGGAAGAUAAGAAGAAGUUAAUGGUAGAUUUUUUGUUCUUUUUUUUUUCUGUUAGAAAAUUUGACCAUUUUACAAAAAGGGAAAAAAAUAAAAAAUGACGUAGUCUCAGGCUCUAUAUAUAUAGUCAAUCUACAAAAAGUAACUGAAAAUCAAAAUUAUGAUAUUUUUAAGUGAUAGAUAUAAAUAUAAAAAUCUCUAAAAUCAAGGAGGUGGAUCAUCUUUUAGUUUGUUUCUGUCACUUAAAAUCGUAUGCUGUUUAGUAUAGGAUUUCACACACACACACACACACAUAUAUAGAUAUCUUUUUUAUAACAAAGUGGUGAGAAAAUAUACAGAAUUACAUGGUAGAAAAGUGACCUUAAUUCGGACUUCAGUGCGUGGUCUGGUAGUAGUAUCAGGUUUAAAGGGCUUGUCAUUGGUGUAAACCCAUAGUCUCCUCACUCCAUUUUGAUAGCUGUAUCGAUCAUUGAGCGGUACAUUGUAUGGCUUCUGCAGAUCAAAAUUUCGAUCAGUUAAUGGUAUCUCAGUGAACCCAUCUGUGGGAUCAGCAAGACAUGACAGAAUUCGACCCGUUGAGGAAAUCAAAACUAGGAAUAACAGUAGACUAUACAAGCAAGAAAUGCCCAUUUUUCUGGAAAUUCUUGAUCUUUCUUUUAACUCUUUUGUUUGAUGAUUGAAGUUGAGAAAUUUCAUGGCUCCAUUUAUAUAGGAGGAUUCUUAUUGUCUGCAUGAAAAGGAGAUGUUUCCUAAGGUUCUUCUCCGCAAUCAUAUUAAUUUCUAGGUAAUUUGUGUAUUACUAAACGUGAAUGGUACGUAAAUUUGUUGAAAUCCAGGAUGAAUUUUUGGGUCUCUUCAGAGACGGUUGACAGAUAAUAUUGUUGCAUUGCCAGGGUGGGGAAUUGGGGUAACAUUUUAUCUGUUGUAUAAUUUUCUGGCAUUUUAUAUAAAGGGUCAUUUUCUCUGUUGUAUAAUUUUCACCAAUGUGAAACAGGGGAAGAUUGAAUAUACAGACAACUGCUGUGCCUUAUUCUCUCAACCAUUUGUUCUCGUACUUUGUUCCACAUUAAAUUUGUAGAAUUUUGCAGCGGCCUUCAUUUAAAUUCAAGAACAUGGAAAGAAAUCCAAUUAAAUUCUCUAGGAUAAACAAUUUUUUCAGACUAAAACCCAUAUGUCAUGAGUGCACAAAUCACUUGUAUGCCUUGAUCCAUAAUAAUGAACGAUGCAUAAUUAUUCAAACUUUUUUCGUACUUCAAAAAAAGAAAAAUCACUUGUACAAUAUCCUCAUCUAAAUGGUCUUCCUUUUCUGAGUUCAAAGUUUAGUUUGUAUCACUCUGAGAAAAUGAUUAUUGAUCUUGUAGUCGGAAAAUGAGAGAGAGGAGAUUGAUAUUCAACUGAUAUUUUUAAUGAGGAAAAUAAUAUGGAUCAUGAAGAUUUCAUGCCUAAGAAACUCUGUGCUAUAAAUAUUUUGAUGCUUCUACAAUUGUAUAGGGAGUUAGUAUUCUUUAAUUAUAGAGGAGGUCUUUCUCUUAUAUGAACCAAUAAACAUAUAUGAUUUUAGGAUUUUUAAGAAACCAGGGAUGACAUAGCACAACCUUCGAAGUCUCAACCCUUAGGAUAAUAAGCUGAAAUUUCUUUUUUCUUUUUUAUCAUUUUCUACAAGAUGGAUUUAGUCAUAAAUUGUGAAGUAGGAAAUAUUGCAAAAUGCUUUGAAUAGAACCAUUCCAAGCAUAACUUGACCUACACUUAAUGAAAUUAACAACCAUUCCAAGCACUAUGGAAUAGUUAUUCAAUGCCUUAUUAGAAAUUCAUUUUCUAAUUGUGUGUUAGUGGUGAUACUUUUGAUUGCUUUAAUUCAUGUCAAUUUAAUCUGAAAUAGAACACAAGCACGUAGAAUAAUGAAUUACCACCACCUCACAGUAUUUCGCAACACAGAUGGAAAACAAGAACUUCAAUCGCAUCACACGAACUGAUACAUAUUAGGAUUUAUAUAAACUCAACAACAUUCUUCUUACAUAUUAGAUACAACUCAAACAACAAUUGGACGUACAUUUGGUGCAAACUCAUAAUUUCCAUCUUGAUGGUAAAUCACUUCUUGUAAAUCUUGAUAUCCCUCCAACGUGAUUCCAUGUAAUAACUGAUAUCUCUUGGUGCAGCAUAAACUCCACACUUGAAGUAGAAUUGUGAACGCCCUCGAUCUUGUGUCUGAAACUUUUGCUGAUCAUCAAUGUAAACUGUGACCGUGCCUCCCUCCACAGCAUGGAUGAGAUUGAGCUUGAACCAUCUGUCGUACAUGCCAGUGGCAAUCACUUCACCGCUGUAAUACCUCAUGUCACCAUUGUAGAUUCUCAGAAUUAUGGUGGAUGAAUCAUGGGCUGCACCAUGAAUUUGUGCUACUGUUGCACCAGAGGUUCCAUUCGGCACGAAUCCAUAGCCUUCAAAUUGCCACACUCCUGAAGUAUAGUCAAGUCCCUGCACAUAAAUUUUUUGUUAAAAAAAAAGGAAGAAGAAAAAAUCAAAACUGAUCAUAAGUUCGUACUUUAGAACCAGUUACAGGUUCACACUCACAUGACAAAGGCUGGUGUAUUUUUUACUCAAAUGGUAACUAUGGAAAGAAUGUACUACUACUUGGUAAACUCCAAAACUAAGGGAAAGUAGGAGAUAUUGAGACUCUAGUCAAGCAAAAACUAUAGUUAUGAAUAAAAGUUUUCACCAAAUGCGUACUUCACCCUCAGGAAGCUAGGAACUUGAAUAGAAAAUGUUGAUUGAAUUUUUUGAAUGACACACGAAAAUCCCAUGUUCUCAAGAAUUACUACUGUCGAAAACAAAAUAUCUUGACUAACGCCUCCGCCUGUUAAAACGCAAGCGAACAGGAGAAAAGAUAAUAAGACUAUGAUGCAGUGGUAUUUGAAGCAUUGUUAUGGGGGAAAAAAAUUGAUUUACGUGAAUGCGAACUUCCGUGCGUGGUUGUGUCUCGCUAUUAGGGCUAUGUGGCUUAUCAUUAGCAUAAACCCACAUCUUCCGAAUCCCAUUUUCGAAACUGUAUCGUUCAUCCAAUGGCACAUUGUAUGGCCUCUGGAUUUCAAAGUUUGCUUCUGUUAAUGGCACAUUUGUGAAACCAUCAGUGGGAUCAGCUGAACUUUGGAGAAAAGAAUUGAUGACCAGAAAUCCCACGAAGCAGACAACAUUCUUCACAGAAGAAUUCAUGUUUCCAAACUUUUUGCCCUUUUCCCAACAAUUGCUUAAGUAUCUUCUUCCAAGAAGCCGCGGUCUAGUAAAUAUAUAUAGGUAAGAAAAUGGAACAAUGAAAUGUACUACUAGAGGUUGGAGUUGGACUUACCUGGACCUAUGUUGGUAUUUCCUUGCGUAAAGAAGCAUAUUUUGUGAUGGUGACCUGGUUGACGAAAUUAUUGGACGUUUCACAGGAUAAUGUUUGUGGAAAAGAUUCUUUUUCCAUCUUGGGUGGAUCUAGUUGCGGGAACAUUCAUAGUUCAUCAAACUUCAGGCCAAACAACAAGAAGGGCUUAAAGUUAUUGGUGACAAGAACUGGUAUUGAACAAGAGAAGAAUAAAUCUGGCUUGCAUACAACUUAUUAGGCUAAAAAACAAAGGCUAAUAUAUUUUAUAGGGAAAAUUACACUUUACCCCCCGGUGGUUUAGUAUUUUUUACAUAAGCCCUAUGAUUUCAAAAGUUAUAUAUAAUUUUCUCAUGGUUUGGAUUAAAAUGUCAAAGUAACUGAACUUGGAAUCCAUAAUGAAGUCACUUAAACUGUCAAAAAUACCCCUAUGUAACAUUGAAAAUUAUUUAUUAAUCAUAGGAGGGUUAUGUGUAUAUUUUGAAAAUCAUAAGAGAGUUAUAUGAUAAAACAUUAAAUUAUAAGAGAGUUAUAUGGUAAAAUAUAAAAUCAUACAGGGUUAGUGCGUCAUGUAUAGUAUGUUUAUAUAUUUUGAUCACUUCAAUCAUUUUAAUUUUUAAAUAAGGGUAAUUUCGACAUUUUUAAAUGUUCCGUUACGAAUGAUGUUUCCGUCACUUUAACACUUUAAUCCAAAUUAUGAGGGAAUUAUGUAUAGUUUUUGAAAUCAUAAGAGAGUUAUGUACAAAAAUACUAAAUUAUAGGGGUUAAAAUGUAAUUUGCCCUAUUUUAUAUACACAAACUUACUUCGUAAUGCACCACUCUUUUUAUUAUUAUUAGUAUUGGAAUGUGAUAUUAUUUUAUCUCCACUGUUCAAAAGCUUUGCAAAAACCCAAUUUUUGAAUUGUUCAAGACCGCUGGAGCUUCAAUUAUCGACCUUUAAAUUAACCCACAUGAACUGAACGAAGUGGUCCAUUAGGUAAAUUUUUUUUCCCCCUAAAGACAGUAGAGAAUAAAGAAAAGAGAAGACAGACAGAAAGGAAGCAGAAAAAAGAAUAAAAGGCUACUAAAGUUACAAGUUGUUUCGAACUUAUAAUGAAUAAGAUAAUUUGUGUGAUAUGUAAAAUCUAAUCAAACCUAAUUAAAUCGGGUUAUAUAACUAUCAAUCCAAGUUCACCCUUUAUUUGUCAGCUUCUCACGGAUACCGUUUAAUUGUGUUUUCCCCAACUGAUGAAUUUAAGUCAUAUUGCAGUAAAUUUACUAGUCGUAUCCAAAUCAAUUCUUUUUUGAAUUGUAUCCAAAUUAUUUGAUAGAUUAAGACACAAAUACUUAAGUAAUCUUUUGGCUAAUUAUGCAACGCGUUAUACUGCCCAACCACAAGAUUUAAAUUGUAUUCUACAAAUUGGGAGUUCAUGUCCUUUUUUUUCAGAAGAAAAAAAAAAUGAGAAAGUAGCCAAUAUAAUAUGGUGUUUUGCAAUCAUCUUCUUUUAAAUAGAGCAGCAUGGAAACAAAUAUUCCACAGGUUAUUGUCCCAUCUGCAAGGUUUCUCGUAAUCUCUGACAGAUUCACCUUUCAUACAAUUUGACUGUUAGGUGAUCAGCUAAGAUUUAAAGAAAUUCAGAUUUAUUGGUGCAUUUUUUUUUAUCAAAAGAAAAAAAAAUCUGGAAUCUCGCUCACUAUGUAAAUAUCUUUCCAAAUUGAUUUUAGGGAUAAUUUUAGAAACCUCCCCUGAGGUUUCUAACAAUUUCACAAAGCUCCCCUUAAUAUUUCAAAAUUGCACAUACCUCCCCUAUUGUUGCAAAAGUACUCUACUACCCCUAUAUGGGAUACUUAAUGACAUUUUUUUUUUUUGGAAAAUUUCAGAAAUUCCAAGAAAGACCAAAAUUGACUUUGGCACCAAGUGAUGGAUUUAAUUGACUUGUGUAGUAAAUGUAAGGGCUGGAGUUACUGGACAUAAAUUAGGUUGUAGUAUUUUGAGUGCUAAAAUUAUUGGAAUUUAUCUUGAUUUAAAUUGGGGUGUUAUUUGACUUUUGUGGUGGCGUUGCUUGAAAGAAGGCAAUCAUCAUAGUUGAAUUUUUGUUCCAAACUUUUAUUUUUGGCAGAAAGAGUUUGUUUGCUUAGGUGUUGGAAGAAAGGCAAUUAACAAAUCUCUUUUUAUUUUUCCUUUUUAUCUUUUUGACAAAAAGGGUAGUUUAGGAUAUUUGAAGGAAUUGGUAGCCUAUUAGCAUAAAUAGUGAAAGCAAGGGAGGUGAGUGUAAUUUUUGAAACCUAAGAGGAGUUUCCUGAAAUUGUUAGAGACUCCAAGGGAGGUUUAUGAAAUUAUCCCUUGAUUUUAUUUUCAGAAUGUUGGUUCCUUCUUGCAAUGAUUGAACGACUGCUCGACUACGAGUAUCUAUGUUUUUCCUUUUGAUUGAUUUACAACCUUAAUUAAUUUCUAUUAAUUAAGCCAGAAUUCUGAAGUUCAUUUGUACUCGAAAGAUUUCUUUACUCAUAAUCUACCAAGAUUGAAAUUGGAACCAUCCUCGUCUAUGCCCAGCAUGCAUUUUCAGGGCUUCUACUUUCUAGAGUAAUUCUUUUUGUUUUGGUACUCCCUUUUCUUGUCUCAUAAACUCUGCAGCUCUCUUGCUUUUGUGCAAAAGGUUUUGGGAUAAUUUCAAAAACCUCCCUCGAGGUUUCCAACAAUUUCACAAAGCUCCCUUAAGGUUUGAAAAAUUACACUUGCCUCUUUUGAUUUGAUAGUUUUAGCAACAAAACCUUAAAAUAAUAUUGACUUGGUCAAUUUUUUAAAUGAAUACCCAACAAUGCCCUUGUGCAAUGAGUUUUAAUUUAUUUUCCUAUACAAUUAUAAGAUUAUUUAGUAUAAUUAUAAGGAAAAUGUGCCAAAUUUUUCAUGUCCAUAUCGACUAUUUGAUAAACAACUAUAAUAAUAAUUUUAUUACUAUGAUAUGAUAUUUUUUAUGAUAUUUUGUUAUAGAUUUAAAUUUAUAAGAUAGAAAAGAAAAUAUUGAAAUAAUUCAUUUAGAGUUUAUGAAUUUUUAGAGUAGUGGGAUUAUCAUAAUUUAGAAGUGCUUUUGGGCUAUUUCUUUUUGAUUUAUUGUUAAUUUUAAUAACAAAAAUAGAAAACAAAGAUGAGCAAAAACAUUAGAUUACAUAUAAAAUUAAUUCAUCAAAAAAAUCACUAGUUCGAUAUUUGAUAGUUCUAGAGAUAAUAGUGGUAGUUGUACAGUUUUAUUGGCAAAAAAUUAAAAAGAAUGAAAAAAAUGAAAAAAAAUUUAAAAAUCAUUCAAAAUAUAAGCAUACCAAAUAAGGGAAUUUUAUUAAAAUAUUUAAGGGUAAAAUUGUCAUUUUAAAUGACAAGGUAUGUGUAAUUUUUCAAAUUUCAGGGGAGCUCAAUGAAAUUAUAGAAACUUUAGGGGAGAUUUCUGAAAUUAUCCCAAAGGUUUUUAACCUUAGGAUUUGAUGCAUUUCUGGUUCCUCUGUUCAUGUAGUGAAACAUAAUAAUAUUAGCCAGCAAAACAAUUAAUAAGAGGAAUGAAGAAAUCAGUAAUAUGGUCUUCACGAGUAGAAAGAUGUGCUUAAUAAUCAACUUCAACAGAGACUACUUGGAUAGAGUAAUUGCGUGAAAACUAUGCCAAAAAUUAGGAUGCUUGAUCAUGUAGCUACGUCUAGUCAGAUUUAUGAUAAAGUAUUUGCUGUUCAGUAACAAAUGGAAGCCAUACAAACUAAAAAAAAAAAAAAAAAAUUUAUGGAGGCUGAUUAAUAGUAAGAAUAAUUUUUACCACUUAAAAAAAAUGAAAGUAAAAACAUUAAUUAUGUUUGUAUUGAGCAAUAACUAGACAUCCAUAAUUAGGGCUGUCAACGGGCCGGGUCCGGGCCGGAAUUCAUUAUUCCGGACCCGGACCCGAAUUACUAUGCCGGACCCAGACCCGACCCGUUUAUCCGACGGGUCUUUUAUUCUAUGUUCCGGAUCCGGAUCAGGCGGGUCCGGCGGGUCCCGGAUCCGGAUCCGGGUCUACCCGAACAAAUUUAGCAAAAUUUAUAAUUUCUAAUAAAAAUGAAAAAAAAUAUAUUUGUAAACUAAUUUUUAACUAAUGCAAAGAAAAAACCAAAUAAGAAAAGAAAUCAAAUUAACUUUAUUAAAAUACAUCACUCUAAUCAAAUUAUAUUGAUAAAUAUAUAUAUUUAAAAUUAUUAAUUCAUUUAUAUCCGGAUCCGGGUCUAAUACGGGCCGGAAUACUAUAUUCCGUAUCCGACCCGUUUUUUGUUUGACAAAACGGAUCCGGAUCCGGAUCCGGAAAACGGAAUUAAAUCCCUACCCAUACCCGCAAUAAUUUCACGGAUCCGGUCCGGAUUCGGGUCUAGACCCGACCCAUUGACAGGCCUAUCCAUAAUACUAGUUGCGAGGAUCCCAUGACUGAGAAUGUGUCAAAACAGAGAGAGGGAUUGCGAGGGCUAAUAUGUGUAUUGCUGAAAGUCAUGAAAGCCGGUACAUAUACUGUGUCUAUAAUAUGUUAUCCAUUGUUUUUGAACUAUAUCACAAAUUAUUCAGAUUCUUCGGACAUCACUCUUUAUUUCAAGAAAAAAGAAAGAAAGAGAAAAAAAAAAAAAAAAGAAGAAGAAAGGCUGGCCAGAAAACAUCUUCAGAAAAUUUUUGUACAUGAUUAGGAGAAUUAUUUUCACUUUUUGUAUAUUUUGAUAUCUCUCCACCUAGAUUCCAUAAAAUAGCUAAUAUUGGUUGAUGCAGCAUAUACUCCACAUUUAAAAUACAAAUCUCCAGGCCCUCGAUCUUUUGUUUCCGCUUUUUGUUCCCCAUCAAUGUAAACAGUCACUCUUCCUCCAUCCACAUCAUGGAUCAAAUUAACUUUGAACCAUUUAUCGUACAUUUGAGUAGCCAAAAUGCCCCUAACUGCACCACAAUAAUAGUUCAUGUUUCCAUCGAUGAUUCUUAGCAUUAUAGUUGUUGCCCCAUGGGAUGCUCCAUGAAUCUGAACUAUUGUAGCGCCAGAUGUACCAUUUGGCACAAAUCCAUACCCUUCAAAUUGCCAUACUCCAGAUGAGUAGUCAAGUCCCUGCAUGUAUGGAAACGAUCAAGAUAUAUAUAUACAUAUACAUACAUGUAUAUAUAUAUAUAUAUAUAUAUAUAUAUAUAUAUUGACACUAAGCAGUUUUGGUGAUUUCAACUCCAAUCACCAUCACAAGUUAGGACAUGCUUUGCUUUCAAGUGAUGAUCAAGAUUAUAAAGAUCAUGCAUAAGGGUUAUGCUAUACUCAAAUGCAAAAGAAAAAGAAAAUCAACUAUCAUUCGGAAUAACCAAUCUAUAAUCCUAUGCUAAAUAUUUAGCUUAAUCAAGAUAACUGUUUCUAUGCUAAAAAGAAAAAAAAAAAAAAGAUAACCGUUUCUAUAGAGUUAAUUGUUUUUUUAAAAAGUACUAGUUUCAAGCGGUUUCGAAUCUUCUGUUCCCAAAUUAGUCUCUAUCCUCUCUGUCCCUUCUUUGUAUAGUUGCCACGUGUUUCUAACUUUUUGAUAACCCAAACUCAAACAAAUCGAAAAUCAUCAGUUGACAAGUUUACUUAAAACCAAUUAAAAUAGAUAACUCAAACUUUUUUGCCUUUGGAUAAAUCAAGCGGUUCCAAUAACUCAAAACUAUUUUUUUUCUUUGGAUAAAUCAAGCGGUGGUUCCCUAAUUAGAAUUUCUUCAACUCUAGUUUACAUGAAGAAGAUUGCAAGUUUUGGUUUUGAGUAAACUUGUCAACUGAUUAUUAUCGGUUUGUUUGAGUUUGGAUUAUCAAAAAGUUAGAGAUAGGUGGCAACUAUACAAAUAAGGGACAGAAGGGAUAGAAUCUAAUUUGAGGACAAAUGAUUCGAAACCGUUUCAAGCUGCUGCUUAACAGAAUACAUCUUUGAAAAAACGACUUAAUAUAGUAGAAGUAACCUAUAAAGCUACCACAUUGAAAAUCAAAAGUUUUUCAAAGAAUAGAAAAGUUAAUAAGACAUAAUGCUUUGGAAAAUUGUCAAAUUUGCCGAGAAACAUCAUAUAUAUCUAACGACAUUAAUAUGAAGCAAGCAUAUUAUUAGGCAGGAGAAGGUACAAAAGCAAUUGACAAGUUCAGGUUUGGCUUUUUCCUUGCUAACGAAAUUGAGGGUAUCAAAUUUAUUUAUUACGGUAUCUAAGGGACCAGGGUCAAUAAUAUCCUCUCGAAUUUUCCAAUUGAAGCGAAAACAAGAAAAGUCAAGAACAAUAAUAUCCCAUUCUGUAAGAAUAACGACAUGUAUAGGUACUUAAUUCUGAAUAUACAAACUAUAGAUAGCGGAGAAUUUUGAAUGCAAAAAUAUGGUGAUUUUUGAGGGAUGAGAUAUUUACCUUAACUAACCUUUAUAAAAUGUUAUCUAAAAAAAUAAAACAGAGAUUAAUUAUUCGUCAAUCAAUGAGCAGAUACAUAGAGGAAUAAAUUAAAAUGCAAAACUAUGGUCAGUUCUGAUGAAUGGGAAAAAGUUACCCUUAUCCGAAUUUCAGUCCGUGGCAUUGUGUGACUGUUGGGAUUAUGUGGUUUAUCAUCAGCAUAAACCCACAACCUGCGAGUUCCAUUUUCAUAAGAAUACCGCUGAUUCAAUGGUAUAUCAUAUGGCCUCUGAAUCUCAAAGUUGUAUUCUGUUAAUGGGACAUUUGUGAACCCCUCAGUUGGAUCAGCAACAGAUUCCAUAAAGACAUUAGUGUAUAAGCUCAUUAAUGAUGUUAAGAAAACCACAUUUUGUAUAGAAAAUUUCGUCAUUAUUUCCACCCACUCCACUUCUUUACUGGAAAAAUUUUGAGGAAGAAAACUGUUGAGCUAUAUAUGGUUAGGCAAUUAUCAAGUAUUAAUAAGGGAACAAGAUUUGAACGUUUGAUUUUUUAAAGUGUGAUGGUGUAAAAUUAAAUUUAUUAAUCAACCUACUCAUCAUUGCGUCACAAUAAAUUUUAUUUAGGUACAAAUUGAAAAUGCAUGAGCCAAUUGAUUGUCUGAUGCAGGUUAGUAGGACUGCACGAGCACUUUAUCAGUGUUUUUUUUGACUGUUUUUAGCGUUCCUGCUCCAAACCCUCUAAUCAUUUGCAAAUAACUAAAACAUAUGACAAUGACAGGGCAAAAGAUGAUGACCCAAAGUGGCCAAAAAUUAGCAUCUAACAAGUUAUUGAUUGGACUUAUUUAAGAUUUUUGGUAGAGAAAAUUUCAAACUUUGCAGUCUCAAUGUGAAUGAGUAUAACUUUUGGUGGAUGCAUGAUCUACUGUGACAUAAGCAUCUUUGGAAAAUUUCAACUUAUUGUAAUGAAUAAAAUUCAUUACUAAUUUACUAUGACUAGUCCUAGUAUUGGGUGGUGUGGUUCGUGAACAAUACAAAUAGAGUCGGUAAUGUAUAAUUUUUUGCAUGAUGAAAUCAGGUAUACCCAAAUCCUUUCAAUUAUUCUGCGAAUCUGAAGCUUUCUUGCUGGAUUUAGCAGUAUGUUUGUGCCCCUCUGUAACAUUGUCUGGCUGUUAGUCACUUUCUGGGUCAACAUGUUGAGGCAUGCACACCCGUGAUUGUGUAAAAUAUACUUGCUCUUUGAUCCCUGGGACAAGAAAUGAUCAUUGCCGUAUCAACGAUUGCUGAAUUUUUUACCAAUUGAAGUCAUCAGGCUAAAAUCUUGAGUAUUUUUUAACAAUGAUCAAAGAUUUAUGGAUCAAAUUACUCUUUCACUAUUUUUGACUCUUUGGCUUUUUCCUCCUGUGGGAUUUGUUUGAAUCAUUGGAAAAAAAAAAAAAAAAAAAGAACAGACACAGAAAGAAUAGUGAAUAGAACCUAGAUUUUCUGGUCAAAAGAUUGGCUCCUUAAUCCAUCCUUGCAGCAUUGGUCUACCAUUAGCUCAGAUUUCAAUCCUAUAUAUCCACUUAGCUUACAUUUGUUGCUUCGUAAAAACUUUUAUUAAUGAAAUUUUAUAGGGUAAAUUACAUUUUACCCCCCUAUGGUUUACCCUUUUUUUACAUAACCUCCCUAUGGUUUCAAAAGCUAUACAUAACCCCCUCAUAAUUUGGAUUAAAGUGUCAAAGUAACAGAAAUAGUCACUCGUAACGAAACUUCUAAAAAUGUCGAAAUUACCCUUAAAAUACAUGACACAUUAAUCCCGUGUAAUUUUUAUAUUUUACCAUGUAGUCCCCUUAUGAUUUAAUGUUUUACCAUAUAACCUCCUUAUGAUUUUCAAAAUAUACACAUAACCCCCCUUGGUUAAUAUAUAAAUUUCAACUUUAUAUAAGGGUAUUUUUGACAUUUUAGGUGACGCCGUUAUGAAUGAUCAUUCCCGUCACUUUGACACUUUAAUCCAAAUCAUAAGGAAGUUAUGUAUAGUUUUAUGUGGAAAAAAUGCUAAAUCACAGGGGGGUAAAUUGAAAUUUGCCCAAUUUUUUGUGUUACGGAAGUCUGUAACUAAUGUUCAUUGGGACACAGAUGGUAUAGCCACGUUUAAUCUGUUUGAAUUUUACCAGAUGAGAAAUUAUUCCUGCAACAUAUAAUUUCUACCUUAAUUGGAGCACCAGAUAAUUAUUCACUUCAGAUAAUUAUUCACUUCUUACUACUGUUAGAGCCAAUUAGCUAAGCGAUUAAGGUUGAGAUCUCAAAAAUUUGAUGUACCAACUUAAAGUCUAUUCUAAUUAGAUAAUAGUAAGUGCUCAUUCCACUACUUGCGGAUCAACUGGUUGUAGUGGUACUGUUCAAUUGUAAACAGUACAUAUUGAUUUACUUUGUAAUCAUAUCAAUCAAGUAUUAAUCUUCUUGGAUUUCAGGUUUAUAAUUAGUUGCAUGAGGACCGUUUUAGGACAUAGCACCACCGUAUUAUAAAAUGUGAAAAAAAAAAUGUACCAGUCCUAAGUACAGUUUAGACACAAUACUUGCACUGGCAUAAAAUGCAAGUAAUAAUUAAACAACAAGGAUAAUUUUAUUUUCUCAAGCAAAAGAAAUACAGUUGUAAUUAAUUCUUAUUUUUCCCCUGGGUAAAUCAUCCUCCCUUUUUUGUAUAUUUUGAUAUCUCUCCACCUUGAUUCCAUAUAAUAGCUAAUGUUCUUCGGUGCAGCAUAGACUCCACAUUUGAAGUACAAAUCUCCAGGCCCUUGAUCAUGAGUCUCAAACUUUUGUACACCAUCGAUGAAGACUGUCACUUUUCCUCCAUCCACAUCAUGGAUCAAGUUAACCCUGAACCAUCUAUCAUAAAGGCCAGUGUCUACAAGUUCACUACUGUAAUACCUCAUGUCACCGUCAUAAAUUCUCAGAAUUAUAGUUGUUGCACCGUGAGAAGCUCCAUGGAUUUGCACAAUUGUUGCACCAGAUGUCCCAUUUGGCACAAAACCGUAUCCUUCAAACUGCCAAACUCCAGAUGAGUAGUCAAGCCCCUGCAUGAUGAUUGAAAUCGAAACUAUUCCUAUUAGAUGAGUCUAGCUUCCAAUUCAAAGCAACACAUUUUUGCAUAUGUGGCAUGCAUUUACCUAUAAACUUGCUGUUUUAAAUAGACCUGACCUUAAGUCAGUAUUCUGAAAAGGAAAAAAAAAAAAGGUUUUGGUUACCUGAAUUCGAACUUCUGUUCGUGGUUGGGUGUGACUAUUGGGGUCGUGAGGUUUGUCAUCAGCAUAAACCCACAAACGGCGAGUUCCAUUCUCGUAGCUGUAUCUUUCUUCGAGUGGCACAUCAUAUGGCCUUUGAAUUUCGAAAUUAGCUUCUGUCAAAGGGAUGUUUGUGAAUCCUGUUGUGGGAUCGAUAGAACAUACUAAGUAUAGAUUGUUUGAUAUGUAUAAGCAACUAAAUACUAUGAGGAAAAUCGCAUUUCCUUUUGAAGAACUCAUAGCUUUAAGCUUUUCGCUUGCUGAGCUCCCCUUCUUCAAGUAGUAGAAGGAUGAGAGCUGAGUGAGGAAUGUAGCUGUGAUCUUAAUUUAUAUAGCGGAACAACAUAGUAAAUUUUGCUUUAUAAUAUGCCUUUUUUUUUUUGGAGGGCAACGAACUAUGGAAACGCAAGGGAACAUUUAAUAUGAUGUAAAUCGUGUUAAAGAUGACUGAGUAAAAAAUCAAUGUGAAACCCAAAUAUUGCCGUAUCAACCCAGUCCAUUUAUUUGUCCCUACUACAAAAAAAGUUACCUCGCCUUAGCUAAAAAUAAUCGUGCUUAAUUGUAAUUUGCAUUUCUUAUUUGGAUUUACUGGUUUUUAAAUCAAUUCUUACAUUGUUUGGCGGAAAUUAAAACAAUAAGCCUAAUAAGAAAAUUUUCAGCAAUAUGUGGGGAAACAAUUUUGCACUGUAAGAGAAAUUCAAGCAAAAUUCAAGAAUCUUGCUGUAUUUAGUUCAGUUGUUCAAAUGCAAAUAAUUUUGAUAGGUCUAUAUUAGUACCUUUUUUUUUUCAUGGCUCCAUUUAUAUAGGAUAACUAUCAUAGUCUGCAUCAAGAAGAGAUGUUUCCUAAGGUUCUUCUCCGAGAGCAUAUUAAUUGCUAUGUAAUUUUUUAAAAUAAAUUUUUCUAAUAGGGAAAGAGUGAGAGAGUAAAUGAGAAAUGAGAAACAUUGAUUUUUUUAAUUAGAAUUGAGAGAGGAGAAGGAUAUUCAAGCGAUGUUUGAUUUGGUAAAUAAUGUUGAUAAUAUACUUUCAUGCUUCCAUUCGUAUAGUGAUAUGAAGAUUGCGAAGUAAUAAAUCCACAAUUGGUAUCUGAAGCUAGUAUUCUUUUAUUUUAGUGGAGGUCUUUGUUAUGUGAAACAUACAUGAAUUUCAGGCUUUUAGAAAAAAAAAAACAGAUAUUACAUGGCAUAACUUUCAAAGUCUUCAUCCGGCCAAUGAGCUGAACUUAAUUUCUCAUACUUUUCAGUAAGGUGAGAUUUGAAGGAUGCCGGAUUUUUAUAAUCGUCAGUAAAAAUUGCACUACACUAUAUGUUCUCUGACAAAGUGCCAAAGGAUAAGUUUUAAUUUUUGUUAGGGAUAAUUUCAGGAGUUUUCUAGCUAUUUCACUGGUCUCUCUUCGGGUUUUAAAAAUUACACUAACCUCCCUCGAGGUUAAUUAUUUUGUAACAUUUAGGUCUAACCAACAAAUAAAAAAUAAUAUUAGGAGAAAGAAAAUAAUAUGAUUCCACCAUUACCUUUCAUCUACUAAAUUGUUUAAUUAAUCUAAUACCCAUCCAAAUAUUAAAGAAAAUACUAGAAUUUGCUGUUUAAUUUAAAUUGUUUAAUUUAAUACCCUUCAUAGGGGCUUAAAUCACCUAUGACAUAAAAAAUAGUACAUUAUUCUAUAUAUUUUAUUAAAUAUAAGAUCUAAAUUACUCUUUUCAAUUACAAACUCAUAGUCAAACACGAUCAACAACAAAUAAUCAAAAAAAAAUCUAUAACCAAAAUAUUACAAAGAGUGAACUUUAAUACCAUAAAAUUCUCAGGAACUAACCUUAAUAUGUUAAUAAGAAUAUUUAUGAUGUUAAUGUUUAUUCUCUAUAAUAUUUUGGUUGCAAAUUUUUUGAUUAUUUAUUGUUGACCAUGUUUGAUAAAUGGGUACGUAACUGAAAAGAGUAAUUUCGAUCUUGUAUUAAGUGAAAAAUAUAACAUGAUUUACUGUUUUUUAAUACUAUAUAUAAUUUGAUCCCUAAUGAUAAAUAGCAAAUUUUAUAUUUUUCUUUAAUGUGUGGGUUAGUAUUAAAUUAAUUAAAUAAUGUAAUAGCUGAUAGGCAAUGAUGUAAUCAUAUUAUCUUUUCUAUCUCACUAUUACUUUUUAAUUAUCGAUUGAGUUUAAAUGUUACAAGAUAAUCAAUCUCAAGGGAGGUUAGUGUAAUUUUUGAAACUUGAAGGGAAGCCAGUGGAAUAGUCAAAAAUCUCAUGAGAGGUUUUUGACAUUAUCACUUUUUGCUAUACUAUUUCUCACAUUACCGGAAUUAGUGCUAAAUGUUCACUCAAUGUGAGUGCAAUAAAAAAAAUACUUAAUAUUAUGGUCAUAUAUUUUAUAUAAAUUUUCAUUGCUGAAGCAAACCUUAAUCUUUUAAAUCUUUUUUAUAAAAUAAUUCUAUAUUGGUAGUUAUAUUAAAAAUAUAUACUUAAAUACUCCCUCCGUUCCACUUUGAUAGGUUUGUUUUUCUUUUCAUCCGUUUAAAAUUAUAGUCCACUUUCUAAUUGAAGAAAUUUAGUUAACUUGUAGCUUAUCUAAAAUGCCCUUAUUUAAUGUAGAUUGUUAUUGAGUAUAACUUAACUUAUUAAGUGUAAAGUUAAUUAGUCAUACUCCAUUUAAUGCAAGCGUAUUUUAGGAAUAUAAUAAGUUAGAUUUAUUUUUUCCAACAAAGGUAACCAACUUUUCUUAAACUGUGUGGGGAAAAAAUCAAACCUAUCAAAGUUGAAUUGAAGGAGUAAUUAAAAGUAAAAAAUAGUCAUGGAUAGUUAUCUUAAUCGCAUAUGUAUAGGUAGUUAAAGUAAGCAUAGUUUCCACAAGGGCAAAAAUGAAUGUUUAUAAAGUGAUAAUGAAUGUUUACCCUAAACCCCUUCCUGUACUCUUUUAUACUAGUUAUAAGGGCACACUUGAUGUAUAUGCGCAUUUAAGAUAAAUCACUUUUUAUAUGGACGUACGAAAUCAGUACAAAAUUUUCAUAAAUAAAAAUAUAAACUUUGAUCUUUUAAAAAUUUUUUGAUUAAAAUUUCAAUGAACCUGGUGGUUACAAUAUUUGUGGGUGGUUAUGGUGAACCUUGUGGUUGUAUUCAUUAGCAAUAUAAGUAACAUGUGAUAGAUAUCAAAGGCAUAAUUAAGUGAUUAUGAAAGUAAAAUAAAAAAAUCUAAAAAGUGACAAAAAGGGUUUACACCGAAUAAAAUGCUCUCGUAUUGUGUAUAGCUUGAAGUGCUUUUUCUGCAAUUUUUCCCCCCAUUAUGUUUCGAACUAUAUUUCUUUCUGUGGCUCGGUUUUGCUUGGUACUAGGGUUUUGAUUUUGAUCAGACUAUAUGUAGACUCUUUAGAACUGGCGAAGUUGUGUUUCCUUUGGGGUUUGAUUUUUCUCCUGUACAUGAAGUGUGAAGUACGACCCAACUUAGUUUUAAAGAAGGUGGAUUUUGAACUGGUCCACAACUGUCCUAUAGGUACUCACAGGACAGAUGCAAUUAAAGUUUGAAAGUACCCACUGCAGAAAGCUUGAAAAUUACUGAUGGUUUUUUUGGAUUUUACCUUGCAAUUGCAUGUGAAAAAUUUUGCAAGGUGCAUUCCACCUUUAUGUGUAUCCAAAUGUAAGUUCUCCACAAAAAUUGGCUAUGAUUAUGGUGGAUAAUGUAAGAAAUUUGCUUAUUCCAAGCUAUAGUAAGAAAACUGAACUCCAGACAUGAAAGCUUGCGUGUUCCAAGUUCCAACUUGUGAUCAUUCAUUUGGUACUACGUGGUUUGUAAUUCAUGCACACUUACUUUAAUGGUAUCAUCUCAUGUCAUUUGAUUGAUACUUAGGUGGCACAAAAGUGUCCCUUUUUUGUAUUAGGAUUAAUAGAAAUGUUCCCUUUUCUCUCUUUGGUAGGAAGUUAGCAGGAAUGAUUAGGAUCUCUCUUUGGAAAUACAUGUCUUUUCUUGGAGUUUUUGCUUUAUUAAUUACAUGAUAUUCAAGGUUAAAGUAUACUAGCUCUGUGCUCUAGUCAAGUUGAAAACAUUAUUGUCAGACUCAGAUUAGAUCGACCAGUCGAAUCAGAAAUCGGCCAGGUAGUCAGUUCGAGUCAGAUUAAAAACUCGAAAAUUAUAAAAUCGGUAAAAUUUGGUCAAAAUUUGGGUUUGACUAGUGAACUGGUAGAACCAUAUCAAACCUGAUUUUUCCCUCCCCAUUUUUUGCCUUUUUUUUAAAAAAAAAUUAGUAAACUUUGUCUUUAGUCCUGACUCUUGACUCUGUCUAGUUGACCGAUUAAACAAGCAAAAAAGAGGAAAAAUAUGGAAAAAAUAACAAAUCCAACCCAAAGUUUUCCAAAGGCAAAUUAGGGAUGACAAUUAGGGCGGGUGCCUAUGAGAAGCUAAUGAGGUGGGGCGAGGGGGAAUUUUUUCCUCAGUUUAGAAAAUCCCCCGCCCCGCCACCCAUUUAAAAAAUAAUAAAUAUAUAAAUGUACAUAAUUAUAUAUAAUAUUUAAUUUAAUUAGUUACAAACUUAUAAUAAUGAUAUUAUUAUUUAUAUGUAUUAUAUAAUGUAUGAUAUUCACCAAUAGUGAUGAUAUUCACCAAGUCGUCACUAAUGUAAUCCCCAAUAAUUCCCAGCCACUCGAAUCUUGUUGGCGGGAAUGUAUUUGUGAGGACAAAUCCAAGUUGUCACAAAUUAAUUAACUCUUGUAAGGCAAUUGUGAUGACUUUGAAAGUUGUGGUUAAAGACCUCAUUCUGUGACCACUUUUCUGUCGUUGCUAAGAAAUAUUGCCACUGAUGAUCAAAUUUGUUGUAGUGAUCAAAGUGACCUAAUUUGUGAUUAGGGGUGCAACUCAAUCACAGUAGUUGGACUCGAGCUCACAGGUAGUUUGAUAAACUACUCGAUUCAAACUCGGUCAAUACUCAUAUGUGACUGUAAUUCAAGGUGAUUCUAGAUGGGGUACUUAAUAAUGGGACAAGGCUAGAUGCUUCAAUCUUUUUCCAUUUUUGUUUUUGACAUUGAUGUAUUCUGAUGCAAUAGUUGUUGAUAAUUGGAAGAUCUGAAUGUAGGAAUUUGUAGUACUUUUAGCUUACGGCAAGAACAUUAAUGGCAAAACGAGUUCAUAAUGGUUAUCAUUAAUUAAACUAGGAUGCCAUACCCAGUUCGAAUCAUCUCCUUAAAACUAUUUUUUUCGAUAUAAUAUUCAUAUUAUCAUCUUCUUAUUAAUUUGUAUUUUCUUUCUUGAGCUUUUCUAACAGUACAUAAUGGACAUUCAAUUAGGCAAACUCGUCGAGAAUUUUUUCAUACGCCCAUUAGCUAAACCCUCUUUUUUCUUCUUUUUUAAGGCAAUUAAUGUUAAAACUAGUUAAUAAAAUGAUUAUCAUUAAAUAAACUAGUUCACCACAUGAUUAUCAUUGACUAAACUAACUUGUGUUAGUAACAUGAUAAGACUAACUGAACUAGUUGGUAACAUGAUUAUCAUUAAUUAAACUAGCACGUUAUAUUUAUAAAUAGGUAAAACUUCAUCUUAAGAUGCCUUGUGGAGAAUUUUUUGAAAGGGAAAAGAAAAAAAAACAAUGGUAAAAGCAACCAAAAAAGUAAUUUGAAACAAAGUCAUAAUAAUACCUUAGGGUCUUGGCUCUACCACAGCCUUCCUCUCCAUAAUUUUGCGGAGGGAAAGUACAGUUGAUUUAGGGAGGAAAACAAAUGAAAUGGAUGGAUAAGAGACACACCAAAAAAGCCUAAAAUUUUCAUCCUAGAAGUGGAAAGAAACAGUCGGAUACGAAACAGUGCUUAGUAGAACUUUAUCAAGUAGUAAACUGAAUAAAAACUUCCCAGACCAAACUACUUUCACUCUUUUUACUCUUAAGAUAGCCAUCCUAUAUAAUCUUCACCACAAUUGGAGAAAUAUCAGAUAACCUCUCUUGGGUCUCUUCAAUGGAACAAGAAAACAAGCUUCCUUGAUUAAAUAAACUAAGAGGACAUGCGUAAAUUGUAAAAAUGUGUUAUCCAACUUUCCAACUUCCAAACAAAAGGGCAUUGUUUCUUUACUUUUCUUUUCUUUGUUUGAACUCCCAAACAAAAAAUGUACAACCCUUCUCUUCUCUUCUUUUUUCUCCUAACUUACCAUUUUUCUUGUUUUCAUUUCUCAUUAUAACUCUCAAACUAGGCCUAAGUAUUCAAAGAUGUUCAGUUGGUCUUAGUAAACUCCAUAUAAGAUCCUCCUAAAAGGAAAUUAGAUAUUGUCUCCUCAAAAAUGAAAUGUUUUUUCUCUCUCGAAAAACAGUGAAAUGUUUUGGACUCUGACAAUAGACAAUGUAAAUCGUGUUAUUGAUGCACUAAAUGGUCUACAAAAUAAAUAAAAUAAAAUUUCACGGACUAUUUUGUCUAAAAUGCAAAUUGAGGUGACGAAUUCAGACUUGACAAUCAAAAGAGUGAUCUAAUUUGUGAUACACUCACAAGAUCCGUGUAACUAGCCCUAAUAUGUGCCAAUACUUAACAAAUUUUCACUUUCUAGCACAUCUUUUUCAGAAACAUUCAAUUCCAUUCUCGAUCCUAUUGUCUUUCUUUAGAUUGGAGAGAUGACAGUUUACUAUUACGAUACUGAGGUAAACACACUAAUAUUAUUAAAAAUAGUGCAGUAAAAGAGUGAAACAAAAAGUGGAUUAUAGGAUCUCCACAUGAGUGAAAAAAUAAGAGUUUUUUUUUUGUCAAUUGUCAUUAUCUACACCUAUUUUUAUUCUAACUUAUUCUAGGGAAUAACCCAACAGGGUCACGGAAAAUCGACGGAGACUGAACCACCAUCGAAUCAUACAGUUGUAUUACACACCUAUAUGAAUUUAAGAAAAAUCACGUUAAGUAGCAACUUUAAUGGGUGGAUUUAGUUGGUUAAAAAUGGGAUAAGUGGUCAUGGGAUACUCUAUACACACACACACACGUAGUGAAAAUAUGGGAUAUAAAUUAUAAUGGUAGAUUGAGAGGACCAGAAUAUGUGGAGUGGAUGAAAGAAAGUGGGAUACUGGAACCUGGAUUCUUAGCUAAAACCCUGAUCUCUGUGUUCAUAUGAGACGCCCAAUGAUCCAAUCCAACGUGAUUCAAGAUGGGAUACUUCCUCAAUAAUGGGGAAGGCUAGAUGCUUCAAUAUUUUUCCAUUUUUGGUUUUGACAUUGAUGUAUUGUGAUAGUAAUACAAUAGUUGUUGAUAAUUGGAAGAUGUGAAUUUAGGAGUUUGUAGUACUUUUAACUCACGGCAAGAACAUUAACAGCAAAACUAGUGCCUAAUGUUUAACCAUUAAUUAAACUAAGGAUGCCAUACCCAGUUUGAAUCAUCUCUUUUAAAACUAAUAUUUUCUGGCUUCUAAUUAAUUUGUAUUUUCUUAGUUGGGAUUCAAUUAGGCCAAUUUGUUGGGCAUUUUCUUAGACACCGUCAGCCCCCCCCUCCCCUCCCCCCCCCAAAACAACACCUUUUUUUUUUUUCCUUUUUUAAGGUAAUAAAUGUUAAAACUAGUUAAUAAAAUGAUUAUCAUCAAAAAAACUAGUUCACAACAUGAUUAUCAUUGACUAAACUAGCUUGUGUUAGUAACAUGAUAAGACUAACUAAACUAGUUGGUAACAUGAUUAUCAUUAAUUAAACUAGUGUUCAAUGCACAUCCAAUGUGUGUGCAAUCAAAAAAUACAUUGGUCAUAUAUUUUAAAUAAAAUUUUUAUUGCUGAACUUUAAUCUUUUAAAUAUUUUUCAUAAAAUAAUUUUAUAUUAGUAGUUAUAAUAUUUAGGAAUAGUUGUGUUGAAAACAUAUACUUAAAUAGUUAAAAGUAAAAAUAGAUGGGUAGUUAUCUAUAAUCAAAGUAAAAAGAGUUUUUAUAAGGAUAAAUUCAUAAAAUGAUAAUAAAUAUUAAACCAAUGUUAAUAACAAACCUCUUUUCUCAAGUUUUAUAUAUAGUAUAUAUAUACACUAGCACGUUAUAUUUGUAAACAAGUAAAACUUCAUCUUAAGAUGCCUUGUGGAGAAUUUUUUCAAAGGGAAAAGAUAAAAAAAAGGAAAAAGAACAAUGGUAAAAACUACCAAAAAAGUAAUUUGAAGCAAAAGUCAUAAUAAUACUCGUUAAACUUGAUCUUGACAAAAGUCAAAUUUCACCAAACUUGUUUCGUGAUUCUUUUACUGUCACCGAAGGCAUCGGAGUCUCUGUCUCAACUGUGCUUACACUCGACAUGGGGCUGUUGCCGGCUUGGCGGUCCGUGGUAUUCAAGAACCGGGGAAGCGGUUUAGGCCUUGCCGCAAUAGCUUAUGUGGGCGUGGACUAUUUCCGCCACCUGUCUCCGCGGUGGCACGAGCGAUUGCAGCCAGUUUUGUGGACAUUUUUAGCCAUUGCAGCUGUUAUUCGUGUUCCUUUUUAUAAGCACUGGUCAUCUGAGCUUCGUUCUGCUCUGCCCUUCAUAUUUUCUUUGAUUUUUAUGCUCUCUGCUCUGCUUUUGGAAGCCAUCUCUGUUCGGUUUGUCACGGUUGUUCUUGGCAGUGAUUGGCACAAGUAUGUACUGAACUUCAGAAAGUUUUCUUUUUUGCUGUUUUUGGGGUAAAAUUUGCUGGGUUUUUGGUUUUGGUGGUUUGCUUUGAAGUUUGAACUUUUCUGGUUGACUAGUAGUAAAGAUUUGUGAUGUGGGUUUUGCUUUAACUGUAGUUUUGGUUUUGUAACGGAUUAGCUUGCUACAAAUUACCAUAAUUAGAAACGAAGAAAAUCUGAUCUGCAUUUGUUAGUGUUGGAUCUCGUUAUUUUAAGCUAAGAUCUGCUUGUCUUGAAGUGCAACCUGGCUUGUUUAGUAUAGCGGUUAAGUUUAUUUUUCCGUUAUGUAAAAGAUUCCAGUUUGAUCUGUCAUCUAAUUGAGGAAAUGCUGGUGGUUUCGAACGGUGGCUCUAGAUUUUGCUUUUAGUACUCGUGCAUAUAGACAAGCAAUGCCUGGUUGUUCAUAUGUAUGUUACUUUGUUGAUAAAGCUGAAGCUACACUUGUUAUUGUUGGCAUUUUUUUUCUCCGUCCAAAUUUUGAUCAUUAACCACGAACGAGGUUAAUUUUAUUCUAAUUAUGUUUUCUUUAUGACAAGCUAGAACUACUUGGGAUCUUUUUGCUAUCCAGGGGUUUAGCUUGGAGCUGGCAAAAGCAUGCAAACAAUAAAUAAGCUUGUAAUAGUUGAAGCAUUAACAUGAACUAAGCUAAACACAGUAUGUAAAAGGGAUAUGAUUAAGAGACCCAGUUUUGGUUAUUAAUAAAUAUCUGACUACUUGAAAGGAUUGGAGUUAAGUUGAAUUCCUUCGUUCUGUUAAAUUUCAGUUUGUGUAUCAUAAUACUAAAAGCUUUAGGAAAUCUAUUUAGGGUUACUAAGGAAAAAAUGGCAGCCAAGGGAGCUGAAAACAAUGUCAAUACAGAUGAUAAUACCUUUUGCUGCUAUUAGAUAUUGAUCAAAUAAGAUUCAGUAACCAGAAAGCAAUUGAUAGAAGCUCCUAAAUUUUCUUUCUUCUUGUUUUGGUAUCUGAUAUGCGAAACAACUUAACUUUUAUUAAUGAGGAGGAAUCAGGGGAAUUGAGGAUGGAUUGUCAGUGACCUGUUUUUUCUCGAGUAAGGUUGCUGGACUGCAUUUUCUUUCCUGACUUUUAGAAUCAGUUUCUGCACGAGCGGUUGUACAACUUGAGGUGCUGCUUGUGUUGUUGGAUUGCAAUUAUUAAAUUGUGCUACUUUUCCCACUAAUGAGUCUUACUUUCCAAAUAUAAGAAGGAGGAACAGGAAACUGAUUGAGUACAGCUUGCUAAAUUGAAACUGUUGAAGGAGUUGUAUACUUCUAGCAUUCCUAGGAAAAUAUUUGGAACAGAUAGGUAUUGAAUCGUCAUGUUCCACAAAAACAUUUACUUGCAAAACACAGUUUAAUAUGCAGCGGCUGUGCAACACCCUGAAUUUGAUUACUUGCUGUGGCUAGUUUAUCCUAUAUAAUUAUAUUUGUAAUGUUGAACAGUUCUGCUCAGGCUCUACCUGAUGUUGGCCAGUGGUUUCUGCUUGCAUUGAACGAGAAGCUGCCCCAAACAAUGGUCAAUUUGUUGAGAGCUCGUAUAAUUGGACUGCACCAUUACCUGAUGUUGUUUGUCAUGCUUGGUUUCUCUGUAUUAUUCAACUCCAUUGAAGCUCCUGGUCUUGGGUUGGGUGCAAGAUACAUGUUUACCAUGGGUGUUGGGCGACUUCUUCGAGCCUUGGCUUUUGUUUCUACAAUUUUACCAUCACCUCGGCCCUGGUGUGCAUCAACUCGCUACCAUAUACCUGCACACGCUCAUCGUUGGGCUCAAAAGUAUUAUGUUCCAUAUGCAACUGAUUCAUAUGCUAUUCGCCAAGUUAUUCAUUAUGAUAUUGCCUAUGGUAUUUGCCACAUUUGAUAUAUCUUAUACCUGGCUCAUUCUUUAGUUUUUCCUACUUUCAUCUGCCCCUCCUGAUUUUUCUCCUUCAUAACACCUUAAAGCUUUGUCUAAUUAAUAUUUUGUGGAAGGCUUGAUCGGUGGGAAGAGGGGCCAUGUCAAAUUAUGUGUUUUAGAUGUGAAUGUUUGUUUUUUACCUGCUUUUAAUUCAGGGUUUAGCAUCUUGUCCUAAGGGCACCUUUGCUCAAUGAACUUCCCAAUGAAGGGUUAAUCAAAUGGCAAAUAUGGGAACAUAAUGCCCAUUGGUGUGUGCAUGUUUCAUUAUUAUUCCCAGUCUGGCAUGUUCUUAAGCCACUUAUGAUGUUGGACCUUUUUUUCCCCGAAAAAUUCUUUGAUGUUUUACUUUUUUAAGGGAAUUAAUUGAGAAAUGUUGUUCGAUCAUGUUUUGCAGCUGAUCCUGGAGACUAUCAUGUUGAAUUCCAUCCUAACUGGGGUUUGAUGAGCUUCCUCAUUGAUUUUCUACGACCUACACCUCCUGAUGGUUCUUCUCCAUGGUACCAUCUACUAAAGAAAGCAGGGGGUGGCUGCAAUGACCUCAUAUACAGUGGCCACAUGCUUGUAUCUGUACUGACUGCUAUGGCAUGGACGGUAGGUGUGCAUAAUGGAUUUUAUGUUUACCCUUCAUUUAGCAGCUUCAGCUACUAGGGACCAGAUAAGUUAGUUAAUCUGCUAUUCAUAUGCAAGUGCAGGAGGCAUAUGGUGGCUUAAGCUCCAUUUUGAUUUGGCUGCUUGUACUGCAUAGUGCACAAAGGGAAAUUCGCGAGCGCAAUCAUUACAGUGUUGAUUGUGUGUUAGCCAUCUACAUGGGGAUCUUUUUGUGGAAGUUGAUAGGCAUUUUUUGGCCAACUAAAGAUGCAUCCAAGAAAAGAAGGCUAAUCAAAUUGGAAAGAGUUCGGGGUAGACUAACGCAAGCUGCCAAGGACUCUGACAUUGAUAGAGUGAGAGAAAUUCUGAAAGAGGUCGAGUUAAGCAGUCAAGUAAGGCAGAACCCUAAGAGCAGGGCUAUGUGGCUGUUUUCUGGUGCAACCAUUUUCUGCACGAUAACCGUGGUGCUUCUUGCCUUCAUGUUGACAUCUGACGGGUGAUUCCCUACUUAAGUUAUACGCUGCCACGAAAUUUACGAGUCGAUUGCAGUGCUCUUAACUGCAUUUUGUUGUGUGAAAACACGAGUAGAUAGAAACCAAACAAAGAUUGUGUUGUACACUAUCAAGAUAGACUGUUAGGUCUGAGGCCACGCUUAUAGGCUGGAUGUUGUAAUAUGGACCUUCACCAGUGAUGUUCCAAUGUAUGUGCAAAGUUCCACAGGUAAUGUCAUUUACCGAACUGAAGUGGCUAACGAGUUCCAGUUUUCAUGGCUGUAAUGUAACACUGGAAAUUUCAUUUAUAUUAAAGACCAUUUUGAUUUUGAAUCAAGUCUAUCUGCCUUUCAAAGUUUGUUUAUUUUGUUUUCUUAUUUUUUUUUGGUGCAUUUAAGAUUUUUUUUUGCCCUAUGCCCGAACACUCUAGUGAGCAUUGCAGUCAUACCAUUUUCUAGGGCAGCUUCAUUAACUAAAGUAGUAAUGUGAUCGGGUCAAGCUUUUGAGUAUUACCACACUCGAGUUCAAAUUGAAUACGAUCUCAAAUAGGUAUUUUCUUGUUUGAGCUCGUCGUGUAUGCAAUUUUGAGUUCACAUUGAACUCAAUCCUGAAUAAUAGGUAUGUUCGAGUUUGACCUUAGUUAUUAUAAGGUAAACUUCUUUUACCAUUCAGCCAAUAAGAACAUCAAAUGCUCUAUUAACUGAAGUAACUCUAAAAUGUUCACCACAAUAAAAAUGGCAAAUUUUCUCGACCUACUGAAAUUUCCUAAUUACCAGUGUACUGGGCUCUCUUCUCCUCCGCUCCCAUAUACUAGACUCUCUGGUCUGAUGCCCCAUUGCCUGAAUACGAGUACAAGCCGUUCUUUCCUCUUUGACGAAGCGGCGUAGCAUUGGGAGAACAACCAGCUUCACGGUUCUUCAUAAGCUUUGCUUAAAGGAGAAGGAAAAAAACCAGUAAUUUAUUUCAAAAUUUUAGCUUUUUUUUUUUUGGCUUUUGUGGAUUAAUUUUCUGUCACGCAAAUGGUUGCACACCACAUGUUUGAUUGAAUGCCUGAAUGUGUAUCAACUGCAUACAGAUGCUGCUGAAGGGUCAAUACAUAUAUGUUGUAGUACCAUCCCGGGAGACGAAGCAUUUGCUUAUAGAUUAAUGUCAGUUUGAUUGCGAUGAUAUGAUUCGCUAGAUAGUGAUAAAAUUCAUCAUGGCACAUAAUUCUGCUACCACAUGUUUGAUGUAGGAUUGGCAGAGGUGUGGAUUGAGGUAGAUGGAGUCAAUGGUGAAAAAGUAUCAGCAGAAGUUUAGGAAGGUGAAAGAAGAGAUGGGUCGAUGGGAAGAGCUUCAAUCUCGGUUAAUUUCACAGUUCACCAGUGCUUCUGCCAUCAUCCAGAGAUUGCAGGUUUUCCCGCAGCAUCCUGUCUAGCCAUGUUUGCAUGUGUGUCUUUCUUCUUAUUGUUUGAUUCCUGAUGAUAUUGAUGUUGGGUUAGCUUUCUCAUUUAGUUACUUCAAGAUCCAAAAAAGUAUGGCGCAUUAGAAUGUGUUCAGGGCAUUCAAGAUGCUGUCUUGGCGAAGCAAUUGGAGUCACUGCAAACUAUUAUGCUCUCCAUGAAUAUGACCUUGUAUGGUUUCUUGUUUUACAUUUUCUUUCUCCUUAAAAGCUCCUUUUAUUGACCUCAAUUCAUUUUGUAACAAAAGUCGGAUAACAAAUUUUGGCAAGGGGUCUCUUCCAGUGUUUAUGUUUAUUUCUGAUUCAGCCAAGUUAGGAAUAGAUAUUUUAUCUUGUUUCUUAAAGAUUGUGUUCACCUGUAUGUCGAGACUUCUACUAACCAAACGUUAAAAGGCCAUUUGAUUGGCCUCCAGAUUUCUUUGUUCCCUUAAAUUUCAUUUCAUGGGUGCUGUCGACCUCAAGAACUCAUUCUCGACCUCAAGAACUCGUGUUUCAGCAAUUGGUUAUCCUAUGUAUGUGUGUGUGUGUGUUUUUGUUUUUUUUUUUUCCCUCCUUCAAUUGUCCCCUGUAUUAGUCUUGAUUUGCAUGUCACAGCACUCCCAUAUAGGAAGCUGACUUUCUGUUCUUCUUCUUUUAUCUUUUUGCUUAAUCCAUCCGCCAUUGAUGUAGGGAAGAUUUUCGUGGUGUUUCUUCAUCCCUUGAGAAAGUUGUUCGUGAUGGUAGGCAGCUAGUUAAAGGAGGUUCUACUGUUGCAACAGCAAAGCAACUGCAGCAAAGAGUUGGUAUCAAACCAAGUCUUGCAGAUUGCCUGGAGGGCCUUAGGCUUCUUAGCGAGAUGCACCAUUCAGAGUAUGCGUUAGAGGAACUUUACAUAAUUCUCAUAGCUAACUUUCCUGUAUGUUGAUGUUAACUCAUCAAGAUUGGGCUCUGGAAACAGAACUUGUUAUUUGUUUCUUUAUUUAAAGUUUUCUCAGAAAUGCAAUCCGAGAGAUGUCAAAAGUUGGGUUAAUCUGAUCAUUUGAUAUGAUUUUGUAGCUAAUUUAUUUUUUAUGGUCCCAGUUUUUUCAUUCGGUCUUCUUUACUAUCUAAGAUUCAAAAUAAGGUCACCCAUGAUAGUUUCAAAUGAGUGUUAAACUUCACAUAAUACGAAAAUAAAUCACUGCCGUUUCUUCUUCACUCUGAAUCAUUUUGUUUGCACUUUCCUGGGAUUAUCUGAUCUUGGUUACACUAAUAUUUUCCUUGACUUUUGAAAACAUUCGCAUUGCAAUUUCUCGGAGUUACCUUUAAGAUGUGCAGGAUAUUAGUGACCAGCUUCCUGGAAUCCAUGUUGUCCUUUUCUCCCUUCAUUUUUCACACUCCAUUUCCUAGUAACCAGUUGAACAUUUUAUUUCAGGUACCUUCUUAAGUCAUCUGUGAUAUCGGCACUUGCAAAGGUUUCCUUGACGCCAAGGUAUCUCUUGAUAGAUGUGGGUGCUUCCCCCACCCCAGCCACCUCUGUGUGAUUAAUUCUUUUGCAUAGGCAAUCACCCAAGUUAAUGUGUAUUGUAUCUUGUGCAAAUUAUCUAAACUUGAGAAAUAGGCAUGACUUGUUUUUGAAAAGUCUGUCAGAUUAUAAUUGGAGGUUAAGGCUGGAGAAGUUGGCCUAGAAUAUUUAGCAUAUUUAGGGCUUUCAGAUAUGUCAAUUAUUAGAAAUAAGUCAUGUUCAAGGUCUUUUAAAAAAAAAAAAAGAGAGGAAAAUUUUGCAGUUUAUGUUGGUUUAAGGCUUUUUAUUAACUUUGAAGGUAAUAAAUGAUGGCAGCCUGGAAUCACCUUUCACAACUAUGAUGCAUGAGAAGAGUACAUUCAUUAUAUAAAUAUUUGGACUUGAUCCUAUGAUUUAGUUAGUGUUUGAUUUUGGUUACCAUGAUACACUACAAAUCUUCUCAAAUUGAUGUUUGGACAGUAAGUAGAAGGGUGAAGCAGAAAAGUUUAACAGCUCCACCCUUAAAAAUACUAAAGUUUAAUGCUCCAAAUUAGAUUAGAAGUUGAGAGUGUCCAGUUUUAUUAAAUAGUGCAGCUCUUAUUUCUUUGUUCAUUGCACAGGAUGGCUGUGCGUAACAUUUUUUGCUGUUCUUUUGGUGUGGUAUAUUUGUCUUUUUCUUCUCCUUUUCCGCCUUUGCCUCUCUUUCCUUUUGGUGAAUUAGUUGUAUACUGUAAUUGCCUCUGAUGCCAUUGAAACAUCUUAGUAUUCUAAUUGUGACUAUGCCACGGCUGAAUUCUAAUUGCAGUGCUAGUGACGAUCUAAACGCCCUUCAGCAACUGCUCGUUGACCAACCUAACAUCCCUAGAGAGGAGGGUAGGUAGUUAAGAGUUUGAUGAACAGAAUUAAUUGCCAUGCUACUAUCUGCUUGUGAUAGAAUUAGGAAGCCCUUGCUAAAUCCUCCAUACGCAUCACAAUAUUGUAGAACUCAACUUUUUUAGAACGUUUCAGAAUUUUUAAUAUCUGUCCUUUACAAUGUCAAAUACUGUACAUCAAAAACUGAAUUCUGGCCUUUCUUGCUGCAGUACAAGGGAUAUUUGAUAUCAUAUUUGCUGAAGACAUCACUUGAUGUUUUGUCCUCGUAUCAAUUGAAGUGCAUUACAAAUCUGUGUUAAGGCAGAAAGAAAGGAGGCACUAGCAAUCAUUUCACCAUCUUUCAGGGAUACCGUUUGAGCAAAUGCAUCCAAUAACAUGUCAUGUCAUUCCUCGGUUAGUUAUGAAGCAAAAAGCUGUCAAAUUCAAGACAGGUUGCUUGUUUGUGGAUCAUUCCCAAGCACGAGUUCUGUUUCCUGAAGAUUAUAUAUCAAAGACUCUAAUCUUCAGUGGGUGGAUGGUAGUUUGGAUGAUUUUAAAGUGUAAAUGAAUCAUAGAUUGUCAUGACAAAGAGUCAGUCAUUUUAUAUAUAUAUUUUCUUUUUUUGGCGUAACUAAAUUGGAUAGAUAAUUUUCACACAUGAUUCAUGAGGCAUAAUCCUGUGCACCUUUGGAGUCUUGUUUGUGCACCUUUGGAGUCUUGUACAAUUUUUAUCAAAUUUGGUCAAUCACACUAAAGAACUCGUGACAGCGUAUAGCAAAGUUUAAGGUCCUGUUUAAUAAAUUCAUUCAGCACUUGAAUUUAAUAGAUUCCAAUCUUAAUAUGUUUAGACGCGUUUGAUAAUCAAAUAUUGAACUUUGAAUUAAUUAAGUGACACUCAAUUUUUUAGACAAAAUUUGCUCCUAAAAUUAAGUGAUAAACUAUUCACUUAUCACUGAAUAUGAUAUGCACUCAAAUGUAUUAAAUUUAAUAGUUAACAAUUCAAAAACUUAAUGAAUUCAGGCUUUAUAUUUCAUAUUUUAUUUUUAUUAAACGCGCCCUAAGCUUAAAUAGAGGCUUAGAAGGAAUUGAUUCAAUCGAGUUUAUGGCGCUUUCAUGAGCCAUAGCAUGAAGGCGUGUAAAAAAACGCCUUGGUCAGGAUAUUUCCUUCGCGAGUUCCGGAAUAGGAGAUAUGUGCCCUGAUAUUUCCACCAUAUCAACGGCUCAAAACCCAUCAAUCCCACCAACCAAACAUCCCAAAUGUGCAUAUUUCAACACCAACUUUUCUGUUUUUUUGUUACUGCAGCUAAAAUAAGCUUUCAUUCAUUCAUCUUGGAUUUCCAAAGUUCUGGGCACGGUUUUAACUGUUUAUCUACUUGGUCCUGAAAAAAUGGCUAUUUCUUUAUCAUCAGCAGCAAAAGUUUGCUCUUUGAAUCCAGAGCCUCCAUUUGCUGCGUCUUCAAAUUCAGCAGCAAAGCUUUCUAGCUUGUCUUCUCUGCAAUUCCCUAGAGAACUACGCCGUUUUCAUGUUGGAAACCGAGCUGUUCAGUCCGGGCAGCCCUCCCGAACUUUACAUGUGGUAUAACUUUCCCAACCCUAUUGGCAUUCGAAGAAAUGAAGAAAUGAAUGCUUUACUUUUGGAAUGUUCUUCUUUUCUGGGUUUACUGUUCUUGUUAUUUGAAUUUUUGUUUUUUUCACAUUUGGUGCUUGUUUUCUGGUUUUGCUACGGAUUUCUGCUUCAUCAAGAUUGGUGCUAUUUAUCGUAAUUCUCUUCAAGACUUAAAUUUUAGGAUGUUUAGGUAGCUUUAGUGAUGAAUUACCUGCUGAAUCUCCAUGGAAACCGUAACUUCACACUUUGGAAUUGGUUGGCAAAUCUGGAGUUUUGAUUGGGGAUUUUCUCGUUUCGUUAUCUUAUGUAAUUAUCUAUGUAUUUCUGUCUUCUGAAUUAUUUUUCUGUUGGAAUUUGUUGUAAAGUUUGAGAAUUUAUUAAAAUUUUAUUAUCGUCGCGAUUUAGUUUGGGUUUAUGUUUUAUGUUUGUAUGUAUUCGAGAGAGUGCAAAACAGUUUGACUAUUGGGACGAUUCUGUUAGUCAGAAUGCAGCUAUACACACAGAUUGUGUUAAUGCUGCUAUAUAGAAAGGAUGGGAUUGUCUUUGAUGUAUGGGAAUAAAGAUAUAGUUGUUGUGGAAGUAAAGUACAAAAUUGAAUGAGUAGCUACAAAUAACGAAAUUCAUGGGGAGAGAGAUUAGAUGAUGUUGUAGUUGUGAAACGGUAUGUGUUAUGUUUAAUCUUGAUAACUGGCCUCAUUUGGUGGUUAAGUGGACUGAUUGGUCGAUCGGGAUGAGUUGAUCGGUUUAGUUCCAGAAGGGAAUUUAUAUGAACUGCUACAGAAUAAGAGUAUUUAAGAUUUUUAGCUUAGGUGAUCAGAGUUAUUCUCACAUAUAGCAGUGCUUACUGCAUUCACAUUAGGGGCAAUUAACUUGCAAACAAGUUGCAGCAAGUGGAGGUGUAUGAGUUGUAGUGAACUUCCCGGAAGAUGAGUGGUGAAAUCAUCAUAAUAUGUAUUUUAGAGACCAAAACGAAUCAACUUCAUGCAGAUGGAUUUUACCUGCAGAGGAAGCAAUUCUAGCCUAUGGAAUAAGCUAGUCAUGGAGAAACCAAGUGAAAAGGCUACUGUGGUAUGCUGCUAAUGAAUCAGUUGCUGGGCAUUUUAGCAAAUCCACAUGGGAGAAUAAGGAGGCUCAAAUUCAUUUAUUUAUUUAGGGUCAGAUUUUCAAGUGGCUGACACAUUUUUCUAAUGGGAAAGCUUGGAAAACAAAAGUGUGAAGAGACAAACAAGAUACGAAUGAAUGACCAUAGUAUGAAAAUCUGGUCUUGUAGCAAUCUCUAAAGCCAGGUGAAAAGCUGAGAUUUGGACUCUUGGAGAAUGUCUCGGUGCUUAAAAGCUUGUCUCUUUUUGCUUGGGUUUUCCUUAUUCACAAAGAUUUGGGACUUUAGGCUCAUAUUUCACUUAGGGCUUGCCACAAACUUUUGUAUUGAUAGCCAUGCCUUGAGGCAUGCUCACAGUAAGCAUUAUUUUUCCAAUAUGCUUACUGCUUGAUGAAAUAACUAAUUAUUGGCAUUGUCCGGGAUGAAUCUAGCUUAUUGAUGAUACCUUUACUUUGCCUGAUUUAAGUGACAACAGAUGUGGGUUGUGGUUUUAAUUAGGUUAAUAAAUACAAUAAGAUAAAGAACCAUCAAAAUAGAUUGGACAGAGAGGGCGGGGGGUAUAGAGAGAACAAGCCCUUUUUUUUGUUGGGGGGGGGGGGGGGGGAGAGGAGGAGGCAGAGAUGUUGAGUGCUUAGAGCAUUUCAUGUUGAGACUUCUGGAACUGCUUACUUCAUGUUAUGAUUGUUGAUUUUGGAGCAUCUCAUAAGUAAAAGAAAGAAAAUUGACCUUUCUAUUGAAGGCAUUUUUUUGGAGAAGCCUUUGAAAGCAAAUUGAGUUUUCAGCUAUUGGCCUCAUAAUAAGUUGCUUUACCUGUUAUCAUGCUUGUACAGAACCUCUCUUUGAUGAUUUCCUUGUAACUUGCUUUGAUGCUGGUGUCAGUUCUUCAUUCAGUAGUAAUAUUCACGGCACAGUUGUAAAAGCUUACCUCCUUUAUGUUUUCUGCUGUACGAGUGUGCUUCUGCUUGACUGCAGGAGGAGUCCUUCCCCUUUUCAUGUUAUCAUCUUAUGUUUUGUCAGUCUUCAAGACAGAAUAUUUUGGUUUCUAUUGGUGGUAGCUGAAUAUAUUCGUAAUUAGGUGAAGGCAAAGAAGCAAACAUUUUCAUCCUUUGACGAUUUACUGAAAACCGCUGACAAACCAGUGUUGGUUGAUUUCUAUGCAACCUGGUAAGUUCUUUUGGUGUGUUACUCUUCCAUUCUUUUAUGUACCUUUUUGUGAUUCGCAAAAUUUUAACUGGAGAUCAGUUCCUAUGAGACAUCAAAGCAUCUAAUGCUGAGACUUGCGUGCAGAUCGAGAGGUAUUUGGCGUUGCAUUUGACCAAUUUAAUCACUUUAUCAAUCUAGUGAUUGGCACUCUAACGGGUCAUUACUUCAAAAAUGGGAAUAUUCUUGGAAGCAUCUAUAAACCAAGGGGAUUUUUUUACCUUUUACUGUGAUAGUAGUAACUAAAUCUGCUUGAUGCAUAAAUUUCUUGAGUCUACCGAUACAAUGACAAGCUACCCAUCAAAACAAUUUCAUUUGCGCAAAGCUAUAGUAGGAAUUAAGCAGAGAUAUGGAUUUGCAGGUGUGGUCCAUGCCAAUUCAUGGUUCCUGUUCUGAAUGAGGUUAGUACAAGAAUGAAAGAUAAGAUCCAGGUGGUGAAGAUUGAUACUGAGAAGUAUCCGAGCAUCGCAGAUAAGUAUAGAAUUCAGGCACUCCCUACUUUUAUCAUAUUCAAGGAUGGAGAACCCCAUGAUCGUUUUGUAAGUUGACUGCAUCUUUUCUGUAGUGUUUCUUACUUCUGUGCUGUUUCUUAAUGAGAAAAGAUGCAUCCCGACACGGAGUUAUAAAUGGGUUUUAGUCUAAAUAUUGGCUUUCUACUAACAAAUAAUAGUAGUAGACCACAUCUCUCGAACGUCAGUGACUUCUUAAGCUGAUGCACUGCCUAAGGAAACUAAGAUCCCCGCCAAGGGCUAAGAGGUUAAGUUCCUAGGUUCCCCUUCCCCUUUGCUUACUCUAAUGGAGUGCCCUGUUUUUGGUAGAAUUGGUAAGAGUACGGUAAGUUACAAAGUUCGUUGGAUGUGAUGGAUCUCAGAAUCAGUGUUUGCAUAUAAAGUUAUGUUUUAGAUAUUUAAGAUUUCAUGUGGUGAAGAAUUUAAAGAGCACUAACUCAGAACUAUUUUUGUGUAUGAACAAUCUCUUUCUAAAUUUCCAGGAGGGUGCACUUACAGCAGACCAACUAAUACAGCAGAUCGAGUCCUCACUGAAAGUCAAGCAGUAGCCAUGAUGGUGAUCUUUCUUUGUUUAUAUCCCUGCGCUAACUGAGUCCUGACAGUUGCACAAGGCUUUCCUGAACUCUUGCUCCUUUUUUUUUUUUGGCUUUUCCAUUCUUCUUCCCUUAUGCCAGAUCAAACGGUAGGGUGAUGUGGGUACCUGAGAUGCUGGAUGUUUAUAGAGCUUUAUUCAUUUGAACGAGGACUUCCAUUUUGUAUCUGGUGAUAUUCCUCAAGAAGCAAAUGGGAAUCAUCGUUUGCCCUGGGGUGUAUUCAUCAGUACUCGUUAAUUAAACUUGUUCGCUGCUGCAGAUAGACAGAUUAAUUGAGAUUGUAAUGCAUAUGUACUGAUGAAAUUGAUCUAGAAUCUCAAAAAGUUUUCGCCAUGAUUCUUAACACCUUGGACUGUAAUUCAAGAAGCCCGUUUUAUCCAAGUACUGUCUUUUUUACUGAGAUUGGAAGCCUUUAUGGUUGUCCAUACUUUGUACUGGUUGUCAAUCACCUCUGCGGGUUUAAAGUUUCCUCCUUUCAAUAGCUCAGGAGAGACUUUGCUUCUUUAAGCAGCUGCCAAUAACUGCUUGAAAACCUCAUUUCUGUGUAACCAUCAAUCAAAAUGGAAUUACAUACCAUACAAGAUUAAACAGUCAAACAAGUUUCUGCUGUGCUCAACUUGACAGCCCAGGCUGGUGAACAAAUUCCACAGUCCCCAAUAGCUCAUAGAUCAAAAGAAGCCUCGUUGAAAAUCCCCAAACAAAUCCCAAUUAUUAAGUGCUGUUUUGAGUAUGUAUGACUGCUGCCGCUGGGAACAGUUGCUAUCUUUCAAGAAACAGAAGGAAGAAUGGAGAUGAGAGCAGGGGAAGACAUAGGCAUAGGAGAAGACCUCACACCUCCACUCUCACCCCUGGCCUUCUCUCUCCACGAUUCUUUCCUACACUCCCACUGCUCCGCCUGCUCGUUUCCUCUACCAAAUGCGCAUUUUACUCCCACUUCCCCCUCAAAUUCACUACCCCUCCACUACUACUGCUCCCCCCGUUGCUCCGCCCUUGACUCACCUCCCUUCAUGUGUCCCCCUCCUCCUCUCGAAGACUCGUCCCACCUCCGCCUCUCCCUCCGCCUCCUCCAUAAACUAUUCCACUCUCAGAACGAUACGGUAGAAGCAAAACUGGAUAGGAUUGGAGGGUUAAUGACCAACUAUGAGAAAUUCUUGAAUUUGUCUAAAAAUGAGGAGGAAGAUGAGGCAUUGGAGAUGAUUAAGGAAGGUGCGAGGGCGAUGAAGCUCUUGGCGGGAAAAUUGGAGGGAGUGGUUGGGGUGGAGGAGGCGGUGAUGUGCUUGGUGCUGACGAAUGCGGUGGAGGUGCAGGAUAAGGACGGGAGAAAUGUGGGGAUUGCGGUUUACGAUUGGAGGUUUUCGUGGAUUAAUCAUAGUUGUUCUCCCAACGCUUGUUUUCGGUUUGUAACGAGGAAGACCAUACCUCCUCAACAAGUGGUGGAGGGAGAAUCCCAGCUCCCGCGGUUGAGAAUUUACCCUGCUGCCAUGGACGGUGGAGCUGGUGAUGGACUUGCUGGUGAUUGCAAGAGUGAGUGAGUUUUUGAAUCGUUGUGCAUUUUCUUGAGUUGAAAUUUUUUUGUUUUGGUUGUUAUGAUGAACUGGUUGAUUGUUAUUUGUGUUGAAUAAUGUGCAGGCAGUGAGGGAUGUGGUCCGAGCAUCAUAGUCCGGAGCAUAAAAGGAAUUAAGAAGAAUGAGAGGAUCACAAUUACUUAUACUGAUUUGUUACAACCUAAGGUAAAACAGUUACUAACUACUUAAACCAGUGCGUUAUUCCAGUUUUCAACAGGUUAAAUUUAGCAUAGCUAGAAAUUUGGUGCUCCUGCAUUCCUAGAAUACUAAAAUUACCAAACUUCUAACAUAACAGAGUUGAAAAGGAAUGACACCAUCGCGGAAAGUGUUAUUCUGGUUAACGAUGGUUUUGUUUUGAUGCACGGCUUUCUUUUUCUUUGUUUGGUGGUGCUGGCUUUUUCAUCACAGUGUUUUUCUUUUUUGGGACUGAUCGGGCUGGAGUUGAAAUCAGAUACAGAUGUGGUUAAGUUUGGUGGCUAAGAAAUAUUCGUGCAGGAGUUAAAGGCAUAAUAGUCUCUUGUAUACUGUUUGUUCUGGCUUGAUGGUGCUGAUUUGAGUUAAUAAUGACUUUGUUGAUGAUGACACAUUUUUGCCCUCUGAACUGAUUAUAAUAUAGGAUCCAAAUAGUUGCUUUUAUCUUUAUAAUUUAUGUUUCACAUGGAAGGAUAUUCAAUCCUCAUCUUUGAUACAUGUCACUACUUUGUUGCAAUUCAGUCAAGUUUAUUCAUACUUGAACAAGGUGGCGUCCUGAAAAUAUUACAUCUAUUAGUUAUACAAUGUUUAUUGUCGCUUGACUAACUUGCAGUCUUGGCUGGUUAACUUGUGCAUUGAUCCAGCUCGAGUUAAGUACUUGGUUACUCAGCGUUUGCUCUGACAUAUAUUCUUCAGGAAAUGCGGCAGGCUGAAUUGUUUACAAAUUACCGGUUCAAUUGUUGCUGUAAGCGAUGUACUGCAACUCCUGCAACUUAUAUUGAUCGUGCUUUGCAGGUAUCUUCCCCUGUACUUGGUUUUCUAUUCUGUUAAACCUACAAGUCCAAUUUUAAGUUCCUUUAUCCUGUGUGUUUCUCUUCUUUACUGCUCAGUACUCCAGAACUAUGACCGUAUCUAUUAACUGUUCCUCCACAUAAAUUACUACUAGCAGUGAAAAUCACUGGAGUCAUUUCUUGCUGUAUGUGUACGUUUUAUCAUUGUUCCUCUUGAAAAGCACUGGUCACGUACAAUUCCAUUGUACUUUACCUGACUAGCUGCCUUAACCAUCUGACAUUAGCAUGUUUCUGUUCAAAGUAUAGACCAAAAGAAAGGAAUUCUGAAAUCUUGUAUGGUUCAAUUGUCAUGAAUGUGAAUUUUCAUGAACAGACAACGUGGUUUUAACUGCUUAUUUGCUUUCGCCUUUUGUGUAGGAAACUUUUGUUUCUGGUGUUGAUGGUCUCAACUUGACUUCCAAUGAAGACUCAUACAGAUCCAAGGCAACUACGAAAUUCAUGGAUUCAAUUGAUGGUGCUAUUGAUGAGUAUUUGACCUUUAACAAUCCCGAGUCAUGCUGUGAGAAGCUUGAGGAUUUGCUUACACAUGGGCACCUUCAGGAGCCACUGAAACCAAAGCCAGAAAAGUCACCUCAAUGCAUAAGGUUACACUUGUUUCAUUAUCAAUCUCUACAUGCAUACACCACACUUGCUUCAGCAUACAGAGUCCGUGCUAGUGACCUCUUGGCUCUUAAUCCUGAAAAUCAUCAGCAUCAAAUGGAAGCUUUCACUCUGAGCAGAAUAAGUGCAGCCUACUCCUUGUUGUUGGCUAUAGUUACGCAUCAUCUUUUUCUUUCUGAAUCUUCAAUAAUUGUCUGUGUUGCGAAUUUCUGGAAAAAUGCUGGGGAGUCCCUAGUUUAUCUCUUUAGAAGCUCAGCCUGGGGUACAUUUUCCAAUUUACAGCUAUCUGUUUCUGAAAAUUCAUCCAUUCUAAGCCAUAAACGCUAUCAGAUUGUCCAACUGGAUAGCAGUGGAGCCAAUUCUUUUAUUAAUACUGAAGAUCAAUUUGCAAUGUUUGGGGACAUAAGUAGGCAGCACAUAAAUGGUAUUGUCAACUUAACAGAGAAAAUUUGGAGCUUCCUUAGUCAUGAAAGUCGACAUCUGCAAGAAGUUAAAGAGCUCAUUGAUUUUAGAUGGCUUCUCACAGUGGAAACUCCCCUUGAUCUCGGAACUCGUCUUACUUGCCGGGAUAGCAGAACUGUUUCCAGACUUCAAGAAAAGGAGCAUACCAACCUAGAGAGAGCAUAUCUCUUUCAGCUUGGUCUCCACUGCCUGCAUUAUGCAACAUAUUUGUCAAACAUCUGUUAUGGCCUAAAUUCCCUGUUGACAGGUGAAGUUUGUCAAUCUUCUAUACUCUGAAGGUAUGUAUAGUGGCUGGUUAAUUCAACCAAUUUGCCUGCAAAUAUUAUGAAAUAGCGAUGUAAAAAGCUCAUCAGAUAGUGAUCAAAAGCUCAAUUCAUCACUCGUAUAUACCGUAUAGUUGAGUGUAUCUUUCCAGGAUUGAAUUCUCAUCGGAGGUCUUAAGUGGCAAUUUAUGCAUGCAGCCAUGCAGGGGCCAAUAUUAUCGUCCUCUUUCCUUUUGUUAUUCUUUGGGCCAUUAUCCCAGAAAUAAGCAUUUGAUGAGUUAAUUUUGGUGUACUGAAUUAAAUUAGAGUGAACUUUUGGGCCAAAUCAGGCUCCAAUUUCAAAUGUGGGUGCUCUUAUUGGGCCUCAAGAGAUUGGAUAAAGCCUGCCCACCUGACACCUAAGUAUCAAGUCAAAUGACCUAAACAAUACAUUGCAAACAAUCUAACAUCUGUUCUCUGGACUCUAGUACUUUUAUUUGUUUAUUUUUUUUUGUCUUCAUAUUAUACCCUUUUUGCCUUUAUAUUGUCAGAUUCAGAAUUCGAAAUCUGAACAUCAUAAUUAAAAGAAUGCUAAGAGCCUUUUUUGACAAACUUUUAUUUAUUUAUUUAUUUACAUCUUCUCAUUCUUGUUCAUACCUUUUUCUCGCCUUUAUAUUAUAUCCUUUUCUCCUCCAUAUCGAGAGACUCAAAAUUCGAAAUCUGAAACUCAUAAUUGAAAGGACGUCAAGAGCCUUUUUUGACAAUUAAACGAACCCUAAUGGUUUUAGUACCCAUUUAAAAUAGUUUGUCAAUUUGUUGUUGUAGAGAGCUACAAUGACUUUAUGAAGGUGAAGUAAGCAUUAAGUUUGACGGUGAUGAAUUUUACCUUUUCUUUUUCCCUUUCUUUUUGGUAGUAUGAUAUUAACUCAACAUUAUAAGAUUUUCAUGGGGGGCAUAAAGAUUAAAGAGUCAUGAAAUCUGUGAUUUCAUUUUCCAAGUGUGAAUAUUAGGUGGAUGGACAAAUCAACCUUCUUUUUUCCAUUCUUGGGGGCAGAAUUUCUUCUGCCACAGAUGUUGCCUAUCCAUAUCACGAUAAUGUACUCUUCUUGAGCGAGUAAAUUAAUUUGGUCCCCAAAUGAAAAUUUAGUUGGCCCAUCUCACCGACCACCACGUUUCCUUAACAACAAAGAAAAGGAAAUAUACAAAUGGAAAAUCUGAAUCUAAACCUCCCCAGAUAACAACACUCAAGUAUGUGAACUCCUCACCGGCCAGUUGAAAUCUGAUCCAGAAAAAAAAAAACCCACGAGGAAAAAGAUUAAAUGAAUUUAGUUAUUGGAAACCACCUUAGAAAAUGAAAUUAAAGAAAUGCUUAGGCUCAAUGUAUCUGCCAAAAUGAAGCAAUAAAUGGUCAUGUCAGAAGAUGGAUAGCCAAUGCAUUUGAAUCAUUCAUGCAUCCAUCUUCCAACUUUGCUUAAAACUGUGAACAAAGGGGUGGCUAGAGCUGUUAAACCAAUCAAGUAGCUCGAAAUCUCGUUAGAGCUCGGCUCGUUAAGGUUUAACGAGUCGAGCUCGAGCUCGAAACAUGCUCGUUUAGUUAACGAGCCGAGUAAGCUCGGCUCGUUUGAUACUCGAGUAGCUCGUUAGAGCUCGUUAAUGAAGGGCAUAUUUGUCAUUUUAGAAAUCAAAAUUAUAUAAAUUAAAAAUUAUAGAUUUUUAUUAAUGUUUAUUUGCACGAGCUCGAGCUCGAGCUCGUGAAGCUCGAUUCGUUUGUGAUAAACGAGUCGAGCUCGAGAACUCGAACCACAUGUACAUUUAACGAGCCGAGUUCGAACACAUUUUAAAGUUCGUUUUCUUAACGAGCUCGAGUCGAGCUCGGCUCGAAUUAAACUCGAGUCGAGCUCGGCAGCCAAAUACUCGGCUCGAUUAACAGCUCUAGGGGUGGCAAACAACAUCAUAUCCAUGUGGUGGAGGGCCAUAUCUGUGAAUUGACCCUUCCAAACAGGCGUUAGAGCACAAUUGGUCAGAGAGGAGAAACUUGAAGGUGCUUAUGGCUAUGAGUUACAUCUGUAAAGUAAUAUCAACAUUAAUCGUCCAUUUGUAUCAAUAAUGGAUCAAUUGAAAAAAAUAACGCAAGUUGCAUCCUGUAUAGUUUGUUUGGGGAUGGGGUCUAUGUCAAUGAAUUGGAUGAAAGGAGAAGAAACUUCAAACUAUGAAUUUAUAAUUAGUGAUUGAGCUUAAUACUUCAACCCAACCAUACCAAACUUCUUGGUUAUUGGAGAACCAAAUUAUUUAAUAGUCGUUAGGUGGGGAAAAAAAAAAAGAAUUGCUUAAACAAUCUAGAAUACUUCUUUUUUUGGUAAAUAUCUAGAAAAUAUCUCUUUGGCUGAAGAUCACUAGUUGUUAUCUUGACCAAGAAAUACUGGUAGACCAUUUAACUUUCAAAAUGUUGAUUAUUGAUCACUAAGAUAUGUUUCAACCGCUUAAUCAUGAUUUGAUAGAGUUUUAAUUUCCCACUAUCCCUUGUCAAUCAGCAAAAUUGUGUUUGAUGACACGACUAAUUACCCUUCCAUAUAUAUAUAUAUAUAUCCUCCUUAAUGGUCCCAAAAAAUUAAACAGCUCUGAUAUCCCCCCAAAAAAAAAGACAGAGUUAAAAUCCAAAUUCACCUAAUUCAACGCAUUGAAAAUUUGUGGAAAUGAAUUUAAACCUCCUUUUUCUAUCAAUUUUUUUUUCAACGCCCGUUAAUCACGCUCCUAACACCAUCCAAUAAUUAAGAUUUCUAGCCGAUUACUACUAAAUCAUCGCCUAUAGGCUAUAAACAGCCUCCAGUCAACAAACAAACAAUCACCACCACUCAGAUCAGAUAUUUUUCAUAAGUUGUCCUAUUGUCAGUUUUACACCACUAAGAUCAUCAUGGCUGGAGAGAAGCACCGCCACCACCUCGUCCACCACCACAAGGAAGAGAAGCCUGUCGAGAGAAGCACCACUAAGACCAUCAUGGCUGAAGAGAAGCGCCACCACUACCACCACAAGGAAGAGAAGCACCACCACCACCUCGUCCACCACCACAAGGAAGAGAGAAGCACCACUAAGACCAUCAUGGUUGAAGAGAGAAGCACCACUAAGACCAUCAUGGUUGAAGAGAAGCACCACCACCACCUCGUCCACCACCACAAGGAAGAGAAGCACCACCACCACCUUGUCCACCACCACAAGGAAGAGAAGAAGCACCAGCACCACCUCGUCCAGCACCAGCACCAGCACCAGCACCACCUCGUCCAGCACCACCACCACCACCACCACCACCACCACAAGGAAGAGAAGCACCACCACCACAAGCCUGUCGAGAGAAGCACCACUAAGACCAUCAUGGCUGAAGAGAAGCACCGCCACCACCUCGUCCACCACCACAAGGAAGAGAAGCACCGCCACCACAAGCCAUAAUAAAAGGCAUAAUAGUCUCUUGUAUACUGUUUGUUCUGGCUUGAUGGUGCUGAUUUGAGUUAAAAAAGAUAAUGACUAUGUUGAUGAUGACACAUUUUCUGCCUUGGGAACCAAUUAUAAUAUAGGAUCCGAAUAGUUGCUUUUAUCUUUAUAAUUUAUGUUUCACAUGGAAAGAUAUUCAAUUCUCAUCUUUGAUACAUGUCACUACUUUGUUGCAAUUCAGUCAAGUUUAUUCAUACUUGAACAAGGCGGUGUCCUGAAAAUAUGACAUCUAUUAGUUAUACAAUGUUUAUUGUUGCUUGACUAACUUGCAGUCUUGGGUGGUUAACUUGUGCAUUGAUCCAGCUUGAGUUAAGUACUUGGUUACUCAGCGUUUGCUCUGACAUAUAUUCUUCAGUAAAUGCGGCAGGCUGAAUUGUUUACAAAUUACCGGUUCAAUUGUUGCUGUGUAAGCGAUGUACUGCAACUCCUGCAACUUAUAUUGAUCGUGCUUUGCUGGUAUCGUCCCCUGUACUUGCUUGUCCUUGGUUUUCUAUUCUGUUAAACCUACAACUCCAAUUUUAAGUUCCUUUAUCCUGUGUGUUUCUCUUCUUUGCUGCUCAGUACUCCAGAACUAUGACCGUAUCCAUUAACCGUCCCUCCUCAUAAAUUACUACUAGCAGUGAAAAUCACUGGAGUCAUUUCUUGCUGCACUCUUGAAAAGCACUGUCAUGUACAAUUCCAUUGUACUUUACCUGACUUGCUGCCUUAACCAUCUGACAUUAGCAUGUUUCCGCUCAAAGUAUAGACCAAAAGAAAGGAAUUCUGAAAUCUUCUAUGGUUCAAUUGUCAUGAAUGUGAGUUUUCAUGAACAGACAACGUGGCUUUAACUGCUUAUUUGCUUUUGCCUUUUUGUGUAGGAAACUUUUGUUUCUGGUGUUGAUGGUCUCAACUUAACUUCCAAUGAAGACUCGUACAAAUCCAAGGCAACUACGAAAUUCAUGGAUUCAAUUGAUGGUGCUAUUGAUGAGUAUUUGACCUUUAACAAUCCCGAGUCAUGCUGUGAGAAGCUUGAGGAUUUGCUUACACAUGGGCACCUUCAGGGGCCACUGAGACCAAAGCCAGAAAAGUCACCUCAAUGCAUAAGGUUACACUUGUUUCAUCAUCAAUCUCUACAUGCAUACACCACACUUGCUUCAGCAUACAGAGUCCGUGCUAGUGACCUCUUGGCUCUUAAUUCUGAAAAUCAUCAGCAUCAUAUGGAAGCUUUCACUCUGAGCAGAAUAAGUGCAGCCUACUCCUUGUUGUUGGCUAUAGUUACGCAUCAUCUUUUUCUUUCUGAAUCUUCAAUAAUUGUCUGUGUUGCGAAUUUCUGGAAAAAUGCCGGGGAGUCCCUAGUUUAUCUCUUUAGAAGCUCAGCCUGGGUUACAUUUUCCAGUUUGCACCAAUCUGUUUCUGAAAAUUCAUCCAUUCUAAGCCAUAAAUGCUGAAGAUCAAUUCUUUUAUUAAUACUGAAGAUCAAUAUGCAAUGUUUGGGGACAUAAGCAGGCAGCACAUAAAUUGUAUUGUCAACAUAACAGAAAAAGUAUGGAGCUUCCUUAGUCAUGAAAGUCGACAUCUGCAAGAAGUUAAAGAGCUCAUUGAUUUUUGAUGGCUUCUCACAGUGGAAACUCCCCUUGAUCUCGGAACUCGUAUUACUUGCCGGGAUAGCAGAACUGUUUCCAGACUUCAAAAAAAGGAGCAUGCCAACCUAGAGAGAGCAUAUCUCUUUCAGCUUGGUCUCCACUGCUUACACUAUGCAACAUACCUGUCAAGCAUCUGUUAUGGCCUAAAUUCCCUGUUGAUAGGUGAAGUUUGUCAAUCUUCUAUACUCUGAAGGUAUGUAUAGUGGCUGGUUAGUUCAACCAAUUUGGCUGAAAAUAUUAUCAAAAAAUAGCGAUGUGAAAAGGUCAUCAAAUAGAUGGUGAUCAAAAAGCUCAGUUCAUCACUCGUAUAUACCGUAUAGUUGAGUGUAUCUUUCCAGGAUUGAAUUCUCAUAGAUGGUGAUCAAAAAGCUCAAUUCAUCACUCGUAAUGCAUGCAAGCAGGAGCCCAAUAUUUCGUCCUCUUUCCAUUUGUUUUUUUUGGGCCACAGUCCUAGAAAUAAGCAUUUCAUGAGUUAAUUUUGGUCUACUGAAUUGAAUAAGAGUGAACUUUUGGGCCAAAUCAGGCUCCAAUUUCAAAUGUGGGUGCUGUUAUUGGGCCUCAAGAGAUUGGAUAAAGCCUGCCCACCUGACACCUAAGUAUCAAGGUCAAAUGACCUCAAACAAUCUAAUAUCCGUUCGCCAGUACUUUUAUUUGUUUAUUUUUUCUUGCCUUCAUAUUACACCCUUCUCGCCUUUAUAUUGUCUGAUUCAGAAUUCAAAAUCUGAAUCUCAUAAUUGAAAGGACGCUAAGAGCUUUUUUUUGACAAAUUUUUAUUUAUUUAUUUAUUACAUUCUUUCAUUCCUGUUCAUACCUUUUUCUUGCAGUCAUAUUAUACCCUUUUCUCCUUUGUACCGAGAGACUCAGAAUUCGAAAUCUGAACCUCAUAAUUGAAAGGACGUUAAGAGCCUAUUUUGACAACUGAACAAACCCUAAUAGUUUUAGUACUUACUUAAAAGAGUUUGUCAAUUUGUUGUUGUAGAGAGCUACAAUGACUUUAUGAAGGUAAAGUGGACAUUAAGUUUGGGCAGUGUCGAAUUUUACCUUUUCUUUUUCCCUUUCUUUUUGGUAGUAUGAUAUUAACUCGACAUUAUAAGAUUUUCAUGGGGGGUGGUUUGAAGUCUCCAUUUUGUUGCAACUAUUCAAAGAGUCAUGAAAUCUGUGAUUUCAUUUUCCAAGUGUGAAUAUUAGGUGGAUGGACAAAUCAACCUUCUUUUUUCCAUUCUUGGGGCAGAAUUUCUUCUCCCACGGAUGUUUCCUAUCCAUAUCACGAUAAUGUACUCUUCUUGAGCGAGUAAAUUAAUUGGUCCCCAAAUGGAAAUUUAGUUGGCACGUCUCACCGACCACGUUUCCUUAACAGCGAAGAAAAGGAAAUAUACAAAUGGAAAAUAAUCUGAAUCUAAACCACCCCAGAUAUCAACAUUCAAGUGGUGGAUAGUCAAUGCAUUUGGAUCAUUCAUGCAUCCAUCUUCCAACUUUGCUUAAAAUUGUGAACAAAGGGGUGGCAAACAACAUCAUAUCCAUGUGGUGGAGGCCAUACCUGUGAAUUGACCCUUCCAAACAGGCGUUAGAGCACAAUUGGUCAGAGAGGAGAAACUUGAAGGUGCAUAUGGCUAUGAGUUACAUCUGUAAAGUAAUAUCAACAUUAAUCGUCCAUUUGUAUCAAUCAUGGAUCAAUUGACAAAAAAAAACCCAAGUUGCAUCCUGUAUAGUUUGUCUGGGGAUGGGGUCUAUGUCAAUGAAUUGGAUGAAAGGAGAAGAAACUUCAAACUAUGAAUUUAUAAUUAGUGAUUGAGCUUAAUUCUUCAACCCAACCACACCAAACUUCUUGGUUAUUGGAGAACCAAAUCAUAUAUAUAUAUAUAUAAUAAAGUCGUAUCCUCAUUUAUCGUUUCAUGUUUUCUUUUUCUUAUGUGGCUUAACGAGAUAGCAAGUAAUUUUCUACGUGGCUUGCUUCUUUUUUGUUUGGAUUUAUAUCAAUUCUUAUUUCCUAUAUUAUAUGAUUGGUCCGAUAAAAUAUAUCAAUUCUUAGUCCGAUAAAAAUUGUUAGUCCGAUAAAAAUUGUGAUACAAAAUGGAUCAAUUGGAAAAAAAACCCCAAGUUGCAUCCUGUAUAGUUUGUCUGGGGAUGGGGUCUAUGUCAAUGAAUUGGAUGAAAGGAGAAGAAACUUCAAACUAUGAAUUUAUAAUUAGUGAUUGAGCUUAAUACUUCAACCCAACCAUACCAAACUUCUUGGUUAUUGGAGAACCAAAUUAUUUAAUAGUCGUAAGGUGGGAAAAAAAAAAGAAUUGCUUAAACAAUCUAGAAUACUUCUUUUUUUGGUAAAUAUCUAGAAAAUAUCUCUUUGGCUAUCUUGACCAAGAAAUACUGGUAGACCAUUUAACUUUCAAAAUGUUGAUUAUUGAUCACUAAGAUAUGUUUCAACCGCUUAAUCAUGAUUUAAUAGAGUUUUAAUUUCCCACUAUCCCUUGUCAAUCAGCAAAAUUGUGUUUGAUGACACGACUAAUUACCCUUCCAUAUAUAUAUAUAUAUAUCCUCCUUUUUCUAUCAAUUUUUUUUUUCAACGCCCGUUAAUCACGCUCCUAACACUAUCCAAUAACUAAGAUUUCUAGCCGAUUACUACUAAAUCAUCGCCUGUAGGCUAUAAAUAGCCUCCUCUCCACAAUCCAACAAACAGAAAAUUACCACCACUCAGAUCAGAUAUUUUUCAUAAGUUGUCCUAUUAUCAGUUUUACACCACUAAGACUAUCAUGGCUGAAGCCUUCCACCACCACAACCCCUUCCACCACCACAAGGAACAGACGGCUGCCGAAGCCGUUGGCUACUCCGACACCACCUACUCUGGAGGCUACGGUGGAGAGCCAGCACAUGAUUAUGAGAAAGAAAGAAAGCACCACAAGCACCUUGAGCAACUUGGUGGACUCGGUGCUGUCGCUGCUGGCGCCUAUGCCUUGGUAUAUUUCCGAUUUUGUGAUCCUUGCUUGUAUAACUCAGUUUUCAUGAUAAGCCACGAAGGCAUGCUUGUCUAUAAGAAGCCACAAAUUAAACUCAGUUUUUUUUUGUAUUAGUCCAUAAAGACUAAACAUUUUUGUUAUCAUUUCGUUUGAUCAGACAAUCAAAGAUUAUGUACGUCCAAUAUCAAAAGGGUUGUUCAGUAAAUCAGAAAAAUCUCUUUCGAAAAAUAAAAAAAAAAAGAUUAAAGAAUCUCUAGGGGGGAUAAAAUCGUAUGGUAUGGUCCAAUUAUAGUGUUGUGUUGAAUUUUAUGCUCUAAUCGGACUAAAAAUUUUGCAGUCAAUUGACUGUAUCAUAAACUCUUUUAAGUAGGACAUGGUUUUUGGCUUUACUAAUUUCUUGUUUGUUUUUUUUGUCGAAAUUUCCAUAAUCCAGCAUGAGAAGCACAAGUCCAAGAAAGAUCCUGAGCAUGCCCACAAGCACAAGAUAGAAGAAGAGAUUGCAGCAGUAGCUGCAGUGGGUGCCGGUGGAUUUGCGUUCCAUGAGCAUCACGAGAAGAAGGAUGCCAAGAAAGAAGAGGAAAAGGCUGAGGGAAAGCACCACCACCACCUAUUUUAGUUUAACCACUCGGAUUUUCAUUAAUCCUUGGGUGGUCUUUUUAAUAUUGUUCCCUUGUCUAUCUUCCAGUAUUGAGCUCGUACUGCCAAUAAUCAUGUUUAAUAAUCUGUUACUCAAAAAAAAAAAAAAAGUGUUGUUUUUCAUUUGAGUUGUGCGCCUGCUUUUGUUGGCGCUGCUGACUUUAUUAGAGUUUGUGU
RNAcentral lists this long non-coding RNA (98822 nucleotides) under Coffea arabica (coffee). RNAcentral's name for it is "long non-coding RNA (CARA_LNC007274)". The record is from RNAcentral. Lineage: Eukaryota; Viridiplantae; Streptophyta; Magnoliopsida; Gentianales; Rubiaceae.